RNAcentral lists this long non-coding RNA (102951 nucleotides) under Eucalyptus grandis. RNAcentral's name for it is "long non-coding RNA (EGRA_LNC005147)". Lineage: Eukaryota; Viridiplantae; Streptophyta; Magnoliopsida; Myrtales; Myrtaceae. The record is from RNAcentral.
AUAUCAAAUAAAUUAUGGGGAAUUGUUGAUGACUGAAUUUGAGGUUUGCUUUGCAUUUCUUUCAACCUGUCUAACAAGUGAAGUAUCAUAUAUUCCGGCAUUGUAUGUGUCACAAAACUGAUUAGAGAACCCGCAGCAAGUAGAAAGAGAGAAAGAAGGAAGAGAGAAGGAGGAGAAAGAGAACGUAAAAGAAAGAAAGAGAGGGCUGUAGUUUUUCUGUAAUCAGAAACCCUACACCCAUUGUAUUUAUAUUGAAUAUAAAUUGUAUAUAACAAUAAUAUCCUUAUGUAAGUAAAAAAGGAAAUAAAACUCUGAUAAUAAAGGAAACUCAAUUAAAGUAACUUAACACUCCCCCUCAAGCUAGAGCAUAUAGGUCACCCAUGCCUAGCUUGGAACAACCAACAACAAAAGCAGGAUGAAAUAAUGCUUUGGUAAACAUAUCAACAAAUUGAUCUCUAGAGGCAACGUAAGGAGUAGCAACCAUAUUCUGCUUCACAGCAUCACGAACAAAGUGACAGUCAACUUCUAUAUGUUUAGUUCGCUCUUGAAAAACAGGAUUCCCAACAAUAUAAAUGGCUGCUUGAUUAUCACACAUCAUGUCAAUAGGUUGAUUAAUAGAAAAUCCAAGCUGCUGGAGAAGAGAUUUUAACCACAACAAUUCAGCCACAGUAUGUGCCAUAGCACGAUAUUCAACCUCUGCACUAGACUUGGCAAUGGUAGUUUGUUUCUUACUUCUCCAAGUAACCAAAUUACCACCAAUAAAAGUGCAAUACCCAGUUGUAGACCGUCGAUCAUAUGUUGACCCAGCCCAAUCAGCAUCAGAAUAGCCAACCAAAGUGGAAGAACCAUUAGAUUUAUAAAUGAGUCCCUUACCAGGAGAGCUUUUAAGAUAUCGAAGAAUGCGACAUACAACAUCCCAAUGAGCUUUCUUAGGUGACUCCAUAAACCGACUCACCACGCCAACAGCAAAAGAAAUAUCGAGACGUGUAACAGUAAGAUAAAUUAGUUUCCCAACUAGACGCCGAUAUUGAUGCUUGUCUUCAAUUUCUUUUCCAUCAUCAACUCCAAACUUUUGAUUUUGAUCCAUAGGAGUAUCAACUGGCUUGGAAGCUAGUGUACCUGUCUCAGACAAAAGAUCAAGAACAUACUUUCGCUGAGACAAAUUAAUACCUUUUUUACUUCGUAAAACUUCAAUUCCCAGAAAAUAUCUAAGAGUUCCCAAGUCCUUAAUCUGAAAUUGCUGCUGAAGAAAUGAGUUAAUCUCAAAAAUGCCAGUCACAUCACUACCAGAGACAAUUAUAUCAUCCACAUAUAUCACAAGAAUGACUACCCCCGAUUCCUUCUUGCGAACAAAAAUAGAAUGAUCAGAAUAAGAUUGGUGGAAUCCACAUCUGGAAAUCACCGAACUGAAUUUUUCAAACCAUGCUCUUGGAGACUGUUUCAACCCAUAAAUUGCCUUAUGUAGCCGACAUACUUUACUACGAUUCUCCCCCUGAGCAACAUACCCAGGAGGUUGCUCCAUAUAUACUUCUUCAGACAAAUCACCAUAAAGAAAAGCAUUUUUGAUAUCUAAUUGAUAUAAUGGCCAAUCGAAAUUCACAGCAAGAGAAAUAACAACACGAACAGAGUUGAGACGUGCCACAGGGGAAAAAGUCUCAAAAUAAUCCACUCCAUAAGUUUGAGUAAAACCUUUAGCAACGAGUCGAGCUUUAAGACGCUCGAUUGAGCCAUCCGGAUUGUACUUGAUAGUGUACACCCAACGACACUUCACCACAUCUUUCCCAAGGGGAAGAUCAACUAAUGACCACGUUUGGCGAGAGACUAGAGCUUCCAUUUCCACAUCCAUAGCUUUCUUCCAUUCAAGGCGAGACAAAGCCUCAGUGGUAGAAGUAGGGAUUGUGUGAGUUUGUAAUGAUAGAGCAAAGUCAUGUAAUGGAGAAGGAAUAUGUGAGAGAGACACAUAACGCUCAAUAGGGUAAGCCAAAGAGGAUUUUUGUGUGCAAGACCGAGUACCUUUGUGAAGGGCAAUAGGAAGAUCGUCUGGACUAGGAGACAAGGAGGAAGAUUGAUUGGAGGGCAUUGAAGAGCUUGAGACUAGUGGUGCCGUAGACUGCUUUCGCUGCUGAUACACCUACAAUGGAGGAAAUACUAGAGACGGACUAACAGAAUCUAAGGAGAUUUGUUGUGGGAUAGGAGGAUCAGCUACAAUGUCAGUUGAAAACUCUUUACCCUCAGUAGAAUAGUAUGGUGUGCCCUCGAAAAAAGUAACAUCAGCACUAACAUAUUGAGUAUAAGUUGUAGGAUCAUAACACCGAUAUCCCUUCUGUGUAUGUGAAUACCCGAGAAAAAUACAUUUAGUAGCACGAGGAGAUAGUUUAUCAAAACCGGAACGUAGGUUAUGAACAAAACAGACACACCCAAAGACACGCGGGGUAAGAGAGAAUAACGGCUUGUCAGGAAAUGCAACACUGAUUGGUGACUGAUGAUUGAGGACAAUGGAAGGCAUACGAUUUAUGAGGUAACAUGCGGUAAGGACAGCAUCACUCCAAAAUGAUUUUGGCACAUUCAUAUGAAAUAAGAGUGAACGAGCAACUUCUAGAAGGUGACGGUAUUUUCUCUCGGCCACACCAUUCUGCUGAGGGGUAUAAGUACAACUUAUUUGAUGUAUAAUGCCAAGAUUAGAACAAAACAAAGAAAUUGAUUUCUGUGUAUAUUCUAGAGCAUUAUCUGUUCGCAAAAUUUUCAGGGAUGUAUUAAACUGAUUAGUAACCUCACGAUGAAAUAAUUGAAAAACAUGUAAAAAUUCAGAGUGGUCAUGAAGCAUAUAGAGCCAUGUUAAACGAGAAUAAUCAUCCACAAAAAUAACAAAGUACUUAAAACCAUUUCUACUAGCAAUACGGGAAGGUCCCCAGAUGUCCGAAUGAACAAGUUCAAGUAAAGUAGAUGCACGAGAAUCACUACGACUAGGAAAUGAACUACGAUGAUGUUUCCCAAGUUCACAAGCCUCACACUCAAGAGUAGAAAUUGAUUUACACUCGGGAAUUAUUUGUUGUAACUUAAAUAAAGAUAAAUGCCCUAAACGAGAAUGCCAUAAUAGGGGGGUAAUAGAACUAGCAGCUAGACCAUUGGCGUCAGCAGUGGAGAGACCAUUGAGAUAGUAGAGUCCAUCACAUUCAUGUCCUCCACCAAUCAUCUUCUUUGUCUGAAGGUCCUGAAAAAUGCAAUGAGAUGGAUAAAAUGUAACUGAACAACUAAAAGCUUUAGUUAACUGACUAACAGAUAACAAAUUUAAAGGAAGUUGGGGGACAUGUAAAACAGAGGACAAAGAUAAGGAAGAUGUAAGUGAAACAGUCCCUGAUCCAACCACUUGAGUCGAUGAACCAUUAGCUAAAAUAACUUCGGAUGAAGGACUAGAAUUAGUGUGGGAAGAAAAUAGUUCUUGCUUACCCGUCAUAUGACUAGAAGCCCCCGAGUCAAUGACCCAAGAGGCGUUAGGAGACAAAGUAGAGAAAGAGGCCAUGUUACCUGUACGUGCAAGAGUAGCAGUGGAUGAGAAAUUGGAAGCCUCUAGUUGUUUGACACGUUUGAUGAGUUGUGCAACCAUAUCAUCUCGAGUCGUAGACUCAGAAGAACUACCCCCAAGUGGAAGAGAUGGGUUCAUGUCGUUGUAAGACACAUUUCGAGCACUCUCUUCAGACAUAGCAGCAUUUGCAAUAACCUUGGCCCAACAAGUGUCAACAAUAUGACCGAAUUUGCCACAGUGUAUACACUGACGGCUAUCUCGAUCAGAACUUUGUCCACUACGUCCACCACCGCGACUACGAUUUCCCCCGAAACCACGACCUCUAUUGGAAAAUCCACCACGACCACGACCACCACUACUAGCCACAAAUGCUGAAUUGUCUUUAGAUGAAGUAGAAGACGGAGGGAUAAUGCGCUGAAUUCGACAAAAUGCUUCAUUCAUAGAAGGAACUCUCUCUCCAGCAAGAAGCUGACUCUUCACAGGCUGUAAGUCAACAUUCAAGCCAGAUAGAAAUUUGGCCACUUGAAAUUCAGCUCGUUGUGUCUUUAGUCUCUCAAGAUUAGUAGUGAUGGGCUGAUAAAGAUUGAGUUCUUCCCACAUACCUUUCAAAGCACUAUAAUAUUCUCCAAGAGAUUUGUUUCCCUGUUUAAAAUUAAAAAUCUUCUCAUAUAGUUCAUAAACUCUAGACAUAUUUUUGUCUUGUGAGUAACUCUCCAUAAGAUCAUCCCACACUCCUUUAGCAGUUGUGUGGAACAUGACAUUAGCAGCGAUGGAUGGUUCCAUGCUAUUCCAUAACCACACCAGAAGUGUAUCAUUCUCUCUCAUCCAACCAUUAUAGUCUCUAGAAUUUUCAUCAGGAGGGUCUCUGGUAAGAUAAUGAAGUUUCCCUUUGGCAUUAAUAUAGACCUUCACAGCUUGGGCCCAUAACAAGUAAUUGGAGGAUCCAUUUAAUUUAAUAGUGGUAAUUUGAACGUUGACACUAUUUGUAGAAGCCUUAGUAUCACUCAUGAUGAUAAUCUCAAUAUAAGUAUAUCUACCACUAAUCAAGGAGGCUGAAACUUUAGUGCAAGUAACAAAGCAGCAACGCUAAUGUAUAAUCAGAUGUAAUUGGCUUCAUCAAUUAACCAAAGGGAUGCUGAAAACUCAUAAAUAGAGACUGCUGUAUAGAAGAAAAUAUCUGACUAGAAAUCUCGAUUCAAAUAAUUAUAUGUUUGACGGAAAACCAGCAAGACUAGUCAACCAUAAUCAAUAGAAUAUUCUGAUUCUUGAAUCCGCUGAUCAGCAAGUGUUGUAAUCCAUGUUCAUAAACCGAACCUGAUGAAUCCGAUAUCUUCUGAUCUCAUAUGUAUCGAGACUUGAAGAGAAAACAGAUAAAAAUUGCAGCUUUAGGUGGCUACGCACCAGAGAAGAAGUAGAGUUACUAGGGGACUCUCAAACCAGCAAUAUGAUUAAGUAAUCAGAUAGUUAGACCUACUCUGAUACCAUGUCACAAAACUGAUUAGAGAACCCGCAGCAAGUAGAAAGAGAGAAAGAAGGAAGAGAGAAGGAGGAGAAAGAGAACGUAAAAGAAAGAAAGAGAGGGCUGUAGUUUUUCUGUAAUCAGAAACCCUACACCCAUUGUAUUUAUAUUGAAUAUAAAUUGUAUAUAACAAUAAUAUCCUUAUGUAAGUAAAAAAGGAAAUAAAACUCUGAUAAUAAAGGAAACUCAAUUAAAGUAACUUAACAGUAUGUACUCUCUUUUUUCAGCUUAUAAAUUAUGACUGUCUUGUUUGUUUUUCUUCUUAACAAAGCAGGGUAGUAUGUAGGACUCAUCACGUUAUAAUUUACUUCAUGAUGAGUUUUUCAUAUCAAUUCCAAAGUUUAAGGCACAUAAUGAUGUUUAUUAUACUCUCUCUCUCUCUCUCUCUCUCUCUCUCUCACACACACACACACACACACACACACACACACACACACACACACACACACACACACACACACACUAUGUAUGUCUACUAAUGCGUAUAAUUAUUAGUGACUAGCUCAAGGACAGCCACGGUUGAACAUAUUAAUGUGAGAUGAAAAUGAUUUGAUUCCACCUGCUUCUCUAAUGACUAAUCAUACUAUGUAUGUCUACUAAUGCGUAUAAUUAUUAGUGACUAGCUCAAGGACAGCCACGGUUGAACAUAUUAAUGUGAGAUGAAAAUGAUUUGAUUCCACCUGCUUCUCUAAUGACUAAUCAUACUCGUAACAGUUUUCAUGUAAUCGGAAUCUUCCCUUUAUUGUAGGUAUGGCUAUAUAACAUAGGCUUUGGUAGUUAUCAGGUUGAGAAAGUUUGUGAUACCUCAGGAGAAGAUGCAUCAUGCAGCAAGUGAUGAGCUAGUUUCAGUCGAAGCUACUUGUUCAAACAAUUAUUUUGUGGAUUUAUCAUGCAAAAUGCAAUAAGCCGUGAUGGACCAGCUUGUCCUAGAGAAUGUCCUUUGUUACUAGGAAUAUUUGUGGACAACUGAUCAGGGUAUUUUCCUGCAGAUUGGUAACCGGUAACAGCAUUGUGGACCAUUUAGUCUCUCUAUAGUGUGCAAUUAAUGGCUAAAACAUGAGAAUCAUGCAAAAUCGUCACGGACACUAUUGACGAAAUGUGGAGGCGAAGAUGUCAAAGGAAAUCUUAUGCUUUCCAGGAAUCCUUUUGUUUCUGCAUUGAGGCCGCAUUCAGACUCUGAUGCCAAGAGGAAAUUCAGUUGAAAUGCUCCUGGGUCAGUACCUGGAUUCUCAAAGAUCAUCAGGGACCUUUGUGAUGAAGUUUGGUCACAAAAUGCAUUCCAUCGAUCUGUUGUCCAUAUCCAUCACAAGAUACAGAGGAGCUCUACUCUAAUUUACUCUGAAUGUAAAUAGCACAAAGUUGAAGGUAUCAUCCUUGUAAAUACAACUCCAUGGUUUCAAUUGAAUAAAUAUGUUCGCAAGUUUGCCUGUCAAUCUGUUAUUGGGCUUGGGGCUUUGUUACCUGACUUGAUGUGUGGAUGCUGAGCUGAGCUACAUUCAUAGUUGAAUGACGCAGCUAUUUUCCCUUGGUUUAAUGUGUUGAAGAAAUCCUUGAAACUGUAAACAGAAAAGACAAUCGCCAGAGAUGACCAAAAGCUAGUUUGCUAGACAUGGUUAUACUGUUUCGAUAGGAUAUUGCAGCGUAAUUUCACUGUGACAAAGUCAACGAUGCCUGGUGUACACCGUCCAUUCGUUUCCAAUGUACAGCCAAACAGCAGUGUGGUUUUGUGCUCUUCAGUAUCUAAUGCAUAAUGUAAGGUUCAUCAGUGAUUUCGUGGAUGAUUCCGACAAUUUGUUUUCAAUAAUCUAACCGCAGCGAUUGAGAGUCCACUGGGGAAGAAUGGACACAAAACAUCAGAUCCCUAUCCGAAAUUAGGACGGGCACAUGCCCACAUUGUCAGGCAUAUCGGAGAUAAAGAUGUCCACUGUUAAUGAUUGUUCAAAUAAGUUUUAGCACUAGGCUCCAAACUCAUCAUAGAGUACAAUUUAGGAAAAAAAAAGAAUGGCUCCUCAUAUCUAAGCACGAAAAUUGGUUCUUUAUGUGCUGCGACGCUCUCAAAAUUUUCUCUGUCAAGGACUUGCGGACAUCGUGAGACCAUUAGUCUAUAGGAAUUUCAAGCUCAGAAUAAAAUACUGAUACACUGCUAUACAUUUGAUAUGUCAAAACAAAAAAUAAAGCGCCAAUAUUGUGGUCAUUAUUUCAAGUUUAGCUCAACCGCAUUUGAACAAGUAUAUUUGUUCUAAGUCCUUUAAAAUCUAACUCUGCGACUCUAUCAUUAUGAUUUGACAUGUGAUUCAAGGUCCUCUUGUUUUCAACUUCUACUUCUGAUGAGUGUAAAACCACAAGGCGAUAGCAACAAGGGGAGUGAUAUGUAGGAACAACGAUCAUCUCUCCAACCCCAAUGCGCACAUAAAAAAUCCCAUAAAUCACAUCCAGUAGCUCCAACCCUUGAGUCUGUUCUCUGUUUGACAAUUUUUGGUGUCAAGAACCGAACUACAUCACUGUAAUUUUACGUAACUAAGGUAUAAAAGCUGCUUAAGAUUAGUUAUGGGAUUCUCGCGAUGCUGCUUCUUCGAUUCAGUUGCUCUUUGCUACUUCUCCGGUUGCUAAAUGAGCCACAAUUUCCUGCAAAGAAACAUAGUUCCAUUAACUUUGUUAAGAGUUAACCAUCUCAAUCAGAAAACCAGCUCAAAAAGUCCGUCUGAGAUGUUUGUACCUCUUGGUCUCAACGUCAAUGUUUAAUGCGUAGUAAAUGUAUCAAAAUCAAUGGAAAAGAAUGGGUUGUGUAGAUUAGCGUGAAUAUAAUCCACGUCAAGACAUAUGUCUGCGAACCUGUACAUGUGAUCUUAUGAUCCCGAAUACAUGUAUCUAUUAUUCUAACUCAGCAGUUAAAUUCUCGGAAGAGUCAUUCAAGUACAUCAUCAGGAGCAGAGUCAUUUUCCUUCUUCCCCAAUUCCUCUUCCUUUUCCAGUCCAGUUGGAUUCUUCUCUUCCACCACCACUUUAUCUUACUCGCCCUCCUUCACACGUUCAUGCCGAGGCAAGUUGUACUCGGAGGAGAGGCCCUCAGACACGAUCCCUUCCGGCACUUCCUCGUCUCUUCUGGGAGAGAAGUAAUGAUCCGGCGAGUCGUGGGAUGUGAACCUCCCUGGCUCUGCCUCUUCCUCUUCUACUAGCGGUUCUGUCUCCGGCUCUAGCUCCUGCUCCAGCUCAAUCUCCUUUUCUUCCUCUACACGCUUCUCUUCCUCUCUGUCUUCAUCCUCGGCCUUUGUUUCUUCUUCUUCUUCGUUCUCUUCUUCUUGUUCAGACUCGGGAUGUUCAGUUAUGUCCUUAACAUCAGCCGCAUUUUCUGUAUCCUGGCUCACCGCAUUAUUGAUUUCUUGUUGCACGAGUAAUGCCGCACCUCUCCCAAUUGCUUCCAUCUAAAUAACGUUCUGUUCCACUUGUUUGUUCUUCUCGGGAUUGGCGCUCGAAACUCCUACUUUUGACUCCCCGCAACCCAUUGUCAUAAAAAGGAACGUCAAUCGAGAGGAAUUUGAUUGGGGUAUUGAUUCUCUCUGCCUUUGUGCAUCAGAUUGAAAUGAAGUUUCGGCUUUUGUCUUCUUUGCCCGUUGCAGUUUUGAUUUGCUGAAGCGGGUUGUAUCCGUGGUUGACAAAACGACAGAUCGUUUCUUGUUAUCGGUGGGGUUUUCCUUUCUUUGUCUUUUUUUUUUUUUUCAACCCAACCUUAGUUCAAUGAAAAACAUACUUUACAAUUAACAUAUGAUGCAUCCAAGCAAAAUUCAAUAUUGAAAAGACCGAAUUAUUCCCACUCAAAAACUUGUUUAAAUCUCUUGCUCCAUGUUUGAGUGAUUUAAUUUUCAGUUGGUUUUAAGUGCUUUUGAUAGGUAAGAAUUUAGGAUUUGUGAAUUGACAUUUUUCGAGAGAUAAUGACAUUCUUUUAUAAAAAGAAACACAAGGCUAAUAGAUGUAAAAAUGUAGAAAAUGAUAUAUAUAUAUAUAUUUAUAUUUUUUAACAUCAAUCGGCCUCAUGAACCAAAAUUCAUAUGGUCGUCAAACAUGGAAUUGCUUACACUUAAUCACGUUGAAAAUUGAACUUAGCCAAUUUUUCAAAUUCACAUAUAAAUUAUUUUCUGAACCACUAAAUCAAAAUAGACAAAGAGUAAAUAUGUUAGAAAGUGAAAUAUCAUAAAAAGAUGAAUUAUAAUAAUGUUAACAAAUUAACAAUCCAAAUAUUACUAAUUAAUCCCACAAAUGGUUUACUUCACCAAAUGGAAUUUAAAUUUCUCUCGAGUUGCCAUAAUUUAUUUUUUCCUUAGGCUAAAUAAUAAGCAUCUCCAAACAUAUAUCCUCUCUACAUAUAUUACGCCAUCUUCUUCCAUCUUGAGAGUGUCGUUUGCAAAAGUUCUUUUAAUUGUUCCACACCGUAAGUGGCCAUGGACGCCGCCACAGGAGAACAUCAAACUUCAGUAGUUAUCAGUUCGAGCUGUUUCUAGUAAUUACGCUCUUCAUAAUUUUCAAGAAAAAUAAAUCUAAUCAAACUGCAGUUCCAUGGUGUAACUCAUUUUAGGAGAUUGCAGCAAUUAAUUGUCACUGGGAGUACAUGAUUUAAUCAGAACCUAUGUCUGUAAAUCCUUACUUAGGCUAAGAAAUUGAAUUGCAUGGUUCACUUAAUCCGUGAUGAUAGAGACUAAGGGUUGACAAAAUUGUAGGUAAGAAGGCCUUGUGGGAGCAUAAUGUCUAUUGAUUGACCCCUACAAUUGGCUCUGCAAACCAUCUUUUGGUAAUGAUGAAGUGUAUCUAUAUCAGGCAAUUCUUUUUUCCAUUUGUUUUAUUUACACUAUUCUUCUGCUAACUUGGGGUAUUGCAAUGCAGCAAUAUGCUAAAGAGCACAAAGAUGCUAACCUCAUGCAGGAAGUUAUGAAGCUUUUGAAGAAGAAUAACUUGCCAUUGCAACCCACCACGGCCGAUAUUGUUUUCAGGUUCACUUCGGUGCUGUUUCUCCUGAGAAGGAUGUUAUUAUCAUGUAGUAAGCCAUUAUUGCACUUAAUUGUGUGUUAUGUACUGCAUAGUUAUCAAGCAAUUUAUCCAAUUUAUAAGUGUCAUUUAUAUACGAUUUAAUCAACUUGUUUUUAUUUUGAAUUAUUUUGUCUGCACUGCUACUCUCGAUCUAAUAGUUUGCUCAUGUUAUUUGACAUCCUUUCUUUCCAUGGAAAAAUUUUGCAGCAUUUGUGAUGAUACAGACAAUUGGGUGUUGCUCACAAAGUAUUCAAAGAGAUUUGUCAAAAUUGGAGUGAAUUUGCAUAAAGCUGCAUUUGACAUCUGGAUGGAGUUUGCUGCAAAAGUAGGUGAGAAACACUAGCUCUGUCUCCCUUCGCUGCUCUCAAGCCCUUGUCCCUCAACAAUCUUAUUUUCCAUUUCUUCCCACAAAUAGUUUUCUCAUCCACGUCCCGCCACUUACUACAAAAGAUGGGAUGUGCUAGAAUAUUUUCUUCUGUACGGUGAUUUCUUUCUCUCCUUAAACAAAAGGGUAGAAAUAAGAAAUAAAAAGAAUUUUCGCUGCGCCAUGUCUUUCAAUGUCUUUGUUUCUUUAAUUGUUCUGAGAUUAUGCUUCUUUAUCCUAUUUAGUGGUUUGACGAAAAUUACCCUUUUCAGGAGAUUUGAAUCUCUAUGGAAAACUGAGAAGUUAAGAUGUGAGUCCAUGAAGCAGCACACCCUGGGCAGUGGAUUCUCAUGUGCGAAGGUAGUUUACAAAGGCAGACUGUUGAAAUCACAAAUAUCAGACCCUGAAAGCACUAAGUCUUCUUGCAUUAGAAAAUCUGAUAAUGGGAAAAUAUUAAUAUUGCAAUACAGAUCAGUACAAAGUUCUUGGUAAACCAGGUGAGAGGUCUAUGGCCGAAAAAAGCGAGAGUUAAUGAUUGAAUAAACCAAAUUUUGGCUCACAUCCUAGGACAUGAAACACCUAUGGGCAUGAGAAUGCUUAUUGUCACAACACAAAGGAGAUAAUAACUACUUUUUCGGUAUUUGGAAGCAUUUAUUGUGGCUUUUAGCACUCUGGUUUAAUAUUAAAAUUUAACCGACUGUCAUUUGCUUGUUUUGUGGCAAGCUAAAUGGUUUUAUAACCAAUUUUUUGUGCAGGGAUCUUUACUUGAAGGCAAACCUGAGGAGGCUGCGACAGUCAUUCAUGUCUUGAAUCAGGUCCUCCUUGCUUCUCCGAGCAUCUAUAGCUAUUAUUAAUAUGCUCAUCAUCACCAUCUGGCAUGAUUGCAAUCCUAAAUUACCUCAGCCUCUGAAUUAGUCUUCAAUUUUCCAUAUACUGUCAAGGAAUAAAGCAAUUAGUGGAAAAUAUACAGAAUUGUCCCCCAAAAUGUGCUCAGAUAAAAUUACCAUGACAUAUCCUCUCUCGAGGGGGACUGAGUGAUUUGGGUUUCAUAUUUGGUGCAUGCUAUACUAUUAAAAUAACACGGCUUAGUUCCAUGGAUCCUAAUAGAGUUCGAAAGAUCAUCUCAGACUCCUCCUGAAUUGAAUAAAGUUGGAAAUUCACCUAUGUAGGCUCUGUUUGUUCAGAUGUUGCUUCUUAGGUCUCACAAUGUGAAUGCCUUGGAUUGAUGCGAGAGUUUACCUGAUGCUAAGAGGUCCAGCAUUGUGGUUGAACUUCAAAAGCUUGUCAGUGAGUGGGUUUUCGAGGUCAUCAAAUGGAAGAAAGAAGAUGACCGCAAGGUACUUCCUUUGACUAAAUAUCCAUCACUUUGGGUAGAAGUAGAAACGUUGCUUGUUUGCAGUUAUAUAUUGCUCUGGUAAUGUUUUCUCAAUCGUUCCCUUUGCUGGAUGUAUAUAUGCUGCAUUGAACUAUCUCAAAAUUUUUAAAACCUCUCAUUCUUUUCGCUCAUGUAGGCAUUGGCUGCUUCUUUCAAAUCCAAUAUCCCGGCCAUGGUUAGUUUCCCUAUCAAACACGGGCUUGGAGGUGAAAGUGAAUAUGGAACAACUAACCACCAAAGGCGCCCUUUGUUAAAGUAUGACAGAAUUGGAGAUUAAAUGCACUAGCUGCAGAUCUGUCUCCUAUGUGGACCGCUAAGGUUGCCAUUUUAAUUUAAACCGAUUCCGCUGAGAAGCAAGACAAGCGUGGUACUCACGUCUCGAGCAACAAGCAUCUGAAGUUCUCUUGUGAAGGUCCCUGAACCAUGAAAAGAUCUGCUCCUUCUUGAUUUGAAUGUUGUCACUUCUGUACUCUGGAAUAAUGAUUCUUUUCUUUCCCCAAAAAAUCUGAGUGUAUUAGAUACGAUAGGUGCAUCGUCAGCAAUUGAAUUCUGAGAACAACCUCGGAUGACUAGUUUUUGCAGAGAGGAUUCUUUUGGCUCACGCAUUUUAGAUUGGACCAAAUGGGCAGUUAAGAGAGACAAUUGAUAAGGUGGUCCUUUCAAUUUCAAUCUGAUUUGGCAGCCUAUUUUGUUAUAUUUCUGACACAAUUUCGCUGUCCAAAAUUAAGAGUGAAUUUAAUGCCGACUCAUUUGAUGUUGGCAUACAGCGACCGCCAUGGCUUCCUGAUUUAAUCGGAUCGAACCGUCCAAUCGUGGUGCCAAAGUGCAUAACAUAAAUUACAUCCCCUUUUACGUCAUGAAAGAAAACGAAAACCUGAAUUACCAGAAAUGGCUUCGGUACCCACAUGCGUGGGUGGGUGGGUGGGUGGGUGCGUGCAUUUUGUGCAUUUUGUGCAUUUAAGGCGUAAAAGAGGCGACAAAUGCAAUCCUCUAGAAUGAAAACAUGCGCAAAUUUUAACAAUGAAUUGACAUAAUUGUAAUAGAUAUGAGACUUUUUUGGUAAUAUAGGACCAAAUUUGAAUUCAUACAAUAAGCUUACGACUGAAUUUGCGAUUCUCCUAGCUCAACACCUUAAGCAGUAAUUAAGCUCUUCAUAUGUUCACCUGCCAUAACCUAAAAAAAGUCAAGCAUGAUCAUGGUGAAAGAAAAGGUCCAAAGAAUCCUUCCCUUGGAAGCAAACAAUCGAAUCAUUCUUGUUGCCUAAAAGAAUCGAGCAUGAGCUUUGUUUACCCAACUCAACUGCAUAGACACGGAGAAGAGGCUUCAGAUAUAAGAACUUAACAGGGUACAUCACAAGAGCAGGAUCUGAUGAAAUGUAACAUCGUACAUUUUCUUUGAAGAUAUGGAAAUGAAUAUUCAAAGCCCAAGAUUAAUCCUGGGAAAAAUGGAAAAGUAUGGAACAACAAACUUUGAUUUGCAUCACAUGAAGCAAAGAACCACGUGAUAAGUGAAUUCAAGCAUCCUGUGGAAUUCUAUUGACACUGGCAGCUUCUACUGAUUCCUGUUCUGCCACAACUAUAGUCCUGGAAGGCCGCUUGUUAGGAGUCAUUUGGAGGCAUUGUAAAGCAAGCUGUGCUAUUUGGAAUGCAGAAUCUGUAUAUGUAAGGUAUAGGGAUGGUAUAAAUUUGGUUCCCAUUUCCUGCAGGUCGCAACAUUGUGAGCGACCAGCUUCUUCUAAAAUAUCCAGUGUUUCUUUUUCAGUAAUUGGAGCAUCUGCAGAAAAUGAAAAGUUAUGUGGGCAAUACAACUGUACAUUUUAUGCCAAAGGAUUCAAGUAGCUAAAAGGAAAACACACCUUGUAUUUCAUAGAGGGGAUUAUAGUGAACCUCACACCAGAAACACAACCAAAACUCUGCAUCAAUUGAAAGUAAGGUUAACAAAAGGAAAAACUCAAAAAACAUGGAGUUUCAAAAGACCAGUUGCACAUUGAACAAAAGCAACAGUAGAUCAAUUGCAAAUGUUUACACCUAGGUUUAAAAUCAAUCAAAUAUAUAUUGAGCCAUACCCAAGCAGCUGUUCUAAGCAAGCGAAAGAACAAAUAUUUAAGUUCCCCAGAUGAACAACAAGCAAAGCAUCACAAAGGAGGAUCUAUGCGUAUAUGUAUGUGAGCAACACUCUUUUUUCCAAGACAAACGAGAAGUAAAAUAUCAACUUCACAUUCAUCACAUUGCACGGACUGAUCAUUUGACCCAACAAAACAACUAUGAAGAAGACUAGCAAGCAAUACCCUAGGCAGAGGGAACUUAUAAAUCCAAUGGCCCAACAAUAAUCAAGCUAUCAAUAUAAGUAUCAUCAAGAGGUUAUAGACCUCCUUCAGGCUCUCCAACAUCAACCAAAUAAGCAUUGAACAUCAAUGACUCACCGGAACAAAUAACUUCAUCAUUCUUCAAAAUUCUGCAUUCUGACAGCUGCUUGCUGCCAUCAUAGGGCAUUACCUAUCAUAUAUCCGACCAUCAAUCACAGCAUGGACUAAUCUACUCCAAACAAGCUCAAUCACGGAGAGCAUUACAACCAAAAGCACAGAACAGAACAAUAUGUGAUAUAGAAAAAAUGAAACCCUAGGCAGCAUCGAGCUGCUGCCAUUAAGUUCAAUGCUGCUGCCAUUAAGUUCGAUCGAGCAAGCUAAAUGAGGGAAAACUGAUGCAGCCCGCAUUGAAGAACAACUCUCUCGACCAAGAAGAUCGGCCCGCAUUCAAGCUCGACGAAACCGAGAAGCCGUAACAAUAUCUUGAGUCCAUUUUGGAAGCUUGAAAUACACCUUGGGAGCUCGCGUGACGUGCAGAGUGAGAGGCAGCUGUCACAAUAGACCAUGCGUUUCAGCUUUCCAUGCUCUUUACUAUUUCGUGACAUUCCAGCACACGCAGACUCAAGCACGUAACUCAUUUCAUCAAACACCAAAAGUGCACACUGGACAGCCAAACACUGGACAGGCAAAUCUAGAUGGUUCACACUCACACGAAGCAUAAUUCAGCACACUAAUUACAAACACGAUCCAAAAGCAGUUCAGGAUUGAAAAAGAAAACAAGAGCACAACACCGAUCCGCUCCUAGAACUUACAUUGCCGGCUCAAAAUGCAGGCGUUGAGUCUAUCACAGAGCUGAAAGCUCUAACGUAUUCAUCCGUGGGAUUUUGUUGAGUCUGGAUAUUCUGUAUAAGGGCAACAAGGAUGGUGAUGCCAGACUUCUGUCCCUCAAGAUUCCGUUUGAUGCGAUGUUCAUUUUCCUUAAUCAAAACUCCAGAGUUAGAGCUUAAGCUGGCAGACUUGAAAUCCAUAUCCUUGGUGCAAUUUCUCCCUCUUUACCCAACCUUGAUUGAGGAUGAGGACCACAAUACCAAUGUGUGCGCAGAAGCUCUCCCUGAUGCUCAUAGAGUUCAACUUGACUAAAAUUUCUGAGAUUCUACACCCAAAGACAGUCAGCCACUGCUUCAGAUUUUCACUUGGUGAUUUGUCCUGUGCAAAGGUGAAUGAUGUUGAGCUGCGCAUGGCUCUGGCAUCAGCUCCGAAUAUGGAUCCCAAGUUGCUUUCUCAGCUGAAAGUAGCAUGGCGGAUUGGAAAUCUUUUGGAGAUUGUACAUGGGAAGAAUUUGGAAGAUUUUCUCAAAUUGAUGCUUGGCUUGUGCAAAGCUCUUCUUUUAUGAUCACCAGGUUCUACGAAAUUUUUCACGUACAUGGAAGAGCCAACACUACCUGAUGAAAGUUCUUCUGAGGUGGCAAGUAGCAUAUGACAUAUAAUGGACUUUGGUGGCAGUGCCAGUGUUUUCCUGGAAUUGAGUGGGUCUAAUGACAGAAACAAUGCCGAUAUUGCUUCUGAAUGAACAGUUCUAUUUCUGAAGGCGGCCUCCAGGGAAGGUGCUCUCUUUUUCUCAGCGAUCUUUUGUAAGUGAGUGCAAUUCUCGAGUCUCAGCGAGACACCCUCCUUCUCUACUGGUACCAACGAAUGCUGCAUUCUCUCAGUUACAACUGUAGGAGAUGUUUGCUGCACAGAAUGAAAUUAUGAUUGAAGGCAUCGUGGCUGAGAUAAGAUAUUCUGGUGCUGCUGCUUUAGCCAGUGCUGCCACACUGGUAAUCUCGGAAUUGCGGUGGGUCCCUCAUUUAUGACUUCUCCAUAACAUUUACAAUUCCCACUAAGAAGCACACCUUUCCUGAAAUGAAAAAUAAACUUAACUUAAGCAUAGCAAUAGAGUGCCUGUCUACUUCAAAGUCGCAAUAAUGAGUUGAUUGUGCUGUAAAGUCCCAGGAUGAGAACAAUAGUCAUAUGACCUUCCAGCAAACAUUCCAUCUAUUUGUUUACAUCAUAACAAAGUUAUCUCCAAUGCAAAACGAGGUUAUCAAUUUCGAAAUAUAUGAAGAAGGAAAUCGACAAGGAUCUCUAAUAACUUGGUACAUAUCAAAUAAAAACGAUGCAAUCGACAUGCAUAUCUCUAGGAGAAAUCAUCCUAAGAAAAUGUAGCUAAAAAAGUCAAAUCAAACUAGGAAAAGAACACAAAUACUCGUACAUAAUUAAGAGCCCUCUGGCUGUUUAGAGGUAUCAUAAUUUCAAUGCUUCAUUAGAUUUUCAGACAAGAAUCCGCUAAAAGGUCAUUAAAAAGUGCAUGCGAAACUUCUCUGUUUAUAUUUGCGAAAGAAUUUGAUUGCGAAAAAAAGGAAAACGUUGGUACUUACCUCAAUUUGUUUAAAGUUUGAUCACAAGGUUAGAAUUUGUCUUCUUCCACAAAUUCGUUUCUUCAUCGUCUUCUCCCACAAAUUUGAUUGACUUCUCCAAGCAAAGCCGAGAAAUUUCCUCCACCGCUAAUUUCCCACAAAGUCUUAUUGUAACCUCUCGCAGUCCCUUCAAACUUGAUAGAUCAGGCAACUUCUGUAAAGAUUCACAGGAUUCAAUAUCCAAGUAUUCCAAAGAUUGAGGUAGUUCGCCUUGAAUCUCAAUCAGAUUAUGACAAGAUUCUAUUGUAAGAAGUGUUAGUUUGUUCCAAUUGCUUAGAUCAGGGAUUUGCAUCAGUUUAAAGCCACGAAGCAGCAACUCAUGUCCACCUGUACAUUUAAACAUCUGAUUGCGAAUAUGCACAUAAACAUAUGUCUUACCCAUUAAGCUGAACAGAUUGGGGAACUCCCGUAACGAAUUGCAGGAAUCAAUUGUAAGAUAAUCCAAAAACCGCGGUAGUUCGCCUUGAAUCUCAACCAAAUUACCACAACAGGAUACUCGAAUAUACCUUAGCUUGUUUAACUUGCUUAGAUCAGGUAGCAUUGCCAGCCGUCUGACUUUGUCAAUGUGCAAAUGUCGUAAGUUCUCCAAACAACCAAGGCCUUGAAUCUCUGCAACUGCAGAGCACAAAAUCGAGAGAGACGAUAGUUUCCUCAAAUUCGAUAGAUCCAUCGAGCAAAGUGAGUCGCAACCAAAGAGACUUAAGGAGGAUAAAUUUGAGGGAAGCCUCGGGAGGCGACGCGGAUGAGGAGGGAGGCUCAGGUCUGUCGAAGAGUCAAAUGAGUCAAAUGAGUCAAAUGAGUAGAAUGAAUCGAAUGAGUCGAAUAAGCCGUAUAAGUCGGUCUCCCCUAAAAAGAGUAGUUCCAUGGAUUCCAAUUUGCUUAAAUUCCCAAUCCACAGCGGUAUCGGUUCUUCCAGAAGCCUAUAAGAUUUCCCAGCACAAUUAGGUGAGCAAAAGAACAGAUACAAUACCUUUAAGUUAGCGAGAUUUGAGAGAUCCAGAAACGUGUCCACCCUCAACUGCCCCAGUUCUAAUUCGAUGAGACUUUCAGGAAGCCUUGGUAGGGCGUGUAUUCUCACCCCUCUCAAUCUCAAGAUCCUCAAGGAUUUAUUCUCGUAGAUGCAAUCACCAAUUUUCAAGUGUAAACACUUGUUAUGAUAAUCCUUGCAGACGACUUCUAUUUUUUCAAGCUUCUCCAUCAUCCAAAAGGCAUCGUGUAUUUUGCUUAUGACACUUAUCUUCAUCUUCACUACUUUCAAAUUCUUCAACUUUUUGAUGGAAUCGGGUAGUUCUUUGAUGUUCGUGUAACUUAUGUUCAACUCAAUCAGCGAUUCCAAAUUCCCGAUUGUCUCCGGAAGCCUCUUCAAACUCCGGCAUCUUUCUAGAGAUAGGUAUUUGAGGCUUGCAAGAUCUCUACACAGCUCAUCCGGCAGCCUCUGAAGUCUGCUACAAUUGCUUACAUCUAAGAAAACCAAGCGUUUCAACUGACAAAUUAAUCUAUCAAUUUCAAUUAACGAUUUAGAACCCGAUAGGAUCAAACAUUCUAAUUUUGAAUGAGCAGAUAAGUCGGGGGUUAUCUCCAAGAGUAGGCAAUGGGCUAGAUCUAGAACUUUCAAAUUCUUAAUCACCUGUAAAAGAAAAAUCAUGCAAAGCUUAUUUUUGAAUCUAAUAAGGCAAAAGGAUAAGUAUUGUCUAGCAUAUAACAAACCUUCAUGUGACUCCACCCUUUCCAAUCAUGCGUAAUUUUACUCCAAGAUAGAUCAAGAAUAAUCACAUUCUCCAUGGAGAAAUUUGUAAUCGCAAAUGUUGGCUGAAUAUUAUGCCAAGAAAACCAUUGUAAUCGUGGAAGGAGAUUUGAAUUCUUCUGGAAUACAUUAGUUGAAAGAAUAUCUAACGGCCUUGUGUGCCAAAAAUGCUCAACUUCAAGGAACGUUAGAUUGGGUAGGUUCUUGAAGUCCUCAUAGGUAAAAUGAUGCUGAUCGUCAAACUUGAGAUGAAGAGCUUCAACUUUUUUCUUCAUCUGUCAAAGAGAAAAAUUUGAAAAACAAAAGAGUUGAAGAGAAACACAUUUAUCCAAGUUCACUGUUUUAAGGGGUUGAGUUGAGUACUUAUAUUCCUUUAAUCUUAAAAGAGCAAAAAUAUUGGUUGAGUAGGUUGUGACGGUGCUAGAGAACACAAAAAUAAUUCCCUCCUUUUGAAAAGAAAAUGUCCAUAAGUAACUUGGAGAUUUAUUUUUAUAGGGAAAUUUACCUCAUGGCUCUUCAGCAGAUCCAAUCCUUCCUUGGGAUUCCACACACAACGUUGCUUCUCAAUUUUCAUCUUACUUUCUUGACGAACUAUUUCUCUUCCGAGGUCUCUAAGUUGAUCAUGCAUCCACAAUUUAUUCUGUUCAUCAAUUUUUAUCAAAGACAUGUUCUGCAAAACUUCCAAGGUUGCUUCUGGAAAAAGUUUAGAUGCAUCCCAAAAAAUAACUACAAUGUCUUUGCGAUAUCCAAUGAAAUGACAAGCUAUAUCAAGGAAUAUAUGCUUUUGUCGAGAAUCUAAUGCAUCAUAACUUAUUUUCAGCUUAUUUUGAACUUUAUCAUGAGGAACACUUUCUAACAAGUUCAAUGUGGCAUCCCACAUUUCCUUAACUUUGCUGGAUAAAAGUGAACCUAUGACUUCAAGGGCUAAUGGAAGACCUCCAGCAAUGUAUAUCGCUCUGUUGGUAUGGUUGAUGUACUCGUCUAAAGGAGAAUCUCUUCUAAAGGCAUGUUUGCUAAAAAGUUGAAGAGAUUGAUGGGCAUCCAUGCUCGUAAGCUCAUACAUCCAGUCCACUUCCGGAACAUGGAGAACAUCUUUCCUUCUCGUAGUAAUAAUAAGUUUGCUUCCUUCACCAAACCAAUCAUGCUUGCCUACAAGUGCAUCCAUAUGAUCCUUUUCUUCCACAUCAUCAAGAAGAAUGAGGGCUUUGUGAGUAGGGAACCUAUCUUUAAUGGUCUUAAUCCCUGCAUCAAUGUUUCUUAUAUCCACCCAUUUCAUCUUGAGGAUGUCGCAGAUGAGCUGCUGCUGCAAGUACUCAAUGCCCUUGAGCUUUGACGUUUCACGGAUGUUGGAAAGGAAGCAACAAUUGUUGUACUUGUUGGAAAGCUUAUUGAAGAUGAUUUUGGCAAUUGUUGUCUUUCCAAUGCCACCCAUCCCAUGAAUUCCUACAAUCCGCGUUUCACUUAUGUGAGCACCUAUCUCUUCCAUGAUUUUACCCACAUGGUGGUCCAUAUUGAUCAAGUUGUUUGAUACCACCAAAUAAGCCUUUUUCAACUCAUUGAAAACCUCCUGGGUAACUGUUUUCGCGAUCUCACCUUCUUCCCUAAUGUUUGUUGGAGGUCAAAUGGCAAUGAGUAAGAAAAUUGUCUUGAAUCAAACUAUGUUUCAACAAGAACAAAGUGAAAACUGAAGACCUAAGUGAAAUGUAUUAUAUAAGGAUUUACUCCAGUGUAGAUGAAUUAGCAUCGAUACACAUGAUUAUUGAAUGACCUAAACUAGGAAAGAAAAAAAAAAAGGUUGUUUGGUUAUGUGAUUUUUAUAGUAUAAUUUCAAUAGCAUAAAAUUCAAUUUCAACAAAACUAACACGAAUCUAGAAAAUAAACCAAUUGAACCACAUCAAGUUUCAAUGAUACAAGGCACAUCAAAGGAAUGAUAGAGGCAAUCACCUGUUGGGGAUGCUUUGCAAGUCCCAUCCAUCUAGUUCCCCAACUGCAUUGAGAGCAGCCUUCCACUCAUGUAUAGUCGCUUCAUCAUAUCGCUUCUUGUUUUCAUGUGAAAGAAAGGCCUCUUCAUAACACUUAGUUUGGUGUCGAACCUCUGAAGGUUCCACAUCAUAAAAAAUUGGCAUAAUCUUUUGUCCCCUAAUUUUUUGGCACUUGACCAUUUGGACUAGCUCCUUGAGACACCAUGCACUAGAGGCAUAACCCUUUGAAAAUAUAGGUAUUGAGAUCUUUGAUUCACUAAUUACUCGGAGAAGUUCUGGGCCAAAAUUUUCCCCCUUGCGAAGCUCUUUGUCAUCCUUAUAGACGCGUAUUCCUGCAUCUAUCAUACUAGUGUAAAGGAAGCUAGUAAAACCUCUUCGAGUAUCUUUUCCUCUGAAACUCAAGAAUACUUCAUAUUCAUAUCCUGAUGAAUUAACCAUUCCCUGACCUUCUGUCGUAGUGUGAGUAAAAGAAGCGCUCACUGCUAUUCCAUCAUUUUUACAGGUACGUUGUUUUUUUGCACUCCUCUCCAUUGAUUUCACUCGAUCUGAUCUUCAAGAAAUACCAAACAGUAUAUCAGCAAAAGCAGUGGCAGCUAGAGAUGGAAAAUGUUUAGAAGCCUAACUCGUAAAUAUUGAAGAUCUCUGUAGGUCAUUAAACUUAGUAGCCGGGAUAAGCUAAAUAUGCAGAGUGUCAUGGGCUAGUUUGCUACAAUUGUUUAAUAAGAAUAAUUCAUUGUAGCAUCACUCUCACUUGUCAAAGUUGACAAUGCAUGUGAACAUAGGAGUAUUAAAUCUCAAGGGGCGUUUUAACACCUUAAGGAGUUUUAAAUCUCCUGGGGAGAACGUUGACAUAGCACAAUACAAAGUUUUCAUUUUAAAUAAAAUGGCUCGCUCUUCUCAAAUCUUGAGAACAUAAAUUAUUCCCUAGGAGUUCUAAAUCCUAAGGGGAGAACAUGAACAUGCUCUCAUUUGACAUAACACAAUGCAAGGCAUUCUUUUUAAAAAGAAAAUUUCCACACUUCUCGAAUUUCUACAACAUGAAUUGUUUCUUCUUAAUGUCACUUUUGCAAAUAUGACCACCACUCUCUCUAGAAUAAAUCAAAAUAUUAACCAGAGUUAUUCAUGUGGUGGGAUAGUUGUAGUUUGAAAUCUUACACGUUUCCAAAAUUCCAUUAACCAAAAAUGGAGUUUCAUUUCAUGCAUGCUAGAGUUAAAGAACCAAUUAUAAACUUAAAGUAUAACUGGUAAGUACAAAUUGACCAAUAACUUGUGAGUCUGGGCAAUUGUUAGAAAGUCACUAAAAAAAAUAGUUUUUUUCACCCUCAAACCAAAUAGUGGAUUACCAUUUUUUUCUUUUAGAUUUUACAAAUGGGUUAGUAUUUUUUCUUGUAGAAUAUGAAUGCUUACAUAGUUUAUUAAUAGUCUUGAUUGAUGUUCCAACUUACAAACAAACUAACUAUUUUUACCCCUCUAAUAUCCAAGUAUGGUGUUAACAUUGUUUCGAAUUUAUGAGUAGCAAUGUUCAUUUGUAUAUACCAUGUGAACAAAAUAACAGAUUUACCAUGUGGAAAAUACUCUUGUAACUUAUGAGCAAUUGUGUGCCUUUAUAAGUAGGCAAGUAUUUUUGGUAGUAAAUUACGAGUUGAUUGCAUGCUUUGUUAGUAGUUUCGGUUAACAGCCGUAACUUACAAACAAAUAAGUAUUCUACAAGUAUAAAUCCUUACUAUAUUAUUAACCUUGUUUCGAUAUUAUGAGUUGCAAUUUUAUUGUUAGUAACAUGUUGACAAAACAAUUGAUUUACCUACUUGAAAUAUUCUUGCAGGUUACGAAUAGUCGUUUGCUUUUACAAGUGGCUGUGUUCUUCCUCUAGUAGAUUACAAGUUCCUUACAUAUUUUUUCCUAGCGACACCAGUUUAUAUUUGUAACUUCAUAAUAAAAAAACCUAAAUUUUUAGUAGAUUAUUAACAUUGUUUCGACGUGUAUUUCUCAGUAACAUACAAACAUAUUUUAUGCAAUUGUAUGAAUGCCGGAUGAUUGUGUGUAUUUGUUUACUAGUGAUAUUGAUGAUUAUUUGUAUUGAUGAAGCGUUCUACCUGUUUACAUGGUCAACUAUAAGACAUUGAUUAGAAGCUCCGAGAUGACUAAAUAUGCCACACGAGACGACAUGUUGGUACUGUUUUGAAAUGAUGUUGCAACGUGAUUGGAUAUUGACAAAGUUAACGAUAUAUAAUGUUUGGAACUUAUAUAAUAUACAACCAAAUAAUAGUAUGGUUCUGUGUUAUUCAGCAUCUAAUGCAUAAUACAAGGUUCAAUAGCAACUUCGUAGAUGCUUCCGAUAUAAUUAGUUUGUUUGAUAAUCUAAUCGUGGUGGUCAAGAGUUUGCUCUAUCUAGGGAAGAGUGGACAUAGAGUAUUAGCUUCCUUUAUAAUUACUCUAUAAAAUUAGGAGAGGCGCAUGCCAUCAUUGUUAGGCAUCUCAAAAUUAAAGAUGUCCACACUGAAUGAUUCUGGUAUUGGCACUAGGCUCCAACUUAAUAGACUACAAUUAUGAAAAGAAGAAGAAGAAGAUUCUUCUCAUAUCUAAGCUCGAAAAAUUGUUCUGUUUGAUAUUGGUCCUAGAGAUGUGCCCCUCCACUUUCCAAUAUACUAACAGUGUCGAAAUUUUUUCUGCCAUGGACUUGCAGACAUUGUGAGACCGUUAGUCUAUAGGAAUUCCAAGUUGAAAAUAAAAUACCGAUAUACUACUAUUCAUUUGAUGUGUUAAAAUAAAAACUAAAUGCCAAUAUUGCAGCCAUUACUUCAAGUAUAGCUCAACGUUCAAAUUGGAUUGGAACAAGGGUAUGAGUCUAAGUACUUUAAAUCUAGUCUCCAUGGCUCUGCGCCUCUGCCUCUAUGAUUUGAUCAGCUUAUGUGAUUCAAGGGUCCUGUUGCUCUCAACUUCAUCUUAAGAUAAAGUGUAAAACCAAUUGAUGAUAAGAGUUGGCAAUUUACUGACCACAUGGAUAAAAUUUCAAAAGAGUUGGUUAACUACUUCAUUAAUAUAUUGAUAUAUUUUUUAAUAGUGCUGGUAAGUUAAUAUCAAAGGAGUUAGUAAUAUAUUAAUUCAUUAAAAUGUUGUUAAAUUCUCGUAUGUGCCGGCAAUUCAUCUAUGAUUUUGGUAAUAAGAGUUGGUAAUUAACCACUUGACUCGUAUGUCAGUAAAUUCUUGAUAAUGCUGGUAAUUUAUUUAACACGUUUUGAGAGUGGGUAAUUUAAUACUUCCAUGUAGUGUUUGUAAAUUCUUGACUGUGUCGGUAAUCUACUUACCACACUCAUAAAAUUUUGUAGGAGUCGGUAAUUUACUACUUUGUUGGUAUGUUGUUAAAUUUCUAAUGUUGCUGGGACUUUACUUACUAGCACAGACCAAAAUUUUCAAGUGAGUUAAUUUACUAAUGUCGUUAAAAUUUUGAUAAUCUUGUAAUUUACUAAAUUUCUUAAGAAAUGGUAAUUUACGAAUAUUUUGUUAGUCAGCAACCAUAAGGUUUGAAGCUUGAAGUACACUGGCGAAUGGUGGAAUAGCGGAGAUGAGAGCUAGAGCUCAAGAUCAGGAUGGAGUAAUUACAAAAGGCCAAGGUAGUCUCCAAUCAGACUAUUGCUGCAGUACUGUGGAAUAUUUGGAAGUCAGGAAACCAGGCCAUCUUUAGGAAUAAAAAACCAGAACCAAGCAACCUUGUGGAGCCUGCUUUAGCUGGGUUGAAGAGUUUCAACAGAUGGAACCCAAAAUCGAGCGAAUCUAGUAAGACCAGCAAAGGGUCGUCAAGAUUUUGGAACCCACCGCAGGCUGGAACACUAAAGAUAAACAUACACGGUGGCUACGAACCUGAAGCUACUAGAGGCUCGAUCGCUUGCGUCUGUCGUGAUUUCGUGGGGAGGUUGGUGGACGGAGUGGUGCGAGCAGUAGCGGCGCCUUCUGCGUUCGGGGUUGAGGCUCUUGCCCUCUUAUAGAAGCCUCCACUCUCUCUGUAUACUCUAAGAAAAGAAGCCCUUGUUCUUGAGUCUCGCAGCUUAGACUUGGUCAAGGCUGUGGAAAGUUCAGACAGGCUCACGUGCGAAGCUCGUGCUAUUAUUCCGUUGUGCAAAGAUUUAUUAUUAUCCUUUUCAAGUAUCCAGAUCAUGUUCAAAAAAAAAAAAGAAAAGUAUCCAGAUCAGCCAUUGGCUUAGAGAGGCUAACUCAGUUGUGGACUGAGUUGCUAAAACCCACGAGAGAAAGCCCAUUUAUCGAACCUUUCAAUCUUUUUCUGCUUAAUGAAACAAAAAAAAAUAAAAAUAAAAAUUCAGUCUCCAAUCUCAAGGAGCGAACGUGCAAGUGUUCGGUCACGCUUCACAGCGCACGAUGGCCCCCCCGGCGGUAGAAUACCUUUAUUUGAUGGUGAUAACAUUCAACUGCAACUUUAUAAAAGCGUCGGAAAGAAUACUCUCUCGAAAUCGGAAAAGGCCACCGUCCUUCAUCUGACAAUUCCUAAACAAUGUUCACGCUCCACUAGCUUUGAGGAAUGAAAAAGAAAAAAGUAGAAUUAGCAACAUUUCACGUGCUAUGAUGGUCCCCAUGACUAGCCAAGCUCAUACGCUUCGAUAAAAGGUUGUCUCUUCUCACAUCUCGGGAACAAAAAUUGCCCCUCUCUAAGUUUGGCUCUGAAGAUUUGGCCCUCAGCUCCCCUUUUUGAGUUUAUAAUUAAAUUGCCGAUGCACACCUCUACACACUAUUUUAUUUAAUAGUCAAAACAAUGUACAUGUUAUCUAGCACAACAAUUUGAUGGUGAAAUAUAAUAGAAAUUAAUGAGAGAUAAAUUUAUUAUAAGUGUACCAGUUUAAAAUUUUUAAUAAUUAAAAAAAUAAUUAAAAAUAAAUUUAUCGUAAAUAUAUCAAUUUGAGUUUUUCACGAUAACAAUCAUUUUCUAAUUAAUUGGCUUCUGCUUUUCUUUUCUUUUUUGAACAACUAAUUGGCUUCUGCUUCACCAGGCACGAUAUCAUCACUCCCCCAUGCGAACACCAACGGCUGACAGCUUGCUCUUUGUAAUAUUAUGCAAUAAUGUAAUAUUAUGUUAGUGGGCCCCAAAAGAAGAAACUGAAAAAGAAACUGAAAAGUCAGUAAAACAAAAAGGAGAGGGGAGAGGGCUCGGCUAAAUAGAAGCUGAGAGUUCCCUCACCAAAAAAGAAAAGAAAGAAAAGACGAAGAAGAGGAAGGAGAAGAGAAAAAGGGAAAAAAGGAAAGGAAUUUUGGCAUGUGCACGUCUCGGAUGCCUCGCCAAGCUGACUCGACUCCAUAACACAGCACCCGGUAAGAGAUCAAGCCCCUUGUUUGUCCGAUUGAAGUAAUUUUUGGAUUUAGGACUUAAAUUCGAAAAUUUUGGAAAACUGAGCGGCGAAGUCUAAUUUUGGAGUCGUUGAGCCGCGUAUUUUUGCAAGAAUGGUAAUUUAGGGUGUUGUGGAGCCGUGGGAUUUUACGGAUCGUGAUUUGAACUUAUGGUUUGUCCAAAACAGAAUUUCAAAGUUUCCCACGCGCAGUGAACAGUACGCGUCCAGCAGCUUUGGGCCCGUAUUUUGUCAUUUUUCGGCUUGAUUUUGGGAUGGCCAAGUCGGAAUUCUUGUGAUAUGUUUCAAGGGCUCUCUAUUGAAUAUAAGUACGUUCGGAUCGGAGUUCAGAAGAGAAAGUUAAGGCGCAAUCAAGUUUUGCACUUAAAUUUCGUGUUGCGAAUGGCUUGAACAAUCGCUUUGGUUAUGCGAUUUGUUAGCGCGUAGAAGUCCUUUUGUUAGAGUUAAGGCGUAAUUUAGUUGUUUCGAAGUAGAGACAGUGUUUUAUUAGAUUUUAACAUUUUUCUCGGUUAUUUGAUAGGACCUUGAAUUCGACGAUACGAGUAUCGUUCGUCGUUUGGUCAUCGACGACGAGGUGAGUGGUACUAUAUCUUCUUUGGUUUUAUAAAAUCAUGUCUUGAAGUAUAUAUAUGUAUAUAUAUGUAUAAUAUUGAAUUGAGAAGGGCAUUUUUAUUGCAUAAAAGCUAGAUCGAGCAAUUGCUACUCUUUGGUUGAUUGUGAAUCUUUGAAAAGCACAUUAUACAAGGUUUGUGGAGAAACAUAUAUGAAAUUGCUUUGCGACUGAUUUAUAAAAAGGUUUAUGAUGAUUUGAGAAACGGAUAUGAAAUGGAUGAUGGGCUAUGUUGCAAAAUGUUAUUUGUUUGGUUUGAGAUAUUGAUUUUUGGAUUGGAUUUCUGGUAUUGGAGAAUGGUUAUUUAUGCUCAAUAUGACUGUGAAUCCAGUGAUGGGUUUUUGGGGUAUGCAUACCAAGUUUAGGAUAUCCUUCUGGGCCUAGCCACCGGCUUUGUAGGUGGAGACCUUGCCAAGGGGGGAAUCUUGGUCGCCUUGUCACAAGGCGUUGUGUUGUGACCAUGGUUAGUUAUUGAGCAAAAGAUUGAUCAAUGGAUAGACCAUUGAUAUGUGUUUUUGAUGGAGAUUAUUCGAUGGAUUCGACCAUUGAUACUUGACUUUUGAUGGCAAUUCAAAUGAGUUUUUCGUAUUAGUAUAAAUUUUUGAUGAUAAGAAAUAACUUUUAUAUGAUUCGAUAUGUAUUUUAUAUAUUGAAUUGGUGUUAUGAAAUUUGGUAUUGUUUUGUAUACAUGCAUAGUGGUUGUUCGAUCUGCUUAGAAGAUAUGUACUACUCACUGAGCUGUGGUUGCUCAUCCCAUUCCUCCUUUAAUCUUUUCAGGUUCCUCAGCUAGCGGCGAAUAGAGCGAGUGCGUAGUCGGUGGGAACUUUUGGGGAGUUCUAUUUUGUUUUUGGUAUGGUUAAAGGAAGUGGUGCAAAUAAUACUUACUAGUAGUUGGAUCGUUUAAGUUUUAAACGUAUAUCUUAUUCUCUUUUGGUGGAUUAUAGAAACUCUGAUGUUGCAACCAAUUUGUUGGUUCAUCUAAUAUAUAUAUAUAUGGUUUGAGAUAUAUAUAAGUUAAUAUCAGUUUGUUGGUUGUAUUUGAGGCUGCGUCCUGUGAAAAGAAGGACGGCCGUGUCAUUCCCAUUCUUUGUGGUUUUGGGGUGUGACACUCUUCAUCCGAAUUGCGACCCCUGUCCUUGUCCUCUGCUCCUCCAUCCCUCCCCUUUCAUUCUCUGGAAUCUGUAGAUCAUCAAUUACAUGUGUCUUACGCUUUUGCCAAAAUGCCCAAAUGCUCUCAUGGCGAGGAAUUCUUUUGCCUUUUAUGGAUUGAUUUUAAUGAUAAAUAGGGUUGAGGGCCUUUCUCCUGCUAAAAAAAUCGAGCGAGUUAACUAAGUCGAGCCCCUAUGCCGCGGCCAUAUGCAACCAUGGCCGUGCGAGGCCAGCAACCCCUGUCUAUCGCGACUUCCACUGGACAUAGGUUGUGAGCUCCAUGCGGAGAAAAAAAGAGACCAAGGGAUAGCAAACAGGUCAAACUGGUGUGGAGUUAAUGUUGUCGGUGGAUUCACGCGCGAAGGUGAGGGCUUGUGAUGGCAAUGGGUGGGCGACAGUGAGCGGCGAUUCUGUAAAAAUCCUAAGCUAUAUUAAUUACUAAUUAUUCCAAUUUUUUUUUUCAUCAUAAAAAAUCGAAACUUGUCUCAGAAAUCCAAAAGUACUUUCCAUUGGAUGUUUACUUACGCACCGCUUUUCAUUAUUUUGAGUGUAAAUUUCUCUUCUAAAUUAUGUUAGGAUUAGUCUAGACAUUAAAAAAAAAACUACAAAAACAUUUGCAUGGACACUUAGUGGUUUCAUAAAGAUUAUAAUUGGUAAUCAAGAUUGUAUGGCCAUUUAGAUAAACAGCCUUCCAAGUUAGUGGUACCGCAAGGGCGCUAAUAGAAACAUUGGCGUAAACAAGUCCCCGUUCCUAGAAAUCUCUGGUUGCGUAUGAAUCGAGACAACACUCCCGUGUCUUGAUUGGUUUCCAGCCGACCUCAAUAGGCUAGUGGCGACUCCUAGAAUUACAUAAGUUGUUAAUAACUAAAAAACGAAUCCAACAUCGCGCGGGGUAUGGGCUUGGGAGAGCCCGCGCCUAAUCUAGGGCCAUUGGUCCACCUCUUUACGCAAAUACCCCUAAACCUUCUUCUUUUUCCCCGGACGGAAAAUUUGGAGGUCAUGACAGCUUGGCGACUCCACUGGGGACUUGGUUGCAAACCUUAGAAGACUUAGGCCGUAAUAACUUGGUUGGUUGUUCACUAACAUGGUCUUCAUUUGAUAGCGCGUGUCAAAGUCGCGUGGAAAACAAGGUUAGCCCGCUAACAAUGUGUUAAAUGUUUUUGUAGGUUUGGAGUAAUAAGGGGUGGAGUGUUUGUUAACCCAUCUCUUUUGUAGGGAGGCGUAGGAAUGUAUGCCGAUAUGGAUGAAAUUGAAGUGUUGUUUGGAUAUCAAUUGAUGUGCGUGCCUUUAUACUUAUCUUAGUACUACACAUUUACACACACAGCUUGCGAUCUAAAACCCCGAUCGCACUAGGAAGCCCAUAUGAGGUGCCAAAAGAUGGAACCCGUGCGGGGAAUGACCCAUGGUUAUCCACUUUUGGUCCCGCUCAUUUUGAUUAAUGAUAAAGAGAACUGUCCGACGUAAGCGCGGAGUGGGGAAAACUCUUUUGAUCUAAUCAAAAUGGGGACCUUAAGCCUUUAGAACUCCACCUUUAUGUGUCAAACCUCACAAGUUUGCAUCCGCAUGUCUAUGUGACUUAGAAAAAAAAAGGGUCUCUUCACCCACUGUAAGUAUGAUUUCUCCAUCUACUUGCUCACUUCGGAUUGAAAUUUUUAUUUAUUGGAGAUUCGCGGAAAUCAAUGGAAUGCCCUUGAAAAUAUAGGCUUGGCACUCACUUUUGAUAAAUAAGCAUUUCAAAUACCUAUGAUCUACUAAACAUAUGUUUUUGUUAAAUUUUCAAUUAUGAACUUAAAGUCACAUUUUGUAUAGAAAUUCUUCCAAAUCAAGAUUACAUUUUGGGGCAUAGAAUUAAAAUCAAAUUUUCAAUAAAACUCUUUGUUGGUCACAUUUCAAAAUUAAAAUUCAAAUCCCAUGUUGUAUAUUGAUUUUUCAAAAUAAAAAUCACCUCACCUUUGCAUGAGUGAAACCACAAAUUAAUUUUUUAAAAUCAAUGCCCCAUUUGUGUAUGAAACUUUUGGAACAAAGUGGGCAUUCAAUUGAUAGUCACGGAUCUAUCUUUUAAUGAAAUCUCCUCUUACUAAUAAAAUCUUGACGAAAUACCAAACUCUCGUAAGUGGAUACUACGGAGAAGGUAUCGUCGCCUUGAUUUCAUUGUAAGAGGCGGCUUUAUUGAAAGAUCAAUUUUUCAUUCAUAUAUUGACAUUAUCUUCCUUUCGCAGGUCAUGCGUGACAACCAUUCCUUAAAGCUAGGACGAGAAUUGUGCUUAUUAUGCUCCUCUAUGAAAGAGCUUCUUGUACUUUAUCCUUGUCAUUAUUCCUAUUAGGAAACGUGUUUUGCGUUUUGGGUUUUGAUUGUGGACCUAAUCAAAUGCCUCUGUAAAUCAUACAACUCACAUUUUCUAAUAAUGAAAUUAGAGUUCAUAAAAGUUAUACCCUUUAAAACACUUGAAGUGUUUCAAACGAACCCUCUGGGCUGAGUUUUAUGCCUUAGCUUCAAAAUGUGUGAAAAUAAGUUUCAAGAACUUGCGUAAUACUUUAUCUCUUCACUUAAUCGCUUUUGCAGGUUGAUCCGUAGAACGAUGCUUUGAGGGGGUAAGGUUGUAAUCGUUCCAAUAGGGAUUUCUUGCGCAACAACUAACUCAGUCAUCCAUUUUUGUGAAGCAGGCAAGAUGACGGUUUUGUUCAAGAUUGACAAAAGUGCGGGCCUUUCCCUAAUAGAGCGAGUCAUGAGAUGCACCAAUUCAUGCUCAUUUAUGGGCAUAGUUGGUUGAGCCAUGAACUACUUGAAUAUUUUCGCAACAUAUGAAUUCAAACAUUGUAAUUAAGUGUGAAAAGAAUCAUCAAGGCCUCGAAGAUCACAAAUCUACUGGUCUAAUGAAGUUCCACAUGCUGGACGACCUCAUAUUAAUUUGACAUUCUUCGUGGAAGAAGAAAUUUGUAGACAUUCUUUGGCAACAAACUACUUCGUUGGUUGCGAACAAGAAGCAUUUGCAAUCCCUACACUUCCAACGGUUUCUUGGCAUCCAAUCCUGUAUGGAGAUGAUUAUUGGUGGUAUGCAAGACAACACUUCGAGAUGUAGAUGUACACAAGCAAGAAUCGGUCAUCAAAUGUUGCAUUCAAAUAAAAGGUGGUAAUCGUUUCAAGUUAAAUUCGAUUUAUUUUAUGAAUGACUUGUCCUUCAACUUGGCGCAGAUUUUAGUGAGGCAAAUUACUGGCAAGCAACAAGAUUACAUGGGGAGGACAACCUGGUCCAGAAUCACACGAUCUCUAAAAGAAAAGGGUGUGUUCGUUCCAAAAGUCAGAACAACUCAUUCAUAAACUAACAUAGCCACCCAUGCUUACAGAUUGUGAAAUGGGAAAUGCAUUGAUGCAGCAAAAAUGGCGAAAAAUCACCUAGCCUAAAAGGGGUACGCGGGAAACCAAGUAAAGCAUGAAGGAUUCAAAUGAAAUGAAGAUUCAUCAAUCCAACAUAAUGAAGCUGAAAUUUUAAUUGGGGCAGAUGGCCAUAAAAUGGAUCGGGGGCAUGCAAUGCCUGAGUCACCCGACUUCUAAAAGGGGAAAAUUUCAAAUGGAAUAGACAUUUGCCAAGUGAAUCACUGUCAAUCAUGAAAGCAAAUCCCUCUUCAUAGCCAAGGAAACGAGAUGGAACGCAGUCAUCAUAUAUGCCGUAAAAGGGAGUAUACCGUUCCUAAAAUGAAUCAUGUCGAGUAUGAAAAUAACAUAUUCGUCUCUUUUUCCUUGCAGUUGAUGAAUGGGGCAAAUCACUUACAGCAGAGCAAUUUUGACCCAUGAGCAAGAUGAAACAUAGUCAAUUGAUUCAGCACGAAAAGGGAGUAUCGUUUCUAAAUUAGUCCAAUUCAAUUUUGGAAUAUAAGUACCAUGCCCUAUCUCUUGUAGGAAAAGGUGCACAUUGACCGUUGGAGCAACACCUUAUACCAAGAAGGCAUGUUAAGGCCUAACCAUCCAUUUUGAUGGAAUAAAUGGAGUAAAAUAUCCACGGAGCAAUGCCCUCACAUGUCGAAACAAUGAGUACCCCUCUCCUUUCAUCUUUGACGCCCACUUAGAAUGAGUGAAUUCGAUAACAUCUUUGAAAGGAAGACCUUCAAGGAAAUGUUAACACCUGAGGAGCAAAAGCACAUGAAGAGGAAACACAAGAUAUUUAAAGUCAGCUGCAGGAGAAGGGUAAUUCGGUAUUGUUUCCAAAAUGCCCCUCUCUAACUUCAUUAUUUGACGUAGUUCCCUUGUUUGACAGGAAUCGUCGGUAUUCGGGGAACAAGCUCGAGAAAUUGAUUUAAGCAUAAUUCAUAUCAACCAAGCAAGCAUGUGGAGCCAACACAUGACAAAGUCACCUAAGUUGGCUUAAAAUAUGUGUCGUUCUAGAGCCGGUUCAAUUAAAUAAAAAAAGAAGCGCCUUAUGGACACUACCAGCGCUUUGGCCUGGUGGUAUGGGGAAUGAAGUGGGUCUGAGAGGUACGGGGUUCGAUCCCUGGAAACAGCAACAAGGUUGCCAUGUAAAUAAUAAUAAUAAAUAAAUAAAUAAAAACUUUUGCAUCUCUUAUUUUUGCAAAAAGAGGAAAAUGCUUGAACUAAUGAGACCAAAGAUCUGAGAUUCUCUUCAAGCCUUAAAAUAGUACAUUCAUUCCGUUGUUUGCCGCCAAAUGGUGAAACUAACCAAGGGUAAUGUUGUAUCGUUUCCAAUUUUACGAUCCCUGAGGAUUCAUGUACUAACACAUUCCCUUUUGUUCUUCGUAGGGUCGCUUGACUACUAAGGCACAGGUAAGUACCCUUCUUCUCAAAAUCAAAUGGAAAAUAAAUGGGGAAUUUCCAUCACAAAAAAAGAACAUCUACUGUUUUUCUAGAAGCAAGCACAAAAAAAAAAAUGGAAAUUGAAGAAAAAAAAUUUCCACAAAGUUUGCAAAAAUCUUCUUUAUCAUUAAAUUGUUCAUCCACUUGAUGGAUCACUCAUUUCGAAUCAAAAUUCCCUAGGGAGAUUAAUCCAUCCAAAUGUUCUCAACAAAAAUGAAAGGGAUGUUACUCAUGCCAAGCAAGAAACAUUUAGAAUGAGGAAAGACAACCCAUUUCCAAACAUGUCCUUUAAACACUCUGGGAUUCGAGCGAAAAAGAAAACCUGUGUCAUUCAAGGUCAUCGAAUUCAUUCGCAAGCGGUACAUAGACCAAUAUGAUAAGAGGCAUUUCUUUCCUCUAUCAUACACACUACAGGUGACAAUAGUUAGCCCAUUUGAGCCUUUUAAUGUGAAGAAUUUUCUACAAAAUACCCCUGUCAAGAACCACCCCACGAUGGGGCAAUUAUGGAGAUUUGGGUUGACAUUAUUUGGAGAGAAAAGAUGAGAAAGGUUUCUUUACUCUCACUUGCAUAAAUCUUUUCUAUGGUAACUUCAGGUGAAUUCUUAUGGAAGCUUGAAGCAUCCCAAGGUAAAGAAGAGCAUUCUUUUCUCUACCCAAACACCGAUACCCUUUGCUUAAACCAUAUUGAGCCUAACUAUUCAUUUCUAAAACCCGAGUGGUGAUUAUCUCCCCACAUUGGGGCAGGGCACAUGAUUUACCAAUGCAAUUGGUGUUUAUAUGAGAAUAUGAAAAGCAUCUUGAAAGUCCCAAGAGCUCAAAAAGUUUGAAAGAACAAAAGUCAAGUGAAAAUUAAGGGGCAUGAAAAAGCAGUGUGCCUGGUAAAAGCAAGGCCAAUGCCCACAAAAAAGGGAGAGAGAGUGGAAGAAAAACAAUUGCAUCAAGAGGAAUAUCUCUGUGAAAGCAAAAAUGGCAAAAAAAAAUGCAUGCAUUGAAAAGAAAAUCAUUGCAAAUGCAAAAGCCAUUAUGUUAAGAUGAUUAGUCAAAGGACUUUCAAGACAAUUUGAAUUCUAAACAUUGAGUGCUUUAAAAAAUGGAUGAUAUGGUAAUGAUGCCAUGAUAAUCACCAACUCCCAAAUCCCCCUUUGACAAAAAAGUUCUAAGCCUUUUGAGCUAAGCCUUUUGAACCUUUCCCCGAAACAACAUUACAACCCAUUUCCAAAGUCUCUUCAGAUUGGGAUGAUUUGAAGUGGAAAUAAGGACUUCCUAAAGAAGAUGCCGCUCGAAGAAGUGAGAGUAAGGUUGUCUUAUCUCAUCUUAAGGUUUCUUGACUUGUAAACCUGGCGGAGAUGUCGAUCAGUGAUUAAUUCAUUUCAUAGCCAAUGAUGCUUAUCCAUUGCUAAAACCAUGACCAAACCUGCACUACGGUCCUUCUAAAAGACCUCUUUGAUUGGUCAAUGUGUACUUAUUGCGAAUGAUUCAAAGCCUUGCGCACUGGAAGAGUGAGGUUGAGUGAUCAGUUUAUUUCCCACAUGAACAGAUUGGGAUCAAAUAACCAUUUUCUUGAGGAUAUGCGAGAAGCCCUUUCUGACUAGGGAUCCUUGCUUGGCAUACUUAACAAACCUUUCUCAUAAGUCGGGGUCAUUUCGACAAGGACUUUUCUCCCAAGAGAAUUUGACGAUUAAUGGUAUCAUCCGAGCGUGAUGACAGUUUUGCGAGUUUGUCAAGUUGUCGGAAUUAGUUUGAUUUGUUUAUGCAAUCAUUGUCUUCUCAUUACCGAUACACUUUUGAUAUUGUUUCUAAUGACAUAUGUUGAAAUUGACCUCAUCUAGUAUGCUUUCGCUACUAGAACACUUGUUAUAAUGAAUACUAUUUGAUGUGCACCAUUUCAGAAUAUUCUCGAAUGACAGGUUCCUCCAGUGAAACCACACAAUUUCAAAGGGUUCAUGGGUUAGCCUUAAACCAUGCACUUUCAAGAGUUCUUGGUUACCUUUAAACCUUGCAAUUCUAAAGAGUUCAUGGGUUAGCUUUAAACCAUGCAUUUUCAAAGGGUUCUUGGUUAUCCUUAAACCAUGCAAUUUUCAAGGGUUCUUGGAUGAGCCUUAAACCAUGCAUUUUCAAAAGGUUCUUGGUUAUCCUUAAACCUGGCAAUUUCAAAGGGUUUAUGAGUUAUCCUUAAACCAUGCAUUUUCAAAGGGUUCUUGGUUAUCCUUAAACCAUGCAAUUUUCAAGGGUUCUUGGAUUAGCCUUAAACCAUGCAUUUUCAAAAGGUUCUUGGUUAUCCUUAAACCUGGCAAUUUCAAAGGGUUUAUGAGUUAUCCUUAAACCAUGCAUUUUCAAGAGGUUCUUGGUUAUCCUUAAACCAUGCAAUUUUCAAGGGUUCAUGGGUUAGCCUUAAACCAUGCACUUUCAAAAGUUCUUGGUUACCUUUAAACCUUGCAAUUCUAAAGAGUUCAUGGGUUAGCUUUAAACCAUGCAUUUUCAAGAGGUUCUUGGUUAUCCUUAAACCAAGCAAUUCUAAAGGGUUCUUGGAUUAGCCUUAAACCAUGCAUUUUCAAAAGGUUCUUGGUUAUCCUUAAACCUGGCAAUUUCAAAGGGUUUAUGAGUUAUCCUUAAACCAUGCUUUUUCAAGAGGUUCUUGGUUAUCCUUAAACCAUGCAAUUCUAAAGGGUUCUUGGAUUAGCCUUAAACCAUGCAUUUUCAAAAGGUUCUUGGUUAUCCUUAAACCUGGCAAUUUCAAAGGGUUCAUGGGUUAGCCUUAAACCAUGUAUUUUCAAGAGGUUCUUGGUUAUCCUUAAACCAUGCAAUUCUAAAGGGUUCUUGGAUUAGCCUUAAACCAUACAUUUUCAAGAGGUUCUUGGUCAUCCUAAAACCAUAUAACUUACGUGGUUAGUGGGACUGCCUUAAACCACACGGUUAGUGGGACUACCUUAAACCACACGGUUAGUGGGACUACCUUAAACCACACGGUUAGUGGAACUACCUUAAACCACACGGUUAGUGGGUUUACCUUAAACCACACGGUUAGUGGAACUGCCUUAAACCACAAGGUUAGUGGGUUUACCUUAAACCACACGGUUGGUGGGACUACCUUAAACCACACGGUUAGUGGACUGCCUUAAACCACAAGGUUAGUGGGACUGCCUUAAACCACACGGUUCGUGGGAAUGCCUUAAACCACAAGGUUAGUGGGACUGCCUUAAACCACAAGGUUAGUGGAAUUGCCUUAAACCACACGGUUUGUGGGAAUGCCUUAAACCACAAGGUUAGUGGGACUGCCUUAAACCACAAGGUUAGUGGGACUGCCUUAAACCACAUGGUUUGUGGGACUGCAUUAAACCACAAGGUUAGUGGGUUUGCCUUAAACCACACGGUUAGUGGGACUGCCUUAAACCACAAGGUUCGUGGGACUGCCUUAAACCACACGGUUAGUGGAACUGCCUUAAACCACAAGGUUCGUGGGUAUAUCCUUAAACCACACCUUUCAAAUUGUUCACAAGUACAUCCCUAGAUCACACUCUUUACAUUAAGCUUACUUGCAUUUUCAUUUUACUAUUGUAAAAAAAACAAAAAAACUAAAAAAAAAAACUAAAAAAUUAGGUGUCACAUUGUCUUUGAAAGAAAUCUCUUUGAGAUUUCUUCUAAAGAGGGGCAGCUGUUGACACCUAAAUUUUUGCCAAAAAAUAUUUCAUGUUAAAUUCUUGCAUAUAGAUUAUUUAGGCAUUUUAAUAUAGUGUUUUAAAUGGAAUAUGUUUUUACUUUAAAAGAAAAUUGAAAAAAAAAGAUUAAAAAAAAGAAAAGAAAAAAAAGUUGGGGCCAAUGAUCUAAAUGUGACUAGCCAAGCCAAGGAGGUUAGAUUGGAAUUCAAAUGGUAAGUUUGGGCCAAAAUGCAAUUUCCAAAAGUUGAGGGACCAAUUUGCAAAUUUUGCAAAAUUUGCGCCCAAGCCCGUAAAUCAUAAUCUUGGUCACCAAUUAAGUUGAAAUUGAAUUUGGGCCAACUCGAAUCAAUCAAAUUGAGCGAAAAGGACCAAAUUUGCCUUGAGUUGGGUAUUUUCGGAUAAGAAAAUGGCUAAGUUUGAGGGACUUUCUUGCAAAAUUGGGUGAGCUGGGUCAGUGGACAGGCUUGGUAGGUGGACAAAAGGCCGACCAAAAAUUCUCUAAUUGGGGGGGAUAACAUUACGGAAGGGAGGUCUUUCGAGGGAGUGGAGAGAGGAGACGAGAGGGAGAGGAGAGAGCUUGGAAUCGUCCCCCAAAGAGGCCCUCAGAAGCAACUCUAGAAAAGCAAAACCCAGAAAUUCCAGACCGACCUGAAGAGAGAAAAGUGAGAUUUUCACACACCUGUGGCCAAAAUUAGCCAAACCCUUCAACUAGAGAGUGAAAAUUCAUUCAAAGAUCUUUCCAACCAUAGGUCGCAAGUCCCAAAUGGAGAUCGGGAAGGCCUCCUAAAGCCCCCCGAAAACAGUGCCCUCCUGGCAGGCCAAGAAAGUCCGAAAUUUUUCUAAGUGUUGAGCCUGAUUGUUCAUGAGUGAGGAAAAACGAGUGCUUUUGAGAAACUUGAGAGACAAUUGAGGAAAGCCAUGACUUACAAGCCAAACGAUAAUAUAUAUAGUUUUGGUUGAUUUGAACUUCGUCAACAAGGAAGGUUUGGAAAUCUAAUUUUGGAAGUUAACGAAAACCUUCGUUGUCACCUUUUCUUCUGCAGAUCUCACUUUCAGCUCGAAGGAACCAGUUUCCACGUGCUUCCAGAGGACAAUUUCGUGGUUUCCUUGGCCAACAGUCACUUGAAAAAGGAACUAGGAAGCAAGAUUUGCAAAACGGCUCCAACCCGCAUAUUGAAGGCCGUUUUCAGUUUGAUUCUUGCGUGUUCUAGGCUGUAAUUUCUAGUCAAAUACGUUCUUUGCAUGUAGUAGUAUAUCCUUGAUACUUUACAUUCACAUGAGAUUGCUUAUGGGUUGAGAUUGAAGGCCACGAACAUGACCCGAAUAAGCCGUUUUGGAGUGAUUUGAUGCAAGCCAAGUGUUCGACAAAAUGCUCAAACUAAGCUUCGAUCUUGAAACGGUCGAUUUGAGCUUGAUUAUUGUGAUAUUCAUGUGCUGUGUUACUCCAUGUUAGCAUAGAUCGGUUUAAGGAAUUAUUUUUUUUUUUAAAAUAAUUAAAAAAAGAGAAAAAUAUGAAAAUUUCAAAAAUAUCAAAAAAUGUUAGAUAGCAUCAAAUUAGGAUAUAAAUGACAUAUAUGAAAUUUUCCUAAUUUUAAAAUGUCAUUUUCCUAAUUUAAUGCUAUUUUGGUAUUUUAUAACCAUUUUUGUAAAUAAUCCAUUUUGUGUAGAUUAAAACUAUUUAAAGUAAUUUCAUGCAUAUAGAGUAAUUUCAUGCAUAUUUGAACUCUCAUUUUGCUCAUGGGGGUCCUGUCCCGGGGUGUGAUAACAAGGCCAUGUAAUAUUAUUUGCCCGACUUGUAUCGGGUUUACCUUUUCCGCGUUUAUUUUCAAGUCAUUUCAAUUUCUUGGAUGUUUACUUACGCGCCGCUUUUCAUUAUUUUGAGUGUAAAUUUCUCUUCUAAAUUAUGUUAGGAUUAGUCUAGACAUUAAAAAAAAAAACUAAAAAAACAUUUGCAUGGACACUUAGUGGUUUCAUAAAGAUUAUAAUUGGUAAUCAAGAUUGUAUGGCCAUUUAGAUAAACAGCCUUCCAAGUUAGUGGUACCGUAAGGGCGCUAAUAGAAACAUUGGCGUAAACAAGUCCCCGUUCCUAGAAAUCUCUGGUUGCGUAUGAAUCGAGACAACACUCCCGUGUCUUGAUUGAUUUCUAGCCGACCUCAAUAGGCUAGUGGCGACUCCUAGAAUUACAUAAGUUGUUAAUAACUAAAAAACGAAUCCAACGUCGAGUGGGGUAUGGGCUUGGGAGAGCCCGCGCCUAAUCUAGGGCCAUUGGUCCACCUCUUUACGCAAAUACCCCUAAACCUUCUUCUUUUUCCCCGGACGGAAAAUUUGGAGGUCGUGACAUCUUGUUACUAAUACUAUAAGUAAACUUGAAUCAGUGACUCGCAAAUAUUAUGCGUCAUAGUUCCAUCCAAGACGGCCGUUAAAAAUCCAACAUGACCACUUGCUUGGACAUCAAUAGGCAAAUGGAGCCAAUGUAAAUUUGACGUGAUUUUAGUAUGGUCUAAAAUGACUUUAGAGAAACAAAUUGGACAUGCUUUUACCAAUGUGGAGUAUACAUCUUCUUAAUGUCACAAUUUUACGAUGGUUACUGUCAUAGAGGUGAUGCCAUAAGUGCUGAGAUACUUUCAUGCAGAUUGUAACAACUACUUUUUCGUAUACGAAAUAAUGAAGUUAACGUUCUCCUAGGUGAAGAGUGGGCAUCAACCAAUUUCAAACACAGUAAAGACAAAACAGCAAUUUAUAAGGUAUCUCAGAUAAUUCACCACAUAAUAAAUUGACAAAAUAAUGCACUUGGAAUUUAUAUAAUUUGACCUGACCUCACUAGGAAAGUUAAUUAGCAAUUCAAAGCCACUGAAACAUUUAAACCAAACCAAAACAAAACAAAGAAGAUCUGAACAAGGGUACUCGCAGAACUAUAUCACUAGUCAACAUGCAAAGUGCACGUGAGAAGAAGAUUUACAUAAACCUCUUUGUAAUUGAUAUGUAUAACAGAAUAGGAAGUACUUCUUAUCAGAAAAAAAGUACUCAAGAGAGAAGGUGUCCAUUCUUUUUUCUUGUGCAGAAAUUUAUCGAGUUUGAUCUAACAACUCCAUGAUGUGCUGAAUUUCCAAAUCUCCCGUGGUGAAUGCCUACCCGAUCAGACUGAAUUGAGGUCAUACAGCAACCCCUUUUUAAGGCAGGAAGUCCAUAUCAGACUUUCCCUUCCAUCUUGGUAGUUUGUAGAUGUAUUAUCUCUGUAAGAUGGAGAUUCUUGGUGUUUGUCCGUUAAGACUAGCAUGCGAAUCGAACAAAGUCAACCCCAAAAUCAUGCACCGCUUACCAAUUAGUCGGGGGUUCACACCAAUAGCUCUCACAAUACUAACCGAGAUACACUUCUUUCAUCACUUGAUUCGAAUCAUUUCACUGUUCCCGCCGCUCCAUGGCUUAUUGCAGCAUCAUUAUCUGGACUGCCCUUUCCAGUGAUCUAUCUUGUGCUUGUUAGACUCCUCUGGAAGAAAUCUUUGAACGGAACAGCAAAAAUAACGAUGGUAGCAACUGUGACCACACGUAGGGCAACCUCAAGUGCGUCAAUCGUUUUGCGCUUAGCACAAGUGGUCCACCUCGGCAGAAACAACAAUCACUGAGCUGCUACUGCUCCCCCUCCUCCUCGGAAGCUUCGGACGACGCUGCUGGUUCGAGGGCUUGGCCAUGGCAGUGCUAAGAACCUAUUUCGGCGGAGAUCGACCGAUCGAGGUCGUCGCUGCUCGUUCUAGAGAGAGAGAAAGAGAGAGGGGCUGAAUCAGAAUCCGAAGUGACGAUCUGAAAUAAAAAUGGGGGGAGGAGAGAGUCGGAGGGUGAUGGUGGGAUAGUCGGAGGAGAGAGUCGGUGUUGGAAACUGGUGGAAGCAGAGGAGGAUUCUUUGCGUCUUUUCGGAUUUUUGUUUUAAUUAGUUUCUCGCUUUUCCUUUUUAUCUUUUGGGGUUUGGUUUUUUCCUUUCGGUUUUUCUUUUCAUUUGUCGCAACACGCGAGUGGCGCAAAGAUUUGCCGCCAGCAAGAGAGGGAGGCAAAAUUGUAUUUUCGUUUCCCCUGCCGCAGAAUUGAGGACAGCAGCGUCAGCUCCCGCGCGAGAUGAGACUUGCGGCUCUAGGAUUAGAGGUGGUCUGACCUGCCCUUGCUGCCUGACGCAACCGACUCUCGAUGGUCUGCGAUUUUUUCCUCCGUAUAUUAAGAGAGUAGAGAGGGAAAAUUAAACGUAAUUUCCCUCCCUGAAGUUUUCGCUGUUGAAGAUUAAGUUUGAACCAAAACUACUCAAUUUACACGUACGUAUACAGGCCGGUCAUUGCUGUCUUACCGCGUGCUAUAAGCCAGGAAAUAUCUCCGUAUGAGGUAGCAAUAUAUGCAAGAUACAAGCUCGCCAAGGAUUCACUCAUCAUGUGGUUCGAAUUUGUCAACUCGGGAAAAAUAGUAUGACCAGCCUAUUGUUAAGUCAUCGCAUUUGAGGGUGGACUACAAUUUUUUCAUGUUCAUUCUUCUUUCUUUUUCAACUCAUUUCAAGUAAAUGAGUCGUGUAUGAAUUUGAUAAAAGCAUGAGAGGUGUAUAAAUCUGUUUCGUGCUUAUUAGCACGUAUGUUUGAUGAGUGACUGAUUUAUCAACACUAGCUAUAAAUGAAGGGAUUUGGGGAUUGUUCUCUACAAGAAGUUAUUGUUACACCCUUCACGCUCUUGAAUCACUCCUUGUUCUUCACUUCCGCUUGUUGUUUUGUGUACUAAUUGCUUUGUACUUUUUGAAUAACACGAUUUUUUAGAUUAAGCUUGAAUCUGAAAAUAUUUGACUCGAGAAGCUUGCCAUCGUAAUGGAGUACUCAAUUGCAAUUUCAAAUGCCUCCACUAAUAUAAAUAAACAAAUGAAUUAUAUCAAUUUUAAUUUUAGUGCAUAGUAACUAAGUAAUUGAAACGUAGAACACCCAUUUGUCCAAAAGAACAUCUCAUUCUCUUGGGCUAAAAUACAAUUGAAGGCAUCCCUAUGCGGUCUUUUUGAAUGUUUCGAUUUUAGCAAAACUUACUUCAAUGCCCUCACGCACACGACGUAAAUCACUGAAUGUGACAUUAAAAAUGCCCGCCAACAAAAUAAGAUCCCAGGGGCAAAUCAAGAAAGAUCGUGAAGAAUAUGGAGUGGAACAAAUUGCAUUUGAGGGUGAUGGUUGUUCUAACAUGCUUGUGUCACGGGCUUAUCGAUUAGGAUCGUGACCGCGUGGCGACUCGAGCACUUUAGGAUCGGAUGGAUCACCGAAGCACCUAAGCCAAGCCUUGCUCGGUCGAACGCUCACUCGCUCGCCUUACCCGGAUCGUAGAGAGAGAAAGAAUCUAGAUAGAAAAGCUCUAGAAAGAAGCUUUGCUUUAUAUUGCGGAAGUAAUGGAUGCCUACAAAUGAAAGAGGACACCCCUUUUAUAGUUGAGGGCCUCGGAUUACAUCCAUUGAUCUAGAAUUCUAUCAGCGGACGAGAUCGCACCGCCUCAACUACCGACAUAAGUGCCAAUUACCGUCUACCGACAUAAAUAACAGAACAGACUUCUGUAAUAGGACUCAAUGACGGUUUCGCCCGCCCUUGGAGACUUUGGGUAGAAGGUUCGGUGGGAAUCCGAGUGAGAGCAGGAGGUCCACGGGCGAGUUGGGGUCGACUCUGGGGAACCUCUCAGAUCGACUCUCUUUAGGCCCGUGAUAUUCUCCCCCACUCAAUCGAGCGACGUCCUUGUCGCUCUCAGCUUGAUGGGCAGCUUUGCGGGCUUUGACACGAGCUUUGUUGUUCUUGUUUCGCUUCGCUCGGACACUCAUGAACGAAGGGUCACAACCUUCGAUGAUGAAUUUGGAUUUGUCAUGCGGCUCGGUCUUCGAUUUGGACGGAGCAAGUGGCGCGCACUCGACCUCGGGGAAGAGCGCUUGGAUUGGCAUGGCGUGGGUUGGAGUAGGAUCCAACUCGACCUUUGGCUUCACCUCGGACAGCUUGUUGAUGCGCAUCACAGCCUUUAAGCUCUUGUUGAGGCGUCGGAUUGACGCGAUGGUCUUGGUGUUGACCACCCCUUUGAUCAUGGGGAUCAUCGACGGGCACUUUUGGUCGAGGAUCAUCAUGCACUUUGUCCUCAUGUCGAUCAUGGCUCCCACACUUUCGAAGAAUUGCAUGCCAAGAAUGAGAUCAUAAUCGUCAAGAGGGAUUACCUCGAACGUCAUUCUGCCCUUCCACCCGCCAAUUUUGACAUCCACGUCGGGUGUUGCUCCUACGCCAUGGAAGUCGCCCGAAUUGAUGGGCUUGUACGACUUCCCGGAUGGUUCCACGUGAAGUCCCAAGGCUUUUGCAACCUCAGUCAACAUGAACAUGUUGGAUGCGCCGGUGUCGACCAAAGCGUAAAGUGUUCGGCCGCCCACUUCGACCUCCACGAAGAACAUGUCUGUGUUUGGAGUGAUUCCUUUUCCUUUGGUUAGCGAUCGGGCUUGGAUCGAGUUUACCAUCUUCACAGCUCCAAUCCGGAUUUGUCUCCUAUCUUCUUUGGGCACCUCCUUUUCUUCCUCGAUGGCAAGGAGGGUGUUGAUGCGACCCCUCUUCGGGCACUUUUGGGUCCAAUGCAGACCUUUGCAAAUAAAGCAAGGAGAGGGUGGAGGUUGAUCGAACUUACUCGCGUAGUCCGUUUGCGGUCGACCUCUUUGGAAGUACGGCUUGGAAGACCCUUCUCCCCACAUCUUGGCUCGAUCGCCUUGAUCGGGCGCGCCUUGAGGAGUGUUUGUUCCUUCGUAGUCCGGUCGAUCCGACCUCUAAUCUCUUGCUCGGUUGUUUCUCGGCUCAACCUUGGUGAGAUCGACGAGAGACUCGGCCAUGCUAAGCGCUCGUGCAAGACUACUCACGUCCCGCCGUUUCAGCUCAAGUUGUGCCCAAGGCUUUAGUCCAUCCAUAAACGCUCCGAAAGCCUCCUCUUCGCUUAGGUUGCGAAUUUGGGGUUUGAGUUCCGUGAACUCCUUCACGUACUCUCGGAUCGCGCCUCUUUGCUCGAGGCGAUGGAGCAUGCUUCGGGCUUCUUGUUGAGCGAACUCGGGGAAGAAAUAGUCCCGGAACUCCCUCACGAAGUCGUGCCACAUGUUCAUGAGAUUGGCGCCACGUCGAAUCUCAUCGCACCUAUUGCGCCACCACAGCAUUGUCGUAUUAGACAGGAACAUGGAAGCGGUUCGUACCUUGGUUAACUCGUCUCGGAUGUUGACGGCGCCGAAGUAUUGCUCCAUGCUCCACACGAAGUUGUCUACUUCUUGGGCGGAUCGGUUGCCUUUAAACUCCUUUGGCUUCGGCACCUCAAUUUAGGGCACCGCUUGAGUAGGCACUGCACCGUUCGUGAUGCUGAGUUUGCAUAGGGCGAGCUCGGUUUUGAGCUCUUGGAUCUCCGCCUUCAUGGCUUCGACCUCAUCCCUACACGUGCUUACCUCUUCGAUUAUUUAGACGCGAUCGUUCAAACCAUCAAUCGAUGCUUCGAGAACUUCGUCCUUGUCGAACAAUGGAGCCGUGGCUUGGUUGAUGCCAGUCGUGAAGUCUUCGCGGAGCGAGCCCUCAACCUCCAUGAUCCAGUCUCGCACAUCAUCAAGACCUUCCAAGAGCUCGAGCAUAGCACUCCGGACCUUCCCGAUCUUCUCAUCGAACGUGACCGCAACAUCCACCGAGGCAUCUCUCUUCUUUGCUUUGCUGCGCGUGUCCUUGACUGGCACAGCUUCUCCAACUAUAGCCGCUUCUUGGCUUGACAUUCUCUCGAACAGUUGGUGCUCUUCAAUCUCUUGGAAACUGAUCUCUCUUUAGCUCUGAUACCACUUGUCACGGGCCCAUCGAUUAGGAUCGUGACCGCGCGGCGACUCGGGCACUUUAGUAUCGGAUGGAUCGCCGAAGCACCUAAGCCAAGCCUUACUCGGUCGAACGCUCACUCGCUCGCCUUACCCGGAUCGUAAAGAGAGAAAGAAUCUAGAGAGAAGAGCUCUGGAAAGAAGCUUUGCUUUAUAUUGCGAAAGUAGUGGAUGCCUACAAAUGAAAGAGGACACCCUUUUUAUAGUUGAUGGCCUUGGAUUACAUCCAUUGAUUUAGAAUUCUAUCGGCGGACAAGAUCGCACCGCCUCAACUACCGGCAUAAGUGCCAAUUACCGUCUACUGACAUAAAUAACAUAACAGACUUCUGUAAUAGGACUCAAUGACGGUUUCGCCCGCCCUUGGAGACUUCGGGUAGAAGGUUCGGUGGGAAUCCGAGUGAGAGCAAGAGGUCCACGGGAACCUCUCAGAUCGACUCUGGGGAACCUCUCAAAUCGACUCUCUUUAGGCCCAUGACACUUGAUUGCCACAAAUUGAGGCAAUACUCAAUUAUGAGUUUUGAUAGUUUCAAGUUUGAUAGAUCAAUCAAUGUAUGGAAGUCUUAAGACUAAAGCAUAGUUCAUCAAUAUAUUUAGAAACUUUGAUAGGAAUUUUAAAAUUACUUGCCUCAAAUUCACUGUCUGAGUCUGAUUCAGAGUCUGAGUCUGAUUGUGCCAUUAGACAUAGAUUGGCAUAUUCAUUAUCACUUUCUUCACACUCUGUGUCACUCCGGGUUUCGGCUUUGAGAGCUUUUCGAAAUUUUUCAGCUUUUCCUUUCUUCUUCUUCAGAAAAGGACAGUUGGGUCUGAUGUGUCCCUUUUUCUUACAUUCAAAGCAGACUAUGUCUUUGUUUGGUUCCUCAUCAUCAACAGACUUAGUCUGUUGUCUUUGAAAGCUUUGUUUCUUUGAGUUGAACCUUCUUCAUUUUCUAUUCAGUUUUCUGAAUCUUCUUAUCAUGAGAGCAAGCUCCUCAUCGUCCAUAUCUUCUUCAGAAUCUGUAUCAUCAGAAUCAUCAUUUGAUUUUAAUGCAAUGGAUUUCUUACCUUUUGGAUCUUCAUCUUCAUUGAUUCGUUCCAAUUCAUAAGAUUGAAGAGUUCCAAUUAGCUCGUCGACAGAUAGUGGCAUAAUUCUCUGCGUCUCUCUUAUCGAAGUCUUUAUGUGAUUCCAAUCCCUGGAGAGUCCACGCAGUAGCUUGUUUACCUUCAUGGGAUCAAAAGUUGGUUGACCUUGAUUUUCAAGACCAUUCACAAUAUCUGUAAAACGACUAAACAUGUCAGAUAUUGAUUCUCAUGGUUUCAUUCUGAAGGCUUCGUAUUGACCGAGAAGAAUGUUGAUUCUUGUUUCCUUCACUCGAUCUGUUCCUUCAUAAGUGAUAUGCAAUCUGUCCCAAACUUCUUUUGCUGUACCACAAGAAGAUAUUCUAUUAUAUUCAGUUGGUGAUAAAACACAAUAUAAUGAGUAAAUUGCUUUUGCAUCGAGUGUUUGUCUCUUGAUUAUUUCUUCCUGAAACAUUCCGCUGGUUUCUUCAGUUUCUUUUCCUCUUUCAGAGACUGAUGCAGUGGUAGGAGUAAUUCCUUUUUCUACAACGUCCCAUUCUAGAUGAUCCUUUGAUCGUAGGAAAGCUUUCAUCUUGUUCUUCCAGAUGUUGUAAUCCUUUCCAUCAAAGUAGGGUGGUCUGGUAUUGCUUUGCCCUUCCAUCAGCCCUGGUGCUAGCAUACUAGCCAUGGAUCUUUUACUAUGAAGUAAAACACUUCAAAUAAAGUAAGUACAUAGGCUCUGAUACCAAUUGAUAUUGCUAGUAUGAGUACCUAGAGGGGGGUGAAUAGGUGCAUAAACAAUUUAUAGAAAUACAGAAGCGAUUCUUAGCAUAUGAUAGAAAGUAAAUUCUCUCUUAAUUAACAAAAUGAUAUAUGAUCGAGGUAGAGAGAAUGAGGAAGAGAAAAUUGAACACAGGAUUUAUAGUGGUUCGGCUUAUUCCAAGCCUACGUCCACUCUUUCGCACUGACAGCCCACCGGCUGGAUUUCACUAUGAUCAAAAGAGAAGUUACAGCACAGCUUUGCCUUGAUUCCACAGUGUAGAUGUUCUACCACACCUCCUCAAGGUCUCUCACAAAUAUAGACUCUCUUUUGUAUACAAGUAUUCGCUCAAAUGAUUUAUCUAAACAAAUAGGAGCUUCAGACUUUGGAAUUCUUCUAUCGCGCACACCUUGAACAACUAAGACAGUCUUCCUUAUAUACUCCUUUAUGCCAUCAUACCCGUUGGCACUUACCAAAGGAAUUCCUCCAAUCUAUCCAUUGGACGAAAUCAAUUAGGAAGAUUGUUCAAGCUAUUAAAGGAACGUGUUGAUAGCCCAUCAAUCAUGUUCGCCCAUACAAUCAGGAUCUCGGUUUCCAUAAGCAGAACCUUCCAAUAAUACUUAGGCAAUCACCGGAUCUUCAAUUAUCGAGUCAAUCUUAGAUCAAUCAAAGGACUCCGUUAUGUCUUUUCCAGCCACGAGAUCUUCUCCAGUUGAUAAGGUCAAAUCCUUAACGAAAUAUACAGUUCUGGAUAACCUUUCUUCAACGGAUUAGAGACUGUCAAUGAGGAUAGACUUUGAGUCUUGAGUCUGGCUGUCCGGAGGUCUUCAGACUUUAAAUAGCAGAGUCUGCAAACCUUCAGACUAGACUGAUAGAAACGUUUUGUCAACUUCAAAAUACUUUAAGAAGAUUUCUCCAACAGCUACACUGUGAUGUAUUGAAAUACAUGCGUACGUGUCUAGCAAUGCAUCUUUGAAAGUUGUUGUGCUAUAGACAGCUACGAUGACUAAUAUGUUUGAUCGCUGUAGUUAUUAGAAUGAAGAAAAGACCUUUUAAUAUUGUCGCAAAGCUUUUACCAACGUUUAUAUCUGUGUUAUUGGAACUUUUGCUGGAUACCAUUUUCACCAUAUGAUGAUGAUGAUGAUGAUGAUAGUCGAAUCCGGAAUAGACAUUUUGAGAGGACUUCAUUUCCAACUUAAAUACCAAAGCAAUCCAUGUUUAUACAUGAAAUUGCAGAAGAAAAUAUAGGCAGUACGAUGCCGAACCCUUGAAAUGCACAAUCUACUGCAGCCCAAUGAGGCGGCAGCCAUAUGCAUCCAAUUGCAAAGGGCCACAAGAGCGACCGUACAAUCAUACGGGAAAGGAAAUCCCACUUGGAAUUGCUCUCUCCACCUGUCUUCCUCAACUUCAUAUCCUGUUGAACACAGUAGCAAUCUGUCCCCGUGAGCUUAACUGUUCAGAUGUUGAAAGGAUGUAUUCUGCACCAUGCCUUGGAGAUACAGCAAGACUGGCAUGAUGCCAGGUGAUAAGGGUAAAGAUAAAAAGUUCAUACUACUCGCCAUGCAGGUGAUGGGGGUAAAGAUAAGCGCAUCUCUCUCUCUCUCUCUCUCUCUCUCUCUCUCUCUCUCUCUCUCUCUCAAUUGUGCAAGCUUCUCUCCUCUGUUAAUUUACUACUGAUGCUGAGUUCUGCCUGCAAAGUUCUGGCAAGUUUUUUGCCAUUAUCUUCUUUGAAAUAUCAAAAAGAAAAGUGGGGUUCAGAGGUGGAAAGAAGAACAGCUUGAAGAGAAACGGAAAAGCGCAGACUUGCAACAGAAGGCAAGGAAAGCUGUUUGCUUUAAGAUGCAUGACAACCGUGCAGAUGGCCAGUGUGGUCUUCUCCACCCAAAAAACAAUUGCUUCUCGUGGCCUGAAACGGAAUUUUAUAUGAUUUGCAUCCAAAUAGAAGAAUAAUAUCGUAAUCUAAUAUCAUCUACCGCCUGCAAAGUUGCUAUUAUCUUCGUUGAAAAUUCAAAAGAAGGGGAGAGGCAGAAAGAAAAACAACAUAUGAAGAGAAACGGAAAGUGCAAACUCUCCAUAGAAGGCACAGGAAAGCAGUUCGCUUUAAGAUGCUUGAUAAACUACUAAGAAACGAUUUCAUGUGGUCUCUAAUGAAAUGUUAUAAGAUUCUACAUCAAUGAUAAUCGUACUUUGCGCUCCACUACUGCCUGCAAAGUUGCUAUUUUCUUCUUUGAAAACUCAAAAGAAGGGGCAACGUAGAAAGAAAAACCACAUCGAAGAGAAACGAACAUCAUUAACUCUCAACAGAGAGCACGACAAAGCUGCUUGCUUUAAGAUGCAUGAUGAACUACUAAUGAACAAUCAUUUCACGUGGUCUCUGAUGAUAUUUUAUAAGAUUUACAUUCGAAAUACCGGAUUGAUAUCGUACUUUAUGCUCCACUACUGCCUGAAAAGUUGCUGUUAUCCUCUUUGAAAACUUCAAAGAAGGGGGGAGAGUCAGAAAGAAAAACAACAUUGAAGAGAAACGAACAUCACCAACCCUCAACAGAAGGCACAAGAAAGCUGCCUGCUUUAAGAUGCAUGAUAAACUACUAAUAAACAAUCAUUUCACGUGGUCUCUGGUUAAAUUUAUAAGAUUUACAUCCAAAUACAGCAUCAAUAUCGUACUUUAUGCUCCACUAUUCCCUUGAAAGUUGCUAUCAUCUUCUUUGAACGCUCAAAAGAAGGGGAGAGGCAGAAAGGGAAACAACAUUGAAGGGAAACGAACAUCGCAAACUCUCAACAGAAGGCACGAGAAAGCUGUUUGCUUUAAGAUGCGUGACAACCAUGCAUAUGGUCAUUGUUGAAUUCCUACUUAAAACCAAUUAUUUCUCUUAGCCUCUGAUGAGAAUUUACAACCAUUACAGCCAAAUGGAGAAUGAUAUUUUACUUUAUGCUUCAUUACUAUAAUAUAUGUACAUAUCUAUUCAACGCAACCAAAAGAAUCAUGUUUCUCACACAUAAAUAGGACAAGUUUUUGGAGUGUCUGAAAUUUUUACAUUCAAAAUGUUAUUGUUUUGCAUCGAAAUAUUGUGACUCGACGCUGGAGAAUUGAAAUUCAAUUGUAAACCUAUCGUAUGAAUUCAAAUUCAAUCCUGAACAUUUUAAUUCAAACAAUGUUGUUUUAAACCUUUGAGUGAAAAUGUAAUCAAGUCCUCCUAGUCAAGUCUCGCCUAAAUGGCAGUCCAAUCAUUUGUCAUUGUACGUGUCCCGACUAGUGAUUUGACAUGGACAAAUUUACUCGAAACGGUGCCAUUGUUGCUCAACUCCACAAGCCGUCAACCUUGCCUAGAACCGCCCUCUCUCAAGUUGAUUUCUAUCAAUAGUCACAGCUCAGCUAGAGCUGGCACCUCCAAAUGUGGAGGCUCAGCAGUCGGUCACCAUGCCCAUCGGGCUCCUUGGCCCCUCCAUGGAAGAUGAUUGUACAAUCCUGAAAUUUUUAGCGAUGUUUGUUUUCCCUCCCUGACCCUUCCAUGCCAUGCAAGAUGAUUGUAUAACCCUUAAUUUUUUUUUUUUUGUGACGUAGAAUUUUUUGUUUAAUUUUUAAAUAAUUUUUUUCCCUUUUUUUCUUCCUUCUUCCUCCUCUAGAUGGUCAUGGGACCUCGGUGACUAGCCAGAGACGAGUUGACAAGGCCAACCUUGCCCAACCAUCGCAAGGCUCCAUCGAGAUUGGUGAGGCCACCCUUGUCGGCCCUCCUCUCUAGCCGGUCACCAGCUAUCAUCGAGGCUUGACGAGAAGAGGGAGAAUAAGAAAGGAAACGAAAAAAAAAAAAAAUGACCUUCAUUAGAAACUGUUCCUGAGGGCAAAUAAGUAAAUUCUUUCUACUUUCUGUUUUUGUUCUAAAUCUAUUUUCUGACUAUUGAUCUAUUUCGGAAAAGAAAAUUAACUAACAUUAUCAAAUAAUUUUUUUUUUCUGUUUUGGAGAAAGAAAUAACAGAAAAAUAGAGAAAUAAAAUGAUCACCAAAUAGGACCUAACUUUAUAAGUGAAUUUGUAAUUCUUCCCACUCAACCUAUGCCUAUUAUAAGUUUUCUUUUCUUUUAAUAAUUCUUCCUCUCUUCUGUCUCCUCUCUUCAUCGGUAUAAAAUGGGUAAUCAGGGAUGGGUGGCUUGUGUAGUGGAAGAGAAACCUAUUCCCAAUGGUCGACACAGCGAACUUGGGUCCAAAUUCAAAUACACCAGGGGAAGUAAACUGACCUCUUUCACCAUUAAAUCACCACGUUGAGUGUUGAUUUUAACUCCGUAAAAUCCUCUUGUUGAUUUUAACUCCAUAAAAUCCUCUAACACGUCUGCCCCUCGGGACCUUCCAGAUUAUAAAAGCAAGAGCAAAAGUCAUAUCCUAUUAUUUCCAAUCUUUAUCAACACAGAGAAACGGAUUCGUGCAUAGUUAAUAUGAAAAAACAGCUAUCCUAUACAUUGGCAUUUGAUAAAAAAGGUUGAUCAAUUUAUGGAUGACAUGCAGCGACUUGAAUUCCAUCCACACAUAGAUAACAUGCAGCCAAGGCUAUGUCAAAGCCCCAAUACAUGUAUUAGAUACUAUGCCAUCUCAAUCCACCAAGAGAAAAGGUAUGCAUUUUCGACUCCAGCAGAUGAGAUAUCCUUUGGGAUGGUAGUCUCGGAAGAUGAAUCUUGCUUCUGGUCUCCAUAAUUUGGCAGCAAUGAUGGUGAUUCCACUGGACUGGUUAGGACUACUUUUAUCUUCCUCUCCUCUAUGUAUUUACCACUUUCUUUAUCAAAUUUAAAAUUUAAAAGAAAACUUCUCAGGUUACUUGACCCAAAAGAUUAUGGAACACAAAGCAGCAAAAUCUACCAUGUAAGCAGUAAUGUCCUCUUCACCUGUAUCAAAACCUUGUCUCGACGCUGCAAGACAGGUGGAGCUACCUGCUGUGCUUACAUGGUAACGGCAUCAAACAGAAGAUAGGAUGAAGGGCCUACCCUAAUUCUUUCGAAGUAUCAGGACAUAGCUUCUGAGGCCUAUUGUGGUUUUCCUUUGUCUCAAUGUAUAUUAGGCUACUAUGGUAGGCAUUCAAAAUCUUAUUCAAAGAUGAUCCUUACUGCAAUGCGACUGACAUUGCCUUAAGCAGUUCAUGUCCUAGUAAUAAUACAGUCUUACAGACAUGUCGUGGCAAAGAAAUUGCAAAAUAAUCGUUCAGCUGAUUCAAGUACUGUGGGCAUGUCCAUCCUCACAAGUAUGUCAGUGGCUUUUUAGUAAGUAUGUGAACAUGAUGUUUCACUGACUUGAGCAGAACAAUUUCGAAUCAGAUUAUCCAUUUGGUUGAUGAUGCCUACAUUUGACCGCACACAGAAUUUCUUCUGAGACGUAGCCUUAGCCUGGAAUGUUUUGGAUAUCCAAUAUAGAUCUCAUAAUGUUUCUCCACAAUAGAGAGUUCUUAAUGCGCUGAUGUACUACUCUGAAAAUUAAAUUACAUCAAGAGAAUACAAGAUUGAAAGGAUAUUGUCCACCCGCCAUAGCCUAAAAAAUAAAACUUGAUCACGGUGAAAGCAAAGGUCCAAAGAAUAUUCACCUUGAAAGCAACAUACCGAUCAGUCUUAUUGCCUAGCGGAAUGAGCAUGAGCUUUGUUUGCUCAACUCAAUUGCAUAAACACGGAGAAGAGGCUUCAGAUGAAAGAAUUUAAAGAGAAAGGGGGCCCGACAUGAGGACAGGAUGUGAUGAAAUGGACCAUCUUACAUUUUCUUUGAUAUAAUGCAGUAAUGCAAUCUCGUCUUGUUCAUUCAUUUUCUCUACUAAUCAUUCUCUCAGUCAUUUGGUUACAACAACCAUUCACCUACUUAAUCUCCAGAAAGAAAUUUACCGCAGAAGUCAUUCUAAGAGUUUGUGGUGUGAGGGACUACGCAAAAAUGAACAAACCUGACCAAAUAUUUGAAAACGACACAAGGAAAAGAAUUUGAAAACGGGGCGACCAGUGACUGAUUCAUACAUGCCAUUGAAGCUUAUGCCUUAAGAUAUUUCCUUUACCAUUUUAUAUGAUGUUGAACCGCAAAUUCUCAAGCAAAUUAUUGUAGCACAGAGAACUAUCAUCCCCUUCACUUAUUGCCUAAUAAAACAGGUGGCAAGCAAUGCAAAUUUAACGUGGCGCCAAAAAUGAAAAUGAACCAAAUGUGCAGCACUAUAGAUACUCACAAAUUAAACUCAAGUUCAUGAGGCCGGAUCUCCAACAGCUCUUCAGCCAUGAUGACAACUAUAAAACCGAUCCACAUAAAACAACAGGUCACGUGGCAGGGUAACAACAAUCAAGCAAAAAGCUCUGCAUGAAGCUCAAUUUCAAGGUAUAAAUCUGAUCACGCGCUGUCUCUAGCAGAUUCCUCAUUUCAAACACCAAAAUUGCACAUGAUCAACAAACACUAGACAGUCAAAAAUGGCUCAGCACCCAAAUUACGAACACCAUCCAAGAGCAGUUCAGGAUUUACCAAAAAUCAGAGCACUACAUUUGGCAAUGAAAGCUUAACCAUCGGGGGAGUAUCUUACAGGUCAGAAACUUCCUUUGGCAGUGAAAUCUUAAUCUUCAAGGGAGUAUCUUACAGGUCAGAAUCUUCCUUUUGAUGGAUCCCAAUAAUGAGAAAAUCAAACUCCAGUGCAAGUUCACAACAAAGGACAUGACAAUAAUAUCAGCUAAGGGAUAUGCCAUGACUUGCACAACCCGAGAGAAAUCGCAGGAAAGACCCCAAGUCAGCAGGCCUAAAUUAUCUCUAACCACCUCUCCAAGACACAACACUAACAUAGCAUCAGCAGCAGCAGCAGCAGCAGCAGCACCAAACUCUAGUAGUCCCUGAUGACAGUUGGGUUGACUCUGACUUGGCAAUAACAACUUCGUGCCAUUUUACUCAGCAAAUGAACACAUAAUCUUCAAUACAUGUGGCACUACAAAUUCAUAAGAACCAAUGUAGCGGGAGUAGCAUUGAACCAAGAAUCCGAGAGAGCAAACAUGUUUUCCAUUAUUUGAUUUUUCAUACAAUAAAUUUAUGACUGAAUUUGCGAUUCUCUCAACUCACCUACGCUUAUUAUGAGUUUUUUCCCUCCUUCCUUUAAAAUAUAUCUUCCCCUCUUCUGUCUCCUCUCCUCAUCUGUAUAAAAUGGGCAAUCAAGGGUUGCUUGUGUAGUGGAAGGGAAACGGUCCUCCCAAUGAUCUUACUGGUGAAAGUAGACCCAAAUACAAAUCAACCAGGGGAAGAAAACUAACCUCUUUCAACUUUGUAUCACCUCACUGAGUGUUGAUUUUAACUCCUUAAAACCUCUGACACAUACAACCCUUUAGGAUGCUGGCAUCCAAAGACAAUCCUUCUGGAUUAUAAGAGUGAGAACAAAAGUCAUAUUCUAUCCUGAGUCAUAGAAGUGGAUACACGUACAGUUAAUAUGAGAAAAAAGCUAUCCUAUACACUCGCAUUUAGUUGCUAAAGGGGUUGAUCAAAUUAUGGAUGAUGCGUAGCAACUUGAUUUCCAUUUACAUAAAUAACAUGCAGCCCAGCCAAUGCUGUGGCAAAGCCCCAAUCCAUGUAUCAGAUACAAAGCCAUCUCAACCCAGAAAGACAAUAAAGUGACACAUUGAUGUUUUCUGGCAGUCAUACCCUGAGAAAAGGUGAUGCAUUUUCGACUCCAGCAGGUGAGAUAUCCUUUGGGAUGGUAGUCUCGGAAGAGGAAUCUUGCUUCCGGUCUCCAUAAUCUGGCAGCCCUGAAGGUGAUUCCACUGGACUGGUUAGGACUGCUUUUAUCUUCCUCUCAUCUAUGUAUUUACUGCUUUCUUUAUGAAAUUGAAAAUUCAAGAGAAAAUUUCUUGAGUCACUUGACCUGAAAGAUUAUGGAACAUAUAGCAGCAAAACCUACCAUGUCAGCAAUAGUGUCCUCUUCACCUGUAUCAAAAACUUGUCUCUGCACAGCAGGACAGGUGAGCUACCUGCCGUGCUUACAUGGUAACCACAUCAAACAGAAGAUGGGAUGAAAGGCCUACUCUAAUUCUUGUUGCCUAGCGGAAUCAGGCAUGAGCUUUGUUUACUUAACUCAACUGCAUAAACACAGAGAAGAGGCCUCAGAUAAAAGAACUUAACGGGGCACGACAUGAGAGCAGGAUGUGAUGAAAUGGACCAUCAUACAUUUUCUUUGAAGAUAUAAUGCAGCAACAAAAUCUCAUUUUGUGCGUUGGUUUUCUCUACUGAACAUUCUCAGUCAUUUGGUUACAGCACUCACCUACUUUAUCUCUAGAAAGAAAUUCACUCACAUGGCACUAUAAGAGUUUGUGGUGCGAAGAUAGAAACUAUGCAAAAAGAAAGAACCUGACCAAAUAUUCGAAAACAACACAAGGAAAAGAACUUGAAAAACAGGGCGACCAAUGACUGAUUCAUACUCGCCAUUGAAGCUCAUUCUUUAAGAUAUUUCUUUUACUAUUAUUUAUGAUGUUGAACCACAAAUUCUCAAGCAAAUUAUUGUAGAACAGAGGAAUAUCAUCCGCUUCACUUAUUGCCUGUAAAACAGGAGGUAAGCGAUUUGAAUGUAGCUCCAAAAUAAAAAUGAACCAAACGCACAGACUCAGAUAAACUUGCCUUCAUGAGGCUGGAUCUCCAAGAGUACUUCAGCCAUGAUGAUGACCAUAUUGCUGAUCUACAUGAAAUGGUGGAUCAUAUAGCAGGGCAACAACAAUCAAGCAAAAAGGUCUACAUAAAGCUCAAUUUCGAGUACCCAUUCAUAUAGGGUGCGUUUGGUUUGGCUUUUGGAGAAAGCCUUUGGAUAAUGCAAAGGCUCUUAGCCUAAAAACUGUUUGGUAAUUUGCAAUUUUAAAGUGACUUGGUAAGUAACAUUGGGAAAAUACUAUUUGAUAACAUAUAUUUAAAAAGUCAUUUGAUGUAAUCAAUUUUUUUAAAAUUUAUUUAAAAUUUUAAAAAAAAAAACACAACGAUGGAAACUUUUAUAUUUUCACAUUAAGAGUGAUGUAAAAGAGACAUAUUAACAAGUUCAAAAAUAAAAAAUAAAAAAAUUACAUGAGAAGUGUGAAAAAUAAUAGGGCCCUCAGAUAUACAAACAGUAAAGAAAGUAUAAUGACCAAUGGGCUAAGUUACUGAGAAUAUAAAAAUAAAAUUUAGUUGUUUCUGAUGUCAUAUGGAAAGUCUUAUCUAAAACUGGCAUAUGAUAAGAAAUGUCUCUUAUUCAGCAAUAAGACAAUUAGACAUAUCUCAGCUGCAACAUGACAGCACCAAAAGUCAUACCUUGCUCUUUUUGAAUGGACAAGUGAGCAACUCUUUGCCUUAAACGACUCCACCACAUGAACACAUUCGUGAUGGCAACCAAAAUGAGCUUUUGCUCAUGUUCAAAGCCUAAGCAUGCAAGAAAAUUAAAGAGCUCCGACUCUUGAAGAGCAAUGGACUUCUUCUGCAAACCUCAGAUUGCUGACAAAUCGAGGAUUAGCCUUAAAAAACUGUUCCUCUCAUAAACAUAAGUACAAUCACAACAUCUCAAUUCACAAGGCAGUGCAUGUAUUAAUAUACACAUCAUGGAUAUUCCAAAGAACUUACAAGAGAAGAUAACUCCUAGUAACUGCUGGGUACAAUGGAAAUGAACAUUCAAAGCCCAGGAUUAUUCCUGGGAAAAAUGGAAAAGUGGGGAACAACAGACUUUGACAUACAUCACAUGAAGUAAGAAUGAAAUAAUGAGUGAAUUUAACUGUCCCAUAGUAUUCUAUUAGCUAUGGCAGUGUCCACUGAUUCCAGUUCUUCCACGACUUUAGUCCUGGAAGGCUGCUUGUUAGGAGUCAUUCGGAGGCAUUGUAAAGCAAGUUGUGCUAACUGGAAUCCAGAAUCCAUAUAUGUAGGGUAUAGGGACAGUAUAAAUUUGGUUCCCAAUUGUGGCAGGUUGCAAUAUCAUGAGCGACCAGUUUCCUCUAAAAUAACCAGUAUUUCUUUUUUGGUUUCUGAGGAAGGGGAACAUCUGCAGAAAAUGAAAAGUUAUGUAGGCAAUGCAACUGUGGAUUCCAUGCCAAAUGAUUUAAGUAGCUAAAAGGGAAACACACCUUGUGUUUCAUAGAGGGGAUUAUAGUGAACCUCAUAUCCAGAAACUCAACCAAAGCUCUGCAUCAAUUGAAAGUAAGGUUAACAAAAGGAAAAACUUAGAAAGAAAAUGGAGUUUCAAAAGACCAGUUGCUCAUUGAACAAAAGCAAAAGUAGAUCAAUUGCAAAUGUUUACAUCUAGGUUCUAAAUCAAUCAAUAUAUUUAACCCUACCCAAGUAGCUGUUCUAAGCAAGCAAAAGAACAAAUAUUUAAUUUCAGAGACGAAAAACAAGCAAAGCAUCACAAAGGAGGGUCUAUGUGUAUAUGUAUGCAAGCAACGCUCUUUUUUCCAAGACAACCAAGGAGUAAAAUAUACCCAUUUGGAAUUUUAACAAACCAAACCCAAGAACUUCACAUUUAUCACAUUGCACCCACUGACGAUUUGAACCAACAAAACAACUAUGAAGAAGAAGACAAGCAAGCAAUACCCUCGGCAGAGGGAACUUAUAAAUCCAAUUGCCAAACAAUAAUUAGGCUGCGAAUAUAAGUAUCAUCUAGGGGCUUUUGCCCUCCUUCAUGCUCUCCAACAACGACCAAAUAAGCAUUGAACAUCGGUGACUCACUGGAAUAGAUAAAUUCAUCAUUCUUCAAAAUCCUGCAUUCCAACAGCUGCUCACUGCCAUCAUACGGCAUUACCUAUCAUAUAUCCGACCAUUAAUCACGACAUGGACUAAUCUACUCAAAACAGGCUCAAUCACGCAAAGUAUUACAAUCAGAAGCACAGAACAGAACAAUCCGUGAUGAUGGAAAUAAUGAAAUCCCAAGCAGCAUUGAGCUGCUAUCGUUCAGUUCAAUUGAGCAAGCUAAACUUGGGAAAAAAGGGUAAUAAAUCGAUAGCCACUGCAGUUUUGACAUAGAUUAGCUAGUCAAACCGAAUCACGUCCUACCCAAUCAAAGGCAACUAAAUUGCGGAUCGGGUUGAGCUGGACAUCAAUGGUAGAGAUUAGUAGUGAAAGCAAAGGUACCUUGCUGGUGGUGGUGCGGAGAGAGAGGAAGCUGUCGCAAUAGACCGUGCGCUUCAGCUUCUGCUUCAGGUGCUUCUUGAAGGUGACAUUCCAGCAAGCAUGGUCUCAAGCACAUAGCUCAUUUCAUCAAACACCAAAAUUGCACAUGAUCACCAAACACUAGGCAGGCAAAACUUAGAUGGUUCACACUCACACAAAGCAUAAUUCAGCACACUAAUUACAAACACAAUCCGAGAGCAGUUCAGGAUUGAAAAAGAAAACCAGAGCACAACAUCUGUCCAUUCCUAGAACUUGCAUUGCCAGCUCAAAAUGCAAGCAUUGAGUCCAUCACAGAGGAGUCAUACUGGAUUCCUGAAAGCUCUGACGUAUUCAUCUGUGGGAUUCUGCUGAGUCUGGAUGUUCUGUGGAAGGACAACAAGGAUGUCGAUGCCAGAUUUCUGUCUCUCAAUAUUCUGUUUGAUGUGAAGUUCGUUUUCCUAAUCAAAACUCCAGAGUUAAAGCAUAAGCUGGUAGACUUGGGUGCAAUUUCUCCCUCUCUGCCCAGCCUUGAUUGAGGAUGAGGACCCCAAUACCAAUGUGUGUGCAGAAGCUCCUUCGAUGCUCAUAGAGUUCAACUUGACUAAAAUUUCUGAGAUUCUACAACCAAAGACAGUCAGCCACUGCUUCAGAUUCUCACUUGGUGAUCUGUCCUGUGCAAAUGUGAAUGAUGGUGAGCUGCGCGUGGCUCUGGCAUCGGCUCUGGAAAUGGAUCCCAAGUUGCUUUCUCAGCUGAAAGUAGUAUGGCAUAUUGGAAACCUUUUGGAGUUUGUGCAUGAGAAAAAUAUGGAAGAUUUUCUCAAAUUUAUGCUUGGCUUGUGCAAAGCUCUUCUUUUUUUAUCACUAGGUUCUAUGAAAGGUUCCACAGACAUGGAAGAGCCAACACUACUUGAUGAAAGUUCUUCUGAGGCAGUGAGUAACAUAUGAUACAUAACUGACUUUGGUGGCAGUGCCAGUGUUUUCCGAGAAUUGAGUGGUUCUCAUGACAGAAACAGUGCCAAUAUUGCUUCUAAAUGCACAGCUCUAUUACUGAAGGCAGCCCCAAGGGAAGGUGCUCUCUUUUUCUUACCAAUCUCCUGUAAGCCAGUGCGAUUCUCGAGUCUCAGCAAAAGGGAGCUCCUUCUCUACUGGUACCAACGAAUGCUGCAUUCUCUCAGUUACUCCUGUAGGCGAUGUUUACUGCACGGAAUGACUUUUGUCAGUGUGCCUGUCAAAGAUUGCUAUGAUUGAAGGCAUCAUUGCUGAGAUAAAAUAUUCUGGUGCUGCUGCUUUAGCCAGUGCUGCCACAUUGGUAAUCUCAGAAUUGCAGUGGCUCCCUCAUUUAUGACUUCUCCAUAACAUCUGCAAAUCCCACUAAGAAGCACACCUUUCCUGAAAAAUAAACUGAACUUAAGCAUGGCAGUACAGAGUGUCUGUCUACUUCAAAGUCGCAACAAUGAGUUGAUUGUGCUUUCAAGUCCCAGGAUGAGAACCAUAGUUGUAUGACCUUCCAUCACACAUUCCAUCUAUUUGUUUACAGCAUAGCGAAUUUAUCUCCCAUGCAAAGUGAGGUUAUCAAUUUCAAAAUAUGUGUGAAGCAGCAAAUCAACAAUGAUCUCUAAUAAUUUGUUACAUAUCAAAUAAAAAUGAUGCAAUUGACAUGCAUAUAUCUCUAGGAGAAACCAUCCUAAGAAAAUGUAGCUAAAAAAGCGAAACCAAACUAGGAAAAGAACACAAUACUUGUACAUAAUUAAGAGCCCUCUGGCUGUUCGAAGGCAUCACAAUUUAAAUACCUUCAUCAGAUUUUCAGAAAAGAAUCCGCUAAAAGGUCAUUAAAAAGUGCAUGCAAAACUUCUCUGUUCAUAUCUGUGAAAGAAUUUGAUUGCCAAAAAAGGAAAACAUUGGUACUUACCUCAAUUUGUUUAAGGUUUGAACACAAGGGAACAAUUUGUGGUCGCGCAUCAAAAAGCUUCCAAGUGCAAUGUGCACUUAUUCAUCUUCUUCAUCGUCUUCUUCAUCAGAUUCGUCUUCUUCAUUGUCUUCUUCCACAGAUUUGUCUUCUUCAUCAGAUUCGUCUUCUUCAUCGUCUUCUUCCACAGAUUCGUCUUCUUCAUCGUCUUCUCCCACAAAUUUGAUUGACUCCUCCGAGCAAAGCCGAGAAAUUUCCUCCACUGCUAAUUUCCCACAACGUAAUAUUGUAACCUCUCGCACACUCUUCAAGCUUGAUAGAUCAGGCAACUUCUGUAAAGAUCCACAAUCUUUAAUCUUCAAUAUAUUCAAAGAUUGGGGUAGUUUGCCUUGAAUCUCAACCAGAUUAUGACAAUGUACUACUGAAAGAUAUGUUAUUCCGUCCAAAUUGCUAAGAUCAGGGAUCUGCAUCUGUUUAAAGCCAGAAAGCAGCAACCGAUGUCCACCACUAUAUUCAAACUCCCGAUUGCGAAAUUUUAUAAAAACAUUUUCCUUACCCACUAAGCUGAACAGAUCAGGGAACUCCAGAAACGAAUCUAAUUUAUCUAAUUUAUCGCAUCCUCUUAUUGUGAACCCCCCUUGCAGUCUCUUCAAGCUUGACAGCUCAGGCAACUUCUGUAAAGAUCCACAGUCUUCAAUGUCCAAGUGUUCCAAGGAUUGGGGUAGUUCGCCUUGAAUCUCAACCAGAUUAUGACAAGAUUCUACUCUAAGAAGUGUUAUUCCAUCCAUAUUGCUUAGAUCAGGGAUCUGCAUCUGUUUAAUGCCAGAAAGCUGCAACCGAUUUCCACUUAAAUAUUCAAACUCCUGAUUGCCAAUAUGCACAUACACAUAAACAUGUGUCUUACCCAUUAUGCUGAAUGGAUCGGGGAACUCCUGUAACGAAUCACGGGAACCAAUUGUAAGUUCAUCCAAAAACCGUGGUAGUUCGCCUUGAAUCUCAACCAGAUUACAGCACCCUGAUACUCUAAUACGCCUUAGCUUGUUUAACUUGCUUAGAUCAGGUAGCAUCGCCAGCUGUACGACGCCCCGAAGGUUCAAAUAUCGUAGGUUCUCCAAACAACCAAGGCCUUCAAUCUUUGCAACUGCAGAGCAGCAAAUGUCGAGAGACGAUAGUUUCCUCAAAUUCAAUAGAUCCAUCGAGCAAAGUGAGUCGCAACCAGAGAGAAUUAAGGAGGAUAAAUUAGAGGGAAGCCUCGGGAGGAGAGGCGGAUGAGGAGGGAGGCUGAGGUCUGUCGAUGAGGCGGUCCCCCCGAAAAAGCGCAGUUCCAGAGAUUCCAAUUUGCUUAAGUUCCCAAUCCACCGUGGUAUCCGUUUUUCCAGGAGCCCAUAAGAUUUCCCAUCACAGUUAGGUGGGCCAAAGCCCAGACGCAAUACCUUUAAGUUAGCGAGAUUUGAGAGAUUCGGAAACGUGUCCACCCUCAACUCCUCCACUACUAAUUCAAUGAGACUUUCAGGAAACCUUGGUAGGGCGUGUACUCCCGGCCAUCCCAAUAUCUCCUCAAAUGGACCCCCGUGUAAGCAAUAACCACUUAUUGCGUGGGCAUGCCUGACAUGAUUAUAACGGUCGGCGAUUUCCAUUCCCUUGACCUUCCCCAUCUUCUUCUUACAAGCAUCAUUGUUCGUUCUUUUUUCGAAACCAUUCUGCAUCUUCAUUACUUUCAAAUUCUUCAACAUUCCAAUGGAAUCGGGUACUUCUUCAAUGCUCGUGUGACUUAUGUCCAACUUAGUUAGCGAAUCCAAAUUUCCAACCGUCUCCGGAAGCCUAUGAAGAUUCCAACAAUUGCUUACAUCUAAGAAAAUUAAGCGUUUCAACUGACAAAUUGAUCCAUCAAUUUCGAUUAAUGAUUCACAGCCUGAUAGGAUCAAAUGUUCUAAAUUUGAAUGAGCUGAGAAGUUGGGGAUUCUCUUCAAGUGUCGGCAAUGGGCCAGAUUCAGAACUUUCAAAUUCUUCAACUUUCCAAUGGAAUUGGGUACUUCUUUGAUGCUCGUGUGACUUAUGUCCAACUCAGUUAGCAAAUCCCAAUUUCCAACCGUCUCCGGAAGCCUUUGAAGAUUCCAACAAUUGCUUACAUCUAAGAAAAUUAAGCGUUUCAACUGACAAAUUGAUCCAUCAAUUUCGAUUAAUGAUUCACAGCCUGAUAGGAUCAAACGUUCUAAAUUUGAAUGAACUGAGAAGUUGGGGGUUCUGUUCAAGCGUCGGCAAUGGGCUAGAUUCAGAACUUUCAAAUUCUUAAUCACCUGUGAAAGAAAAAUCAUGCAAAGUUUACUUUCGAAUUUAAUGAGAUGGAAGAAUAAGUGUUCUCUAGCAUAUAACAUACCUUCAUGUGGCUCCACCCCUUCCAAUCAUGUGUAAUUUCACUCUCAAAUAGAUCAAGGAUAGUCAAAUUCUCUACGGAGAAAUUUGCAAUCUCAAAUGUUGGGUGAAUAUUAUGCCAAGAAAGCCAGUGUAAUUCUGGAAGGAGAUUUGAAUCCAAAACAUCAGUUGGAAGAACACUUGAUGGCCCUUUGUGCUGAAGAAGCAUCUUUUCUACACAAAAAGUUUGCUCCGAGUCAUCAACUUCAAGGAACCUUAGCCUUGAUAGGCUCUUAAAGUCCUUGUAGGUAAAACGGUGCUGAUGGUCCAAGCGGAGGCGAAGAGCUUCAAUUUUUUUCUUCGUCUGCCCAAAGGAAAAUUUUUAAAAACAAGAGAGUUGAAGGGAAACACAUUUAGCCAAAUUCACUAUUUUAAAGGACUGAGUUGAGUACUACCAUUCCAUUAAUCUUAAAAAAGCAAAAAUGUCCAUAAGUAACUUGGAAAUUAAUGCGCAGGGGAUUUUACCUUAGGGCUCUUCAGCAAAUCCAACGCUUUCUCACGAUCCCACACCCUACUUUGUUUAUUUAUAUUGGUUUCUUGACAAACUAUUUGUCUUCCAAGGUCUCUAAGUUGGUCGUGCAUCCACACUUUAUUAUCCUAUUUAAUCUUUACCAAAGACAUGUUCUCCAAAACAUCCAUGGCAUAUUCCGAAUGGAAUUCAGAUUCCCAAAAAUGAACUACAAUGUCUUUAUCAUAUCCAAUUAAGAGACAAGCUAUAUCAAGGAACUUUUGCUUUUCCUUUUCUUUGUAUUCAUCAUAACUUAUUUUCAAUCUACUAUGGACAUCCUUAUGAGGAUCACUUUCCCACUUACGUAAUUCGAAAUCCCACUUUUUCUUUUCAGUAGUGCAAGAUAAAAGUGAACCCAUGAGCUCAAGAGCUAGUGGAAGACCUCCAGCAAUUUUUAUCGCCCUCUCGGAUUGGUCGAUAUACUCGUCUAAAGGAUGAUCUCUUCUAAAGGCAUGUUUGCUAAAGAGUUGAAGAGAUUGAUCGUGAUCCAUGCCCGAAAGCUCAUAACAGCUGUCCACUUUAAGAACAUCAAGAACUUCUUUGUUUCUAGUAGUAAUAAUAAUUCUGCUCCCUUUACCAAACCAAUCACACUCACCAACAAGUGCAUCGCUAUGAUUCUUUUCAUGUACAUCAUCGAGAAGGAGGGGGGCUCUUUUAUUAGACAACCAGGCUUUGAUGGUAUUAAUCCCAUCAUCAAUGUUUCUUAUAUAUGUGCAUUUGUCUUUGAGAAUGCUGGAGAUGAGCUGAUUCUGCAAGGAUUCAAUGCCCUCGCGUUCUGACAUUUCACGGAUGUUGGACAGAAAGCAACAAUCCUCAAAAUUUUCUAAAAGCUGAUUGUAGAUGAUUUUGGCAGUUGUCGUCUUCCCGAUGCCACCCAUCCCAUAGAUUCCUAUAAUCCGUGUUUCACUUGUGCGAGGACCUAUCAAUUCCAUGAUUGCAUCAACAUGGUUGUCGACAUUGACCAAGCAAUUUGAUACUACCAAAUAAGCCUUUUUCAACUCAUUGAAAACCUUCUGCAUGAUUGUUUUUGCAAACUGACCUUCUUGCCUAUUAUUCGUUGAAAGUCAAAAGGCAAUGAGUUAGAAAAUUGAGUUAAGCCAAACUAUGCUCUAACAAGACCAAAUUGAAAACUACAGACCUAUUCUAAAUGCGUUCCUCAACGAUUUAUACCAUUUUGAUAAACUAGCACUGGAACUUAGGGUAAAUGAAUGACCUGAACUAACGAAAAAUGUUGCUUGUUGGGAAUGAAAUGGGACAAAAAUUGACAUGGUGAUAUUAUUUAGCCUGAUUUUGCUGCAUAAUUUCAAUUGCAUACAAUUUCAACAAGACUAACACAAAUUUAGAAAAGAAACAAAUUUAAAUGCAUCGAGUUUAACGAUACAAGGCACAUGAGAUGGAAUGCUAAAAGUAGUCACCUGUUGGGCAUGCUUUGCAGGUCCCAUCCAUUUAUAUCCACGACUGUAGUGAGAGCAUUCUUCCACUCUGCUAUAGUCUUUUCAUCAUAUCGCUUCUUUCUUUUGUGUGAAACAAAAGCAUUUUUAAAACUCCCGGUUUGGUGUCGAACCUCCGAAGGUGUCACAUCAUAAAAAAUGGGCAUGAUCUUUUGUCCUUCAUUUUUCUGGCACUUGACCAUUUGAACUAGCUCUCUGAGACACCAUACGCUAGAGGCAUAACCUUUUGAAAAGAUAGGUAUUAAGAUCUUCGACUGAUUGAUUGCUUCAGGAAGUUCUGGGGCAAACUCUUCCCCAACACGGAGCGCGUCAUCGUCCCUAAAUGUGCGGAUUCCUGCAUUUAUAAGAUAAUUGUAAAGGAAGUCGGUAAAACCUGAUCGUGUGUCAGGCCCUCUGAAACUCAAGAAUACUUCAUAGUCAUGUCCGGAAGAUGUUGCCGUUUCCUCAACUUGUGGUGUAGUGCAAGUAUGAGUAGCCCUCUCUACGGUACCAUUCUGUGGAGCUGAAUCAUUAUCUGCACUGCCCUCCACAGCGGUCUGACCUGCUCUUUUCUUCAAGAAUCCUUUGAACAGGAUGGCAGAGAGAGCUAUGGUAGCAACCGUCACAAUACAGGGCAACAGCAAGUGCUCAAGCAUUUUGUGAGUUAGCAAAGAGAAGGUUUUUAGUUAGAAAUACAGGGGAAUGGUGGAAUAGCAGAGAUGAGAGGCGGCACUUAAAGAUCAGGAUGGAGUAACGAGGAACGGCGAGCCCGCGACGGCGAGAAAUCGCCAGAGAAAGAGUAGAGACUGAGGCGAGGGCGGCCACUGAUGCUGCGACGGAUCAGCGACGAGGCAGAGGAGGAGAAGGAUCGAGAGGAAGAGGAGAGGAAGGGGGUCGUGCGGCGAGGAGGCGGAGAAGUAUCGAGAGGAGAAGGAGAGGAAGGGGGUCGUGCAGGUGCGGCAAGCGGCGAGCGGCGAGCGGCGAGAGGAGGAGGAGAAGGGCGCGCUAGCUUUUGGGUUUUGGAAACUCAAAAAGAAUAUAAAAAGGAGGCUGAUGAGGGUGAAGUGACAGCCUGUCACGUGGGUGGGGGAGGGGAAAAAGAGUUAAAUAAAUUUGGGUUGGGGGGAAAUGGCCUGACGUGAGGAGAGGAGGGAAAAAAAAUUGAAAUAAAUUUGGGGGGGGAAUAGUCUGACGUGGGGAAGGGAGAGAAAAAAAUUGAAAUAAAUUUGGAGGCGGGGGAAAAUAUAAGAGGGAAAGAAGGGAGUGGGGGUUGGCGGUGGACCCCUCGAUUAGAUUUUUUUUUAAUCGAAAAAAUAAAUAAAUGAAAUAAAAAAAUAAUUUUGAAAAGUAAAAAUACUGAAUUUUAAAUGAUAAUAAAUUUUGAUCAUUAUAAAAGAUUAUGGAUUUAUUUAAAUAAGUUGAUUCUAAUUUCUUGUUAAUAAUCAAUUUUAUCAAUAACUUUUGUUAAAAAUAAAAACAUAUUUCUAAACAUGAAUAUGUAUUAAUUAUGAAUAUAUCUUUCAAAAUUCUAAUGAAUUGAUUUAUUAAUAUUAUUAGUGUAAAUUUAUUAUAGGCUUUUUAAUUAUUUAUUUAUUUAUGAAUUUGAAUUAAAUUAAUUAAAAAUAAAAAUAACCGUUUAAUAUACAACGUGCCUUAUCGUAUUGAAAUUCUCAAUUUUUGAGAAAUGACAUAUCGACAUGUCAUGUCGCGUGUCGAUACUAAUUAGGGAGUAAGCGCAAGAAGCCAAGGCACUUUAAAUCUCAAGGAGCAAAUGGGCAAGUGUUGGGAUUCACACUCUACAUUGUACGGUGCACACUAUUUUUCCCCCUUAUGAAUGCCUUUUGAGGAGAUAACAUUCAACUGCAAUUUCAUAAAAGGUUCUGAAGGAUUAUUCUCUACACAUCAGAAAAGGCCACCAUCUUUCAUCUGGCAUUUCCUAAACAUUGUUCACACUGCGCUAGCUUUGAGGAAGAAAAAAAAAAUAGUAGCAACAACGUUUCACGUGCUAUGAUGCAUAACAAGUUGGUCUCCAAGACCAACCAAGCACAUCCGCUUUGAUGUAAGUUGUCUCUUCUCAUAUCUUAGGAACGAAAAUUGUCCCUUUCUAAGGUUGAUUCUAGAGAUUUGGCCCUCCACUUUCCUUUUUGAGUUCAUAUUUGAUCACAUCCUUUUAUUUGAUGAGCAAAACUAAAAUACGAAUCCUACACUUCGGUGACUGUUUGAAUUCUUGCCCAAGGCUUUCAUAUUACAAAAAAAAAAAAAAUCAAUGUAUUUAAAAAAUACUUCAGCUGUGCUUGCAAACAAGUGUAAGCUGAAGUAUUAAAGUGGUGGAAUGUCAUUGGAAGGUUAAACCAACGAACAGACCAUGGCUAGCAAAGUAUCCUUCCAAAUGUCACUUCUAGAAAUAUAGACAUAGCACAAUGUAGAGUUUUCUUGUUAAAAAAAUUUGGCUCGAAUCUCAUGAACUUAAAUAAUUCCCAAAGGGUCUUACAUCUCAACAAACAACAUGAUUGCAUUUACAUUGGACACAGCACAGUGCAAAGUUUCCGGCCGGCCACCCCGGAGGAGUUGCCCUCCUCCGGGACCUUUCAUUGGAGGUUUACUAGCCUAGUAUGCUAGGAGAAGGCAGUGACCUCCCUCCAGGCAGGAUCCCAGCACUAGAAGUGCUAUGGCCGGAGAGCCCAAUGGGGACUCUAUCCUGUUUUCCUCCCCUCACUUCCCUGUAAAUGGGUUGUGGGAGGAAGCACCCUAGGAUGUCCUAUUCAGGGUGGAGCACUUUAAGGACCUGCUUAGGUCCUCACUUCUAGAAAUAUAGACAUAGCACAAUGCAGAGUUUUCUUGUUAAAAAAAUUUGGCUCGAAUCUCACGAACUUAAAUAAUUCCCAAAGGGUCUUACAUCUCAACAAACAACAUGAUUGCAUUUACAUUGGACACUGCACAGCGCAAAGUUUUUUUUUUUUUUUUUGGUUAGUGCAAAGUUUUUAUUCCCCUUAAAAUAAAAUUAAGAAAAAAGACAAAAAGACAAAAGUUUGAAUCUUUUUGAAUCUCUAUAAUAUAAAUAAUUUCUUCCCAAUGUCACUUCCAGAAAUAUGGACAUCUAGUCUCUCUAGAUUAGAUCAAAACAUUAUCCAACGCAAUUCAUUUGAUGAAUGGUUGUAGUUUGAAAUCUUACAAAGUUCUAAAAUUCCGCUGGCCAAAAAGGAGUUUUGAUAUAUGCGUUGUAAGUUUGAAUAAUCAAAUAAUAAAUUUCAAAUAUAGCUGGUAAGUGAAAAUUACAUAUGACUUUAUAUAUAUAAUAGACCAAGUGACGAUUGCAGCCAUAAGGACGUACUUAAGCUGAACUUGCACCGAGAGCAACCAUGUCUACUGAAGAGAAAAUAGCCGACCCUGAGGCGGCGAAGACGGCUGAAGUGCUGCCGCUGAAAGAGGAGGCCCUGCCUCCACCCACGAGCCCUCCCGACGAGGCAAGCUUGCUCACAGCGGACGUGGCUCUUCAAGGGUUGCUGUUUGCUUCGAUGCUAAUCGCGCUCUUGAGGACCGUUCUAAGUUUGGUUCUGGAGAUUUGGUCCUCUACUAUCCUUUUUGAGUUCAUAUUUAAAUUUUGAUGCACACCAAUACACACGCUUUUACUUGAUGGGCAAAAUUUUAAUAAUUGAGUCGAGCCCCGAUACCGCGGCCACAUCCAACCACGGCCGUGCGAGGCCAGCAACCUCCGUCUGUCGCGACUUCUAUUGGACAUAGGUUGUGAGUUCCGUGCGGAGAAAAAAAGAGACCAAAGGAUAGCAAACAAGUCAAAUCGGUGAGGAGUUAAUGUCGCCGGUGGAUUCACACAUGAAGGUGAGGGCUUGUGAUGGCAAUAUGGGUGGGUGACACGUAAAAUUCCUAAACUAUAUUAACUAUGACACUAAUUAUUCCAACUUUUUUUUUUCAUCAUAAAAAAUCGAAACUUGUAUCAGAAAUCCAAAAAGUACUCUCCAUCCAAGAUGGUCAUUAAAAAUUUAAUGUGCCUGUUUGCGUGGACAACAGUAGACAAAUGAAGCAGACAUGACUCGGGAGAAUUCCACCAAAAAGCCUAAACCUUGCCUGGUGCGACAAUGGAACCCAAUUUUUUUUUACCUGUUACUAAUACUAUAUAUAAACGUGUAUCAGUGACUCGCAAAUAUUAUGCAUCACAGUUCCAUCCAAGACGGCCGUUAAAAAUCCAAUGUGACCACUUGCUUGGACAUCGAUAGGCAAAUGGAGCCAAUGUGGAUUUGAUGUGAUUUUAGUAUGGUCUAAAGUGACUUUAGACCACUUGUCAAAGUUAUAAGUUUUUAAAAAUUAAACCUCCAUUAUAACAAGUUAUCUCUCACAAUUUUUAGGGUCCAGGAAAUGGUAUAAUUUGGAGAUGCAGUUUUUUUGAAUAAUAAAUGGGACGAAUUCAUCUCUAUUUUAACUAAAAGAGCUCCGAGCUUAAUUUGAAACUAAUAUACAAAAUAAACGAGCUUCAACUUAUUCUCCAUUUAUUUCUUAAAAAAUGAAUGAUUUGGAAAACACUUUAUAUUGUUCAUAAAAAUGAAUAAAUUAAAGAUAUUUUCAUAAUCUAUCAAAAUAUUUAGACAUAAAUUAUUAUUGAUAGUUAAAAAAUUCAUUAAUUAAUUGUUUCAAGAAAUAUAAAUGAUGAUUAUUAUUUAUUUUUCGCGAAAUAAACGGAAUGCCAACUUUAACAAAAGUGUAAUGGAAAAUAUUCUUGCUUUGCCUUUUCCUUUUUCUCUAUGUGCUCGAGACCUUACAUUCGUCCACCCUCUUUUUAGCAUUUCACUUAUGUCCUUCUUCUUUUUGGGACUAGAAAGAAUAUGAAGGGAUAUGAUUGUUCACUUUGGAUCUCUUUAUUGGCAUCAAAUAUAUGGUCUAUCGUCAUACCAAUCUGACAUCUAUCAACGACUUUUUUUGGGGUAUGGAUUCAUCAACAACGUUAGCGUGCAAACACUGGUACAAUUUUGUGCCGAAGGGUUAUACUUUUCCUAAAAGAGAAAAAGAAAAAAGAAAAAAACUGGAAUUGCCCCUCACGAUCUUCCUUCUUUGUUUGGUGAAAAAUCAUUUUUGGAAAAUGUCUUUCCUUACUUUCCAGUGUUUGAAUAACGUAAAGCUACUCGAUCCAUAAAAACCUUUACCAUGGGCUAAAAGUAAUAAAUAAGCUUAGAGAAAAAUGACUUGGCAAGAAGAAUUGUUUUCCUUGAUUUUUGUCCUAAUUUAUUUUGUUGUUAUUUUCAUGGAUUAUAGAAUAAACGGUGAUGAUAUUAUAUCCAGUUUGUUAGUCAUCACAUGUUACUUUUAACUGUACAAGCCACCCUUAAUGAAUUCACUUAUACCAAUUAUGAUCAAAUCAAUUUCUUCAACUUGUUUUCAGCACAAUCAAAAUUUUGUGUUUACUUUUUCUGAGAUUGAAUUUCCUAAAACAUUUUCCCGCAACAAAAAAAAUUCUCAGUGAGAUAAACACAACCUAAGAAUUUGUUUUCACAUGAUGUUAUUCGAUUGAAAGAAAUGGUAAGAUGGAAUUAUCAAUGAUAUGAGAAUUGGACAUCGAUUUGUUGUCAUAUGAUUAUUUGGGGUUGAAUGAGAGAAUAAUGAAUCGGUGUAGGAUUUUACAGAAUGAUCUUAGUGAAAUAUUUUUACAAUAAAAUCUCUACGUUUAUGGAAGUUUGAUUGGGAGGCACAGAGUGCCAAAUAAAUGGGUCAUUGGUGUGAUUCCUUCUUGAGCAAGCUGGUUCAUCGUGGACUCUUGCUAGUCCAAGUCUUUGUUGACUUUGACUUUGCCCUUCUAAUCCCAUGACGUUUCUGUCUUGCUUGCACCACUCCUUACGCUGUUCUAUCUUUUUUUUUUUUUUUUUUGCUCUCUUUUUUAGAGUGGUAGCUAAUGCGAUUUUAAAUCUAAUGAUAGUAUUUUGAUGCAAGGCAAAAUUAUAUGUAUACGGCACUUUUGUCAUUCAAUUAAAUUAGAUGUUAUCAACUUUUCUAUUGAUUAAUGAUAGGAUUGGCUAGAUUAUUUAAAGAUAAAAGUUCUUUGAAUAGAUGGUAUUUGUUUUGCAGGUAUUUUUCAAGUUUCUAAAUCAAUUCCGUGGCUACUAAACAUUUUGUGUUUCACAAGAGAAAGUAGCCACUUCGCAACUAAAGUUUCACGAUAUUGACUCGAUAGAAACCAAAAUAGCCAAAGUCAACUUUUUUCAACCAUUCUUUAGCCAACCAAAGUCACUUGUAAAGAGUUGGCCCUUACAAUAUCAUAAGCUUUUCACGAUCUAGAUAAUGAUCAAUUCCAUGAUGAAUAAACAAAGCAUUGCCUCCUCUUCAUUGAUCUCUUUUGAUCUUCUCUCCGAGAAAAAAGGUCAAAUUGUAUAACAGCAAAAUCAGUGCAGCACAUUGUGAAAUCUAAAUCACUUUUAGAAGCCAAAAUUACAAAUGGAGAUAUCCAUGGGUCAUUAAAAGUAGAACACAGGAUUUGUUGACUAUGCUGAGAGCUGGGGGCAGUUCGUAUUCUAAUGAUAUUGUCUUUGUAGAGUUUGCUUUCACCCUGAAACAAAACCGCACGGUGGCCAAUGCGUCUUCCUUUCUUCCAUUGAAUCAUCCGAGAGCACUGUGUCGCCAUAGAUGCCCCCGCCCUUGCCCACAAAUUAACAAGAAUGAUAGGGCACGGGGACCCACUCGUGGCUUUGCUUGAACAUAAUUGUAGUGUCGCUUUCAGGACAGGGGCGUGUCCCAAUCGGGGAAAAAGGAUCAGGUCUAUUUUGAAGAAAACGCCCUGUCUGUUUUUCUUUUUUUUUUUUGGUAAGAGGUAAGAAUAUUAUAGCUAAAGAAACAAGGAGUUACAAGGAGGCAAGACAGACAGGCGACUCCAAUCAUGCACUCAAAAUGACACAGGCGUCAUACUGAGUGGAUGGGAGGCGGGGUGGAUUCCCCAGCACAUUUGGAGUCUUCGGUUACGCGGGUUAUCCGGAACUCUUGAGAAUGUGGAGGCUCUAUCUUUGACAACUUUCCGAAGACGAUCUUUGAGAGCGGGCAGGAAUAGGCUUUGAUUCCGAAAGAUGAUGUUAUUUCGCUCCUUCCAUAUAAGGUAGCACAGGGCAGCAAAUGCAAAGCGAGCAAUGGAAUGGUGGAAGCAUGAGUCCGAGAGAUGGAUGACCAUCCACUGUAGAUUCUCUUUCCAAGGACCAUUUCGCCAACUCAAAUUACAUUUAGAAGCCCAGAAAGAGGCCAAUCUACCCGUAACUGAGCAACCAAAGUAUAAGUGGUCGAUUGAAUCUAGCCUACUUGAGCAGAACGCACAGGAACCAUCCGGGAUCCUCCCAUACGACAGAAGCAAGACCUAGGUUGGCAAUCUAUUCCGAGUGAUCAGCCAUAGAUGGGUCUGAUAACGCGGGGGAAGAGUGGAGCUCCAGACAAAUCGAGACCAGUUAACCAAAGAGCCUCUAGCUCGAAGCAUAGUCCAUGCAGAAGCAGUAGAGAACUGACCUGAAGAGUGGCCAAGCCACACCAGACGGUCAUCCUGAUUGUUGAGGCUGGGGAGAGGAUCAACCCAAGUCUGGAUAGCAACAGCUACAUUAGACGGGAUAGACAGGGCAGCAAUACCUAUAACAACAGAAGCAUUCCGAGGGAUACGAGAGCAAUAUAUGUCACGAUCCGAGAAUAACUUGUUGAAUGGGCCACGAGGGUGCCAGGUAUCAAACCAAAAAGAAGUCGAUAACCCAUUACCAAUGUUCCAGGCAAAAUACCUCUGAAUCAAUUCACGCAGGCCAAAGAGUUUCUUCCAAGACCAAGAACAAACGGUCGGUCUAGGCGCAAUCCAGAAAUUCUUGUGUUUUAAGAAGACUGAAUGUAUCCAUUUGGUCCAGAGUGAUUCCUUAUCAGAGAAAAGCAGCCAUAUAUGCUUAGUCAUGGCAGCAAUGUUACUAACUCGAAGUGAGCGAAUACCUAGUCCUCCUUCCGCUUUAGGAAGGCAGACUUCUUCCCAACAAACUCUAGCACCACCAGAACCAAGGUUCAGGCCACGCCAAAGAAAUUGGCGGAAGAUCUGCUCAAUUCGAUUAAUAACUGAGGAGGGGAGGAUAAAAACCGAAGACCAGUACACCUGAAUGGAAUGGAGAACAGAUCUAAUAAGUUGGAGUCUACCAGCAGUUGAAAGGAAACGGUUAGUCCAUGACUGAACUCUCUUCAUUAUAGCAUCCACCAGAGAUACACACUCUUCCUUGCCUAAUCUUGAGGAAAUUACGGGGAUGCCAAGGUAUCGAAAGGGCAAUGAUCCAAGGUUGAACCCCGAUGCAUUAACCAUUGUGUUGGAGAAAUCUUUCCAGAAGAUUUUGAAGCUGACAAAACAUUUCUAUCAGUCUAGUCUUGAUAUCAUUGGUUUAAAGUCUCAAGACUUUGUAAUCUCAAGACUCAAGACUCAAGACUCAAGACUCAAGAUUAUUCUCACUGACAGUCUUUCUAAUCCAGCUGCGAAGGAUAUCCAAAGCCGAAGUAUAUGGUUGGGGAUUUGAUCCAAUCCUCUGGAAUAGAUCCCUUGGUUGGAUAAUCAUUUCGGAUUCUUUUGAUUCUUAUCUAAGAUCAAUUGAAGAUCUGAUGGUCGACGAAACAUUCUUGGAAUGUUCUAUUCUUGGAAACCAAAAUCCUGAUUGUAUGGGCAAACAGGAUUGAUGGGCUAUCAUCAGAUUCCUUAAAUAGCUCGGAUGAUCUUCUUAAUUGAUUCCGUCCAACGGGUAGAUUGGAGGAAUUCCUUUGGUAAGUGCCAACGGCUAUGAUGGCAUAAAGGAGUAUAAAAGGAAGACGUUCUAGUUGUUUUAAGUGUGUGAUCGAUAGAUAAAUUCCAGAGUCUGAAGAACCUUGAUUGUUAGUCGAGACUGUUCAAGCGAAAUUGUAUACACAGAGAGUAGUUGUACUUGGUGAUACCUUGAGCGAGUGUAGUAGAUCAUCUACAUCGAGAGAUCAAGGAAGAUCAACACUGUAACAUCUCUUUGUUCAUAGUGGAAUCCAGCCAAUCGGCUGUCAGUGCAGAAGAGUGGACGUAGGCUUGAAUCAAGCUGAACCACUAUAAACCUCGUGUUUAAUUCUCUCUUUCUUUUACUCAGUCUUACGAUUGUUUUUUAAUCCUUCAUCUGUUUAAGUAUUGCGCAAACUGCAAGAAAAUUUUCAUAAACCUAUUCACCCCCCUCUAGGUAUUCGUACUAGCAUUAUCAAUUGGUAUCAGAGCUUGUGUUCUUACUUUAUUUGAAGUGUUUUACUUCAGAGUAUUGGGGAUGAGACCAAACCAGGCAGCAAAAGUGUUUACUCCAUCCAUUAGAAGGCUUAGAGACGGCAUGGUUGCUUCCGAGAAGAGCAACACAUCGUCAGCGAAGAAUAGAUGGGAUAACUUGGAGGGUUUACAACGCCAAAAGAACCGAAAUCCGGGUUUGCAGGUGCGGGCAUUAAUACUGCCAGUAAAAACUUCCAUUACAAGAGUAAAGAUAUAUGGGGACAGAGGGUCCCCCUGUCGGAUACCUCUCCCACUAGGGAAAAAACCAUGCAACUCACCGUUUAAAGCUAUAGAGAACUUGGGGGUUCUGAUGCAUGUCAUAAUUCGAUCAAUAAAUGUGGGUGGGAAGCCAAAUGCUUGGAGCGUCGACUCAAUAAAGUUCCAGUCAACUGAGUCAUAAGCUUUGGAGAAAUCAACCUUAAUAAUGUUCUUUGGAAAGUAAGGCUCAUGGUGGAAGUGAGCAAAUAAUUCUUGAGCAAGCAUGAUAUUAUCACUUAUCCUCCUCCCUUUAACAAAAGCGUUCUGGGGGGGACUAAUUAUAGAUGGGAGCAUAUAAGCUAAUUUGUUGGCUAACAGUUUCGUGAUACACUUGUAUAUAGUGUUGCAACAAGCAAUAGGACGGAAGUCAUUUACCGUGGAAGCAUUGGGGGACUUCGGGACCAAGGUUAGAAUAGUGGUGUUGAUCUCACGAAGCAGCUGGCCUGUAGAUAAGAAGUCCCGAAUUGCUAAUAGAACGGAAGGGCCUACAAUAUCCCACGAUUGCUUAAAGAAAUCAACAUUAAAUCCAUCCGAGCCAGGGGCUUUUCCAAUGGCCAAUGAAAACAAAGUAGUUUGGAUUUCUUCUUCAGUGAAUGGCUGAGAGAUGGCUUGGAUCUGAUUAUCAUCGAGCGUAGAAGCCAGAUUCGCACGAAUCUCUUCAACAGACGGAACGGCGGAGGGGGUAGCGUCUGACAGCAGAUUUUGAAAGUGAUCAACAAAGAGUUGCUGCACUUCAACUUCAUCAGUAAUUACAUUACUACCAUCAAAAAUCGAGAGAAUUCUAUUCCGGAGAUGGCCUCGCUUCACCGAAUGGUGGAAGAAACUGGUGUUUAAGUCACCUUCUUUAAGCCAUAUGACCCUUGAUUUUUGUCUGUAGAAAGAUUCUUCCUUGAGGUGAAGGUCAGAAAAGACACGGAGGUGGUCCUUUUCCGCAUCAGCUAGAGCUUGAUUAUGAGGGUCAAACUGAAUAGCGUUUUGAGCUUGCACGAGAAGACGUCUGGCGUCAGAAGUUCUAGCCAAAAUAUCAGAGUAAGCCUCCCUGUUUAAUAAUUUGAGUCUGCAUUUCAGGGACCUAAGCUUACUACAAAGGACAAACAUAGGCGUACCAGAGAUACGCAGCUCCCAGAUUUGCCGAACCAACUCAAAGAAGUUGGGGUGUGACAUCCAGAAAUUGAAGAACUUGAAGGGUUUACGCGAGCUAGGAACAGGGAGAAUCCUGACCACCAUAGGAGAGUGAUCAGACACUCCAGGGGCAAGAAAGUUGGCUUCCGAAUAGGAGAAGGCCGAGAUCCAAGCUGCAUUAGUAAGAACUCUGUCUAUCUUUCUUUGCCUUUGAUUAGGACCAGACGAAGUAGACCAAGUAAACCUGUUACCCACAAAGCGGAGAUCAUCUAGACCAAAUUGGAUGAGGCAAUCUCCAAAGUCUUCAAAGGCUGGGAUCCAGUAAUUGGAUCUAUCUGCUCUAUCAGAAGCAUACCGAAUGACAUUGAAGUCACCAGCAACAAUCCAGGGGAUGUCCAGACAAAUGGAACUAGUGGAGAUCAGAUCAUUCCAAAGCGGUCUUCUCAGGACAAAAGAAUGCUCCGCAUAGACUACCGAAAGAUUAAAAGCAACACCAGAAAUAAAACACUUCAACCGGCCAUGAAUGGCCUGAGCAGAACAAGCUGAGAUGCAAAAAGAAGCGGCCAAGGGGUUCCAACCCACCCAAAUACGACCCCUGAUGGAAUAAGAGUAAUUUGUAGACCAAGACCACCCAGGAAGAAGGGAUGCCGAAACAUGGGAAUGGGCAGCAGGGGAUAUUUUAGUCUCCAAAAUACCAAUACAACAGAGGCAGUUAGUCCUCACAAAAUUCCUAAUCUCAGCUUGUUUGAGGGCUUGUCCAAGACCCCUAAUAUUCCAAACACCAAAAAACAUAGGAAUGAGAUAAUAGGAUUACCUUCUCUUGCCACCUCGUUUCCUUGCCGAGUGUGGCAUAAGCUUCGGGCCAGCAGGAAUACUUGCCUCAGCAGAUUCAGAGCGGAGGAUUCCUUUUUGACGAACAGGGGCCUCCUGAUUAACCUUCGGAGGGGGAAAUUUAUCGCGUUCCUCCGGUAUGGACGAGGGCACCUUACAAGGUGAUACAGAUUCACCAUCAUCGGAACUGAUAUCUUCAUGAUUUUCAUCUGAAGGUGCAGACUUAUUCAAGCCAGGGGAAACCUGUCUUUGCAUCACAGUAGCGGAAUCUGGGUCAAUAGAGGUGGCAGGGAGUAGAUCAAAGGAAGGAUGAUGAUCCUCCUGCCUGGUUAACUCUGGUUGCCUAUGAAGGGCCAUUGAAAUCUGAGGCAUCGGAUCUCCAAUCUGGUUUCCUUCAGAACGGGGGGACUUGGGACGAUUCGGGACCGGAUCAUACAUCAGGCCAUCAUUUGCAGGCGUCGGGGCGUGCUUAUUGCGUUUACCACGCACUUCACGCCAUUCGUUUGGACGAGGGACAGGUGCCUUCGGGACUGAGGGACCAGGUUUAGAAGGACCUGAGGAAUUGGGGGCAGGACAUCUAUGGCCAAAUGAAGAGCAGGUUGGACAAAGUGUCGGGAUCCACUCAUAUUGGACUGUCACUGAUCUAAGCUCACCCUUCAUCAUAAACUCUAUAACUUCAGGGAAAGAGUUAGACGUAUCAACUUCUAUACAAACUCAAGCAAAAGCUACCAUUGCCAUCUGUUCUGUUCGAUUAUCAACAAAUAAGGGCUUACCAAUACCACUUGCCAGAAAACUAAUGCCAGCAGCAGACCAUAGAGCCACAGGGACGUUCCUGAGUCGAAUCCAGAUGGGGACAGUAUUAUGAGUUGAUUUCUUGAGCUCCAACAUAGGGUGCCAUUGUUGCAGGAUCAAGGGGAUUUUGGCUACUGUAAUCGGGCCUCCAUCCAAGACUUUCAUCCUGAAUUCACUAUCCGGAAUGUGAAAGAAGUAAAAACCAAGGUCAGCAGCAAUAACUUCGACCAAGUGAUGGCCCCAGGCAUUCUUGAGGGCGUCCUCUGUGAGGUGGAAGGGUAGGCGCUUCCCAAUGUAGUAACCAACCAGACAUUCCUCCCAUUUCGGGUGAGUAGAUUCGAGAAUCUCCUCCGGCAUCUGCAGAAUCUUAGAGUUCUCAAUUGUGGCCGGAGGAACAAAGGAUAAACCAUAGCCUUUGGUUGCCGAACGGGUCAGCAGCCCAGGAGCGAGCAGGAGGGGGAGUUUCCUUCACAGGGGGAAUAUGUACAUUCAGAAAUGGCUCCUCCGGCGCCUUAUUCGGGGCAUUCGGACGCCCUUUGGCCUCACGACCGUGGAGAACAGGGAUAGAUGCAGUGUCACGGCUGAAGGAGAUCUUCCUAUCCUUUCGAUUUAGACCAGCAGAGGCAUUAUCACACCCAACAGCAUUUAGCCGAGCAGGAAUACCCAGCAGAGGACGAGCCCUACGAGCCCUGCUUCGUCCCCUGCUUCGCGAACGCCCAGAGUGGGCGCGAGGUCCUCUCAGAGCCGAGGAGUAUCGCAUAACAGGGUUGCGAGUGGGUGUGGGGGAGUGAGGGUGCUCAACCGGAGCAACAACAUGGGCUUUACCCCGGUUAUCUUCCACCACCUCAGAGGAGGACACCAUUCGGAGACGGCGAACUCGGAAUUUCAAGCCCUAAAAACUCAGAUCCGAGAUUCCAGCUGAGGAAGACAUACCAGGGAAAUUCGCUCGGUAGAAGACAAGAUCAGAUGUAGAGGAAUGUUGUCUCCAAGCGUGGGCGCAAUCGGCCGGCCAGAACGGCCGGAAAUGGGAGACGCGCAGGCGAUGAACAGUGCUCGCGCAAACCCAGUCGAGAGCUUCAGCUUGAACAGUAACUUCUCCUCGUUUAAUGUUUAACUCACGCCCCAUCUGUUUUUCGUGCUCUCCAAACCUCAAAAAUACAAAGGAAGUUUGGGAAAAUAUGGCAAUUUCAAUGGGGGACGCGUGGGCUAAAAAUCCAUGAUUUCGGGGUUGCGCUGCCAACUGCGGCAUAUGGACUGGAUUACACCUCUCUUCACUUCCUAUUCUUCGAGCAGGUCUUGCCCGCUCGAGCACCGGGGCAUGUGAACCUGACUCAUGCACAUAUGGAUCAUGUGAAUUCUCCAUACGUUCCAUCUCACCCAUUGGUAUGCAUGACCCCAGAUUGAUUUAGCAUAUUCUUCCUAUUAAUUGGCUCCCGCUUCACUGCACCCGAUAUUAUCAGUCCCCUCAUGUGCAUGUGACCAUUGACAUUUGACAGGUCUACGUUCCAUCUACCAUGUGAGUCAUGUGACCACCGACAGUUGACAGGUCUACGUUCCAUCCACCAUGUGAGUCAUGUGACCAUCAAUAGUUGAUAGGUCCAUGUUCCAUCCGCCAUAAUCAUGGCCCCUUGUCCUUUUCCCUUUGCUCCUCUCCUUUCUCCCCUAUCAAUUGCAUUUUGUCUUUUUGAUGCUGCCAAAAUACCCAAAUGCUCUCUUGGCGAGGAAUUUAUUUAUCCUUUUCUUUAUGGUAUUGAUUUUAAUGAUAAAUUGGGAUGAGGGCCUUUCUCUAUUCCUCAAAAAAUCUCUCGAUAUAGAUUUGAGAGUUUAAUAAAUAUACUUUUGGGGAUUCAAUGCUCUCAUGCUUUAUUCAUGUAUAGAUUCUCUGCCCCAGUCUCAAUGAUGAUCGUAGGAGUUUUAGCAUUUCGUUGAAUUACGGAGAUUUGUUCCUCCACACAUUAUAAUUGUGUUUAUCUAACAUAGUAUGGUUGUUUUUGUACGAUGAUGGUAUAGAGGAAGCUGAAUCAAGGCACGCACCAUCAACUAACAACAUCAUAAUUAUUGAAGAAGGAAUUUUUGGCGUGUACUCAUCACUGACACAGACUCGAGAUCUGGUGAUUGGUUACCAAUUUUGUUUGACAUAUAUGUUCAUGUGGAGUGAGUUUGUGCUUAACUUUGCAAUUGCUCCAUCAAUCCUCCUUUUGUUCUGGAUUUGGCUUUGUUUUUCAGUAUUCAUGCUCUAUUUUGAUUUGCUUUGUCAUGAAAAUUAUUUACUUAUGCAUCAUUUUGAGUAAUGAAUACAAUUUUCCUUCGAUCGAGGGAAAAAAAAACUAAGUCAAGCCCCGACACCACAACAUUCAACCAUAGAUUUGUGGCUCUAGCGACCUUUGCCAGUCGCGAGUUCCAUGGACAUAGGUUUAUGAGCUUUGUGCAGAAAGAAAAAGAGAUGAAGGCAUAGAAGACAGACUUGAGCAGGUGAGGCGUUAACUCGCCGAUGGAUUGAUGCAUGAAGUUGAGGGCUAGUAAUGCAAUGGGUGGGCAGCAAAUUCGGCAACGCUGAGUGUGCAAUUUCAUAAAAAAAUCCUAACCUUUAUAUUUACCGUAAUACUAAUUAUCCAAGCUUUAUUUUUAUCAUCAAAAUCCCAAACUUAUAUGGUAACCAAAAAAUAUGUUCCAUCAAAGUUUGGUCCAAGAUAAAUGUCAAAAAUCUAACGUGGUGUCUUGGACGACGAUGAACUUAAAAAUCUGAAUAAAGCUUUUGAAAGAAAACUCGACUUAGCAACUUUUAGGGUCCAAGAAGGGAGAUAAUCCACUUGGCGGUCCUUUUUGUAAAACAAACGAGCUACAAUUUUUACUUCGAAGAAAAAGUGGGAUGGAAUACAAAUUCUAGCUUUGCUUUUUAUCCUUUUCCGCUUUGCGCUUGAGACUCACAUUCGUCCACCUUGAUUUUAGCAUUUCACUUUUGGUCUUACUCCUUAUCGGGAGAAGAAAGCAUAUGAUGGAUCUCUCUUUAUUUGGAUGAAGAGACCAAAAUAUUCAACAUGCCCAGGUUUAGAAUUUUUUUUAUCUUUCCUUUUAUUUAGUUUCUUUUCUAGGUGAACUUCGUCUAAACUCCACGACAACUCCUUCCACAUCGUUCCUUGACCUUUUCGCACGUUUCUUCCUUUGCUUCAAAUCCUUGAUCUUCCCCUCGUUGGCACUGCUCUCUGCUCACACGCCUCCAAAACCCUAACCCGAUGCCCAUGGCCAUGGUCAUUUCCGGUGAUUGACGAACUGACCUCCUCAAAGUUGCCGGGGAGUGCAUGAUCGAUGUGAACGCUCCAACACCAGCAAGACCUUCAGACUUCGAUGGGUACAGAUGUGGACUAAAUGAACCUAUUGGUAUUUGAUAAGGACGACAUGGAGGAAACACGGUGAGGCAGCCAAGGAGGAAAAAUAAAAUCCCGCAAGAUACAAAGGUGUAAAAUUGUUUGGUUCCAGAAUUCAUGGGCUCUUAAGUCUUUUCAUACAUACAUCCGAAUUUGACAAAAGCAAAAUUUAAAAUUGAAGCAAUUAAUCACGAUUGACUCUAUGAGUCAAAAAAGACUCUUGGGAAGUAUAAAAUUCAUCGAUUCGAGACCAAUGGAAGAUCAAAUUGUUUUCUGAUAGCUUUAGCUUUGAUUAAACUCCACUAAACUUUUGUUUUAGUAAAACAAACUCCAAAGGUCUCAUUGCAAUUUUUUUUUUUAAUCGGACUCCUUCCAUUUAAAUUGAAAUUGAGUGUCCUCCAUUAUAGCUCAGAAGCUCCAAGAAGAAGAGAAAAUAGGUGGGUUCCCAUUGCCUUAACUCAUCUCUUUAUAAAGGAAAAUAUAGACUUCGUAUUAGAUGUGGGCCUUAACUAUCAAAGACCUUUACUCCUUCACGAUAGAAAUAUCAAGGAAAUAAAAAGGAAAGAUCUUUUUCAAUGACUUUUGGGUAGAUCAUUGAACUUAGAAGCCAUAGGAUUGGCUGAACAUGCAGAGAGAGUUGUGGGCCAGUUUGCUACAAAAUUUGGUCAAUAAGGAUGAUUCCUUGAAGCAUCAUCCAGCUUGCCAAAGUUGACAAUUAUUUACAUUUCUUAACACAAAAAAAUCACUAGACCAUGUGAUGCAAAAAUUUUAGGAUUAGAAUCAACUUUUGCCCCCCAAAUAAAUGGCAGAUUCAUUCAAAGUCAAGUCAACAAAAGCAGACAUCAAAUUUUGACAAUUGACAAGUGUAUCAAAUUGGGGUUUUAUCCUUUGUUUGUCACAUAUGUAUUGGUUUGUGCUUUUUCCUAGUAUUAAUCAUAUUUAACGGAAACUAAUGGAGGGUAAAUUUGUCACAAUGUGCUAGUUUGGAGUUUUUGGUGAUCAAAAAAUUAAUUUGAGAUUCACGGGUAUAUAAGUUUGAGAUUUUUCGUGGUAUUAACUCUAAAAACAAUAAGAUUUAGAGAAACACAACUUGGCAAGAAGGAAUCAUUACCCUUAUUUUCUUGCUACGCUUUAAAGUGAGAAGAAUAUACUUUAUCAAUGCUCAAUUUUUCUACAUUCCCAAAGCACGAUUAAUCUAAUAUUUCACAAAUAUGAUUUCAUAAUUUCUAUCUUGAUUUCUUUGUAAUCGUUUUUAUUUCAAUGGAUUAUAGAAUUAAUGAAGAAGAUAUCAAUUCUAGUUUAUUAGUCAUUCCAUGUUACUUUUAACGAUACAAGCCGCAUCUAGUGGAUUCACUUAUUACUAAUUACGAUAAAAUCAGUUUUUUCAACUUGUUUUCACCAUAAUCAAUUUUUUCUGAUUCCCUUUCUCUGAAAUUGAAUUUCCUAAAAGCAUUUUCCCGCAGCAAAAAUCAGCGAGAUAAAGACAUCCUCAGAGUUUUUUUUAUUUAUUUGAUUUUCUAAUUUCAUAUGACAUAAUAUGAUGGGAGGAAAUUGUACGAUGAAAUUAUCAACGGAUAUGAGAAUUGGAGGGAAAUUUGUUGCCAUGUAAAUUUUGCAGGUGAUGGGAGAACGAUCAAUCAGUGUUGGAUUUUACAGAGUGAUAUGGUGACCUUUUUUUCUCUUCUUUUUGAUAAAAUCACUACAUUUAUGGAUGUCUGUCCGCAAGGGACAAAGUACCAAAUGAAUGAACCAUUGGUGUGAUUCCUUCUUGAGCAAAGCUGGUUCAUCAUGGACUGUUGGUAGCCUAAGUCUUUGUGGACUUUGACUUUGCCCUUACUGGUAGACUGUUCUUUUAUUUAUCUAUUUUCUUUGGAGAGUGGUAGGUAAUGCAAUCUUUAAUCUAACGAUUUUAUUUCGAUGCAAGACAAAAUUGUAUAUAUACUGCACUUCACAUGAUAACUAAAAAUUCUAUGUUUCACGAUGGAAAAAUAGCCACUUCACAAUUGAAGUUUCACAAUGCUAACUCAACAACAGCCAAGGUAAGUUGCAUAUACCAAAAUCAGCUUAUGUCUGUUGGAGAAAUCCUCAUGAAGAGUUUUGAAGUUGACAAGAUGUUUCUGUCAGUCUAGUCUGAAGGUCUGCAGACUCUGUUAGUUAAAGUCUGAAGACUUCCGGACAGCCAGACUCAAGACUCAAAGUCUAUCCUCAUUAACAGUCUCUGAUCCGUUGAAGAAAGGUUAUCCCGAACUGGAUGUUUUGUUUAGGAUUUAACCUUAUCAUCUGGAGAAGAUCUUGUGGCUGGAGAAGACGUAUCAGAAUCCUUUGAUUGAUCAAGAUUGAUUCAAUGAUUGAAGAUUCGAUGAUUAUCUAAAUAUUAUUGGAAGGUUUUGCUUAUGGAAACCGAGAUCCUGAUUGUAUGGGCGAACGGGAUUGAUGGGCUAUCAACACGUUCCUUUAAUAGCUCGAACGAUCUUCCUAAUUGAUUCCGUCCAACGGGUAGAUUGGAGGAAUUCCUUUGGAAAGUGCCAACGGGUAUGAUGGCAUAAAGGAGUAUAUAAGGAAGACGUUCUUAGUUGUUUAAGAGAGAGUGCGCGAUAGAAAAAUUCCAAAGUCUGAAGCUCCUAUUUGUUUAGAUAAAUCUCUUGAGCGAAUACUUGUAUACAAAAGAGAGUCUAUAUUUGUGAGAGACCUUGAGGAGGUGUGAUAGAAUAUCUACACUGUGGAAUCAAGGCAAAUCUGUGCUGUAACUUCUCUUUUGAUCAUAGUGAAAUCCAGCCGGUGGGCUGUCAGUGCGGAAGAGUGGACGUAGGCUUGGAAUAAGCCGAACCACUAUAAAUCUUGUGUUUGAUUUUCUCUUCCUUACUCUUUCUACCUCGAUCGUAUUUCAAUCUGUUAAGAAUUGCUUCCGUAUUUGAGAAAAAUUGUGUGUGCGCCUAUUCACCCCCCCUCUAGGUGUUUAUACUAGCAAUAUCAAUUGGUAUCAGAGCCUGUGUACUUACUUUAUUUGAAGUGUUUUACUUCAUAGUAAAAGAUCCAUGGCUAGUAUGAUAGCACUAGGGCUGAUGGAAGGGCAAAGCAAUACCAGACCACCUUACUUUGAUGGAAAGGAUUACAACAUCUGGAAGAACAAGAUGAAAGCUUUCCUACGAUCAAAGGAUCCUCUGGAAUGGGACGUUGUAGAAAAAGGAAUUACUCCUACCACUGCAUCAGUCUCUGAAAGAGGAAAAGAAACUGAAGAAUCCAGAGGAAUGUCUCAGGAAGAAAUAACCAAGAGACAGACACUCGAUGCAAAAGCAAUUUAUUCCUUAUAUUGUGCUUUAUCACCAACUGAAGAUAAUAGAAUAUCUUCUUGUGGUACAGCAAAAGAAGUUCGGGACAAAUUGCAUAUCACCUAUGAAGGAACAGAUCGAGUGAAGGAAACAAGAAUCAACAUUCUUCUCGGUCAAUACGAAGCUUUUAGAAUGAAACCAGGAGAAUCAAUAUCUGACAUGUUUAGUCGUUUUACAGAUAUUGUAAAUGGUCUUGAAAAUCAAGGUCAACCAACUUCUGAUCUCAUGAAGGUAAACAAGCUACUGCGUGGACUCUCCAAGGAUUGGAAUCACAUAAAGACUUCGAUAAGAGAGACAUAGAGAAUAAUGCCACUAUCUGUUGAUGAGCUGAUUGGAACUCUUCAGUCCUAUGAAGUGGAAAGGAUCAAUGAAGAUGAAGAUCCAAGAGGUAAGAAAUCCAUUGCAUUAAAAUCAAAUGAUGAUUCUGAUGUUACAGAUUCUGAAGAAGAUAUGGACGAUGAGGAGCUUGCUCUCAUGAUAAGAAGAUUCAGAAAACUAAACAGAAAAGGAAGAAGGUUCAACUCAAAGAAACAAGGCUUUCAAAGACAGCAGAUCAAGUCUGUUGAUGAUGAGGAACCAAACAAAGAUGUAGUCUGCUUUGAAUGCAAGAAAAAGGGACACAUCAGACCCAACUGUCCUCUUUUGAAGAAGAAGAAAGGAAAAGCUGAAAAAUUUCGAAAAGCUCUCAAAGCUGAAACCUGGAGUGAUACUGAGUGUGAAGAAAGUGAUAAUGAAUAUGCCAAUAUAUGUCUGAUGGCACAAUCAGACUCAGACUCUGGAUCAGACUCAGGAUCAGACUCAGACAGUGAAUUUGAGGCAAGUAAUUUUAAAAUUCCUGUCAAAUUUUCUAAAUAUAUUGAGGAACUAUGUUUUAGUCUUAAGACUUCUCUCAAAAGUAUUUCCAAACUAAAAAAGGAAAACUCAGCUCUAAAACAAAAGGAAAAUGUUUUAGCAGAAAGAGUUAAAAGUCUAGACUUGUCUGUUUCCAAUCUUAAAGAAAAUAAAGAAAAUCUUUUAAAAGAAAAUGCUUUUUUAAAAACAGACUUAUCUAAUAUAUCAAAGAAAUUUUCUAUGGGUUCUGAAAAACUUGAGAAAAUUCUUUCAGCACAAAGACCUUACUUCAAUAAGUCUGGUCUAGGUAUGACAGAAGAAACAAUUCCCUUGAUUGAUUUUCCUAAAGUAAAAGAAAGAAUUAAGAAAAGGCUUUCGAGUGAGGUUUACAAAAAUCACUUCAAGAAAGUCUUUGUAAAACCUGUAAGUAGAAAUGCUCUCAGAUGUUCUAAGUGCAACAGUCCGGAUCACUUUGAAAAAGAGUGUCCUAUGGUAUGGAAACCUAUUAAGAAAGUAUGGGCUAAUACUGUUUAUCUUACUAACACCAAAGGACCCAAGAAAAUUUGGGUACCAAAGAAAGCUUGAGACUCUUUGUUAAAUGCAGGUCUCCAUCAAGAAACAGGUAAAGUGGUAUCUUGACAGCGGAUGCUCAAGACACAUGACAGGAGACUCAAAUUGCUUUAUAAAGCUUGCUCAAGUAAAUGGUGGAAAAGUUUCAUUUGGAGGAAACAGCAAAGGAAGUAUUGUGGGAUUUGGAACCGUGAAAAUUGGAACUCUCACAAUAAGUAAUGUUUCCUUAGUUGAAGGACUCAAUUACAAUCUUCUCAGCAUUAGUCAAUUGUGUGAUACUGGUUUCAAGAUCUCCUUUCAAGAAGGAACAUGUUCCGGAAUCAGUAAAGACUCUACUCAAUCUUUUCUGGGUCGAAGACAUGGGAACAUCUAUCUUCUGGAUGUGAAAUCAAAUGAAUCACAAUGUCUGAUCUCAAUUCAAGACGAAGCAAGCUUAUGGCACAAAAAGCUUGGACAUGUCAAUAUGAAGCAAUUAGCCAAAAUCUCAUCAAAGCAGCUUGUUCGAGGUCUACCAAAAUUGCCAUACCAAAAGACUAAUUCAUGCACUCCAUGUAUUCUGGGAAAGCAGGUAAAAAAUUCUUUUAAGCCAAUAAAUCAUGUCUCUACUAAUCAUGUUCUACAGUUGCUGCAUAUGGAUCUCUUCGGACCAACCAGAACUCUAAGUAUUGGGGGUAAGAAGUAUUGCCUAGUAAUUGUUGAUGAUUACUCCCGUUUUACUUGGGUAUAUUUCCUUUUAAGUAAGUCCGAAACCUUUUCGUAUUUUGAAAAUUUUGCUAAAAAGGUUCAAAAUGAAAAAGGUUGUGUUAUCUCUAGUAUAAGAACAGAUCAUGGAGGUGAAUUUGAAAAUCAAGAUUUUACAAAGUUCUGUGAUGAAUCUGGCUGUAAGCAUAUGUUUUCCUCUCCGUAUACUCCUCAACAAAAUGGAGUUGUGGAAAGAAAGAACAGAUCUCUUCAAGAAAUGGCUAAAACUCUUUUAAUUGAAAGUAGAAUUUCUUCUCGAUUUUGGGCAGAAGCUGUUUCAACAGCUUGCUAUAUCAUCAAUAGAGUUUUCUUAAGAUCUAUUCUUCAGAAAACCCCUUAUGAGUUAUUCAAAGAAAAGAAGCCUAUUGUUUCAUACUUUCAUGUAUUUGGUUGCAAAUGUUUUAUAUUGAAAAAUGCAAAAGAUCGAGUUAGUAAGUUUGAAGAAAGAUCAGAUGAAGGUAUCUUCCUUGGAUAUUCUAUAUCAAGCAAAGCUUACAGAGUCUAUAACAAGAAAAGCCAGUCUGUAGAGGAGUCAAUGAAUGUCAAAUUUCAAGACUCAAUGCAAGAUGAAUCAAGUUAGACUCAUCAAGAAGAAUCUGAACCUACUUCAGACCCUCCAAAGUCUACAACUCAAGAAGCAUCUCAGACUCUUGAAAACCAGCAUCAGGUUGUUAAUGAAGAUCCAAAUAAAGAAAGAGAUCAUCAACCAGACAAAUCAACAAGUAACUGGAAGCAUAAGUCCAGUCAUCCCAAAGAUCUUAUAAUCGGCGAAAUAAAUGAAGGAAUUCGCACAAGAUCCAAAAGGCGAGAAGAGUCUAGUGCUGUGGCACUCGUUUCUGAAAUUGAACCAAAGGGCAUAGAAGAAGCUUUAUCUGAUGAAAGCUGGAUUGAAGCUAUGCAAGAAGAACUCAGACAGUUCAGCAUAAAUGAUGUUUGGGAAUUGACAUCCAAACCAAAAGGAAAAACUGUUAUUGGAGCCAAAUGGGUGUUCAGAAACAAAAUGAACGAGAAAGGAAAAGUCGUACGAAAUAAAGCAAGACUUGUGGCCAAAGGAUAUACGCAAGAAGAGGGAAUAGACUAUGAUGAGACUUACGCUCCAGUGGCAAGGUUAGAAGCUAUUCGACUAUUACUUGCGUUUGCUUGUUAUAAGAAUUUCAGGUUAUUCCAAAUGGACGUCAAAAGCGCCUUCCUAAAUGGAUUUAUCCAUGAGGAAGUUUAUGUGGAACAACCGCCAGGGUUUGAAGACCCAAAGAAGCCAGACUCAGUCUUCAGACUGAAAAAGGCUUUGUAUGGUUUAAAGCAAGCACCUCGGGCUUGGUACGACAGGUUAAGUAAUUUCUUAUUACAAAAUAGUUUUGUCAAAGGUAAAAUAGAUACGACUUUAUUUAUCAAGAAGGAAAAUAAAAGUUUCUUACUUGUUCAAAUAUAUGUGGAUGAUAUUAUUUUUGGAUCCUCCAAUGAAAGUCUGUGGUAGAAAUUUUCAAAGUCUAUGCAGGAUGAGUUUGAAAUGAGUAUGAUGGGAGAAUUAACAUUCUUUCUUGGUCUUCAAAUAAAACAAUUGAAGGAAGGAACUUUCAUUUUUCAAGAAAAAUAUGUUAAUGAUCUUGUCAAAAGGUUUGGACUGGAGAAUUGCAAAAAGACCGACAUACCAAUGUCAAGUUCUUUAAAGAUAGACAAAGAUGAAGAAGGGAAGAAAGUUGAUCAAAAGCUGUACAGGAGUAUUAUUGGAUCACUUCUUUAUCUUACUGCCUCUAGACCUGAUAUUUUGUUGAGUGUUUGCAUCUGUGCUAGGUUUCAAUCAGAUCCUAGAGAAUCCCAUCUCAGUGCUGCCAAACGCAUCAUAAAAUACGUUGCUUCAUCAUCAAGCAUCGGUCUUUGGUAUCCUAAGAAGGGAGACUUUAAACUUCUGGGAUAUUCAGACGCAGAUCUAACCGGUUGCAGAGUUGAUAGAAAGAGCACUUCAGGAACUUGCUAGUUGCUUGGAAGCAGAACAGUGUCUUGGUUUUCAAGGAAACAAAGUAUUGUGUCUCUUUCAACAACAGAAGCAGAGUAUGUAGCUCUUGGAAGCUGCUGUUCACAAAUUCUAUGGAUAAAACAACAGCUAAGAGAUUUUGAAAUCGAAGACUCAUGCACAGAGAUUAAUUGCGACAACACCAGCGCUAUCAACCUCACCAAAAAUCCAAUUCUCCACUCAAGAGCGAAGCAUAUAGAAAUUCGACAUCAUUUUAUUAGAGAUCAUGUUCAAAAUGGAGAUGUUUCAAUUCAAUUUGUUGACUCAAAGAAUCAGCUGGCUGAUAUUCUCACGAAGCCUUUGGAGAAAAAUCAAUUUGAGUCUAUACGGACCAGACUCAAUAUUUUGAGGUAUGAGGAUAUCAAAGUCUAAAGACUUUCAAACUCAGGCUUACAAGACUUUAUCAACAGUCUUGUCUCGACCUUCAGACUGUAAGUCUUUCUCUAUCCAAUCUUAUCUUGAAAAGGUACGAUCAUCAGACUGUGUUUAAAUUGUUGCCGUAAAUAUUACAUCGAUUCAUUUUCAAAAGGGAAGUUAUUUUUGAAAUAGCUAUUUUUACGGAUAAAAUCAGUUAUUUUGAAAAGGCAUAUUUUUAUUUCCUUUGUGACGAUUCGUUUUCUCUUCUUUUUAACCGAACGAGCACUAUCGAUUACUCUCUCUCAAAAACCCUAGAAAGCAUCGAUCUUCCAUUCCCGUUUGUCUACUUCUCUAAAUCUUCAAAAAGUUAUCAUCUUUUCUGGGAAAGUCAAGCUAGGAAACUUCCAAACACUGUUAAAGAUGUCUUCUUCACGAAAGUCGUCAAGAAUCGCAAGCAGUGGACCAUAGAGAAUGAGUAAGGGGCCUACGCACUUCGAUCUUACUGAAGAUGAAGUUUCUCCAGAUCAGCAACCGAGCCCACAACAUUCUCAGCAGCGUCAUUCUACAUCAUCUAGUCAUCAAGGCAUUGUUCAUCAGGAAGAAAUCAUCGAGGAAGCAGACCUCGUAAGAGUUCAAAAGCCUGCUUUUAUCUACAAGCUAUAUCGUGCUUUAAAAGGAAUUCGUACUCCCUUAAACUAUGUUGAUAGUUUUGUUAAAGAAAAAGGAUAUAGGAACGAAUAUAUCUUUCUGAAAAGAAUGGAAAGUUUGGGAAUCGCUCGUAAAGGGGUGGCUGAGGAAACCCUUGCGAAUAUCCCAAGUGAUCCUUGUGACUGGGGGCCAAAUCCUGUAGAUGGGAAUGAUGAUGACAAUCUGUUCAGUCUAUUUCAACCGAAAAUGGGUAUUGCGGCUGAAAUUCAAGGAAAAAGGGGAGAUUUGUUCAGAUCAAAGGAACAAAAGGAUCUGUACUCGAAAUUGCUGAAGCGUGGGGUAAUAAACCCUAGGAGUGUGGACUUUGAUUUUAUGGAUGCUGUGAAAGUGAACUUGAGGGAAAAGUUCAGUUAUCUUCAACUUGAAAAGUUUUGUUCUGACUCAACUGAGGCUUAUGCUAAAUUGACUGCUUACUUCUAUUCAAAUCUUAGCUUUUAGAUGCGAAUAGAUUUUCCUUCAGUGUCAAAGAACAAGACUAUGUUGUGGAUAUGGAUAUGCUGGCAGAUGUGUUAGAAGUUGAGAGAGGCAGAUAUCAACCGAUUAAAGUUUCCAUUGCUCGGGCCACACUUGAAUUGGUGAAGGACAGGAGAAUAGAAGAGAAUCACCUACUCAAGGAUGAAUGCAUUCAACAUCUUGCUUCACAAGACUGUGAUUAAUUGCCUUCGGCCGAAAUCAACUUCCAAAACUGAUGUUUCAAGCUCUAAGGCAAAAUUGAUGUAUGCCAUCCUCUGUGGAAAGAAGUUUUCUCUUCCUCAUACUGUCAUGUUUCACAUGUAUAGAGCAGUGAUGAAGGACAGAGGUCAACUCCCUUACCCAAGCCUUGUUACGAAGUUAUUCAGACAUCUGAAUAUUCAGCCUCCGCAAAUCUUUUGUGUUCGAUCAUGCGAUCAUAUGGUGGUAGGACUGAAAAUGGUGACCAAAAUGCGUCUGAAGGAACUGAGCAAGGAAUUGGAGAAAUUCAAGGAGAAGACUCCUGCCAAGUCUCAUCAACUCUCUUCUGCUACUAAGAGAAAAGGGAAGGAGCCCAUGGCUGCUCCCUCAAAGAAAAGAAGAGCUCUCCUCGUUGAGGAUGAAGAUGAUGACGAUGACAUCACCAUCUCUGCAAUGGCUUUGAAGAACUUAAGUCGUUCUGUUCCACAGAAAGAAUCGGAACAAAAGACGAAAGAAGCAGAGGAGAAGGAAGAAGAAGAGAGAGAAGCAAAGGAGAAGGAAGACGAAGAAAGAGAAACAGAGCAAGAAGCAGAGGAAAAAAAGACCCGAAGAAGAAAGAAGAGAAUGAGAACCUGAGGAAAUCUCUUCUCCACCUGUAGGCAUGAAAACAGGGGGAGUUCAGGAGAAAGGAGUGACAUCUUCAUUUCCAGAUGAAAGUGAAGGAGUCAGUCGUUCGCCUGCAGACCCAGAAGAUGUUUAUGCAUCUCAAUUUCCAGAGGAAGGUCAUGAAGCUUCAUCACCCAACCUGCGAGAUUAUGCUGAUCCACCAUCGUCUGCUUUUACUCCAUCAGAACGAGCAGAAGCAAGUACUCAGACUGAUAAUGGAGCAGAUUUUCGCAUAAUCAUGGAUAUUCUCUUGGAGAUGAAAGGUCAGAUUUAUGCAUUGGGAUGCGAAGUUCAAAGCUUGAAGAAUGAAGGUUAAGCUUCUUCCUGUUCAUUAAAUGAAAAGAUGCAAGCCCUCUCUAUUCAAAAUCAGGCAAAUGCCAAGAGUGAGGAGGUUGUACAGCUAAAGGAAGACUUUAAGAGGCUGGAAGGCAUUGUUCAGUCUAUGGAAGAUUUCCAGCUUGUCCGCGUUCCCAAGCAAUCUUGAUUUCAUCUCAUCCUUUUUAAAUGAUGACAAAAAGGGGGAGAGAUGCAUGAUUUGAAAACUUUCAAUCUUUUUAACUGUUUGUUGGAUUGUGUUUAACUGUCUGUUUGUUUUUGACAGACUUUGACUUUGUUUUGUGUCUGGAUAAGAACUGCCUAGACUUAGAUUUGACUGCUUCUAUUUAUCAAUAUUGAUAUCUUAUGAAUGGCUUAAUCAUAUAUUGGACUAACCUAUUUUCUGUGGUUGCAGAUUCUAGUGUUAUUCUAUUAGCCAUUUAUUUCUAUAAGAUAUGCAUAUGUGGUUGAGGAAUGUUUUGCAGGUCAAAGUUAUCCAAAUCUGCAGGAAGGUUUUGUCACCAUCAAAAAGGGGGAGAUUGUUGGAGAAAUCCUCAUGAAGAGUUUUGAAGUUGACAAAAUGUUUCCGUCAGUCUAGUCUGAAGGUCUGCAGACUCUGUUAGUUAAAGUCUGAAGACUUCCGGACAGCCAGACUCAAGACUCAAAGUCUAUCCUCAUUGACAGUCUCUGAUCCGUUGAAGAAAGGUUAUCCCGAACUGGAUGUUUUGUUCAGGAUUUAACCUUAUCAUCUGGAGAAGAUCUCGUGGCUGGAGAAGACGUAUCAGAAUCCUUUGAUUGAUCAAGAUUGAUUCAAUGAUUGAAGAUUCGAUGAUUAUCUAAAUAUUAUUGGAAGGUUUUGCUUAUGGAAACCGAGAUCCUGAUUGUAUGGGCGAACAUGAUUGAUGGGUUAUCAACACGUUCCUUUAAUAGCUCGAACGAUCUUCCUAAUUGAUUCUGUCCAACGGGUAGAUUGGAGGAAUUCCUUUGGAAAGUGCCAACGGGUAUGAUGGCAUAAAGGAGUAUAUAAGGAAGACGUUCUUAGUUGUUUAAGAGAGAGUGCGCGAUAGAAAAAUUCCAAAGUCUGAAGCUCCUAUUUGUUUAGAUAAAUCUCUUGAGCGAAUACUUGUAUACAAAAUAGAGUCUAUAUUUGUGAGAGACCUUGAGGAGGUGUCAAAGCUGGUUCAUCAUGGACUGUUGUCAGUCCAAGUCUUCGUAGACUAACUUUGCCCUUCUAAUGCCAUGAUAUUUCAGUUCUCUCGCAACCCCUCAUAUGCUGUUCUGUCUUAUUUUUUUUUUCUCUCUUUUUGAGAGUGGUAGCCAAUGUUAAUGGCACGGUAAAACGAGGCACAGGGAGCUUAGGUUUUAGAUUGUUGGCAUUCAUAUCAAUAUCACAUCAAACAAUCUCAUACAAUUCAUAAUCUAAUGAUUGUAUUUCAGUGCAACGGUUUUUGCAUGUAUGCAGCACUUUCGUACUUUCCAUUUAGUUAAAUUAGAUGGUAUCAACGUUUUUAUUGAUUGAUGAUAUAAUUAGCUAGACUAUUUAAAAAUCAAAGUAUUUCUAAAUAGAUAGUGUUUGUUUGCAAGUAUUUUUUUCUUUUUAUUUUCUAAAUCAAUUUUGUGGUAAUUAAACAUUCCACAUUUCACAAUAGAAAACAAAAUCUCGCUAGAUCAGAGGUAUAAAGAUGUUCCAUUAUGAAAUUCAUAAGUUCUUAAAUCUUUUCAGGCAUAAAUCCAAGUGUGAAAAAAACCAACAUUUAAGAUUGAAGUUAUUAAUCGCAAUGACUUGAUGAGUCAAAAAACACUUUUGGGAAGUAUCGAAUUCCCAUUUGAGUAGCAUCUAUUUUCACAAAUCUAUUUAUUCACUUGCUAAAUAUUAAAUCAUGAUUUGAUCAUAUCACUCAAUGUAUCGAUUUUAGUAUGCUUAUUUAAAUUUCUUGUAAAUAACUUAGAUUUAUUGGUUAAACUUCAAAUGAUGAAGAGCUCAUGCUUAUUGAGUAGAAGCACACAUAUUUUUAACAACAUUAAAAGAAAAAAAAAUCCACAUCUUGCUAGCAGUUAAAAUUAAAAUGCUAUCUGUUAUGUGAAAUGUUGAAUGCAUGUUAUUUUACAAAAUUCUUAUAGUAAUUAACCCACCGAGGACCUCAAUAGUCAUUCAAGGCAAAACUCCCUUGAAGAAUCCGACGAAAAUUCUUGUUAAAAAGCAAAGUGAAUGAUGAAAAUAAAUAAAGCAAUACAGCAAAGAAAAAGAAGGGGUCAUCCUAAUGUGGAAAAGAAGUCCCGCCAAUGCUUUAGCGUGUGCCUUUGGUAGUCCAAGUCUUCGUAGACUUGGGUCAACAUUGGUGUGAUUCCUUCUUGAGCAAGCUGGUUCAUCAUGGACUGUUGGUAGUCCAAGUCUUCGUAGACUUUGACUUGGGUCAAUCAUUGGUUUCAAUCUUCUUGCACCACCCACACGCUGUUUUGUCUGAUUUUUUUCUCUUUCUGAGAGUGGUAGCUCAUGCUAAUAGCACGUUAAGACGAGGCACAUGGAGCUUAGGUUUUGGAUUGUUGGCGUCCUUAUCAAAAUCACAUCAACCCAUCUCACGCAAUUCUUAAUCUAGUGAAUGUAUUUUGAUGCAACACAUUAUAUGUAUGUGACACAUUCCAUUUCCAUUUAGUUAAAUUAAAUGGUUCCAACUUUUUUAUUGAUUGAUGACAUGAUUGACUAAAUUUUCAAGAGAGAAGUUUUUUUGGACAUAUAGUGUUUCUUUGCAAGUAUUUUUCUAUUUUUUGAAUCGAUUUUGUGAUAACUAAACAUUCCAUAUUUUACGAUAGAAAACAAAAUCUCUCUAGAUCUGGAGGUGUAAAAUUGUUCCAUUUCAUAAUUCAAUGUUCUUAAGUCUUUCUAGGUAUAAAUCCAAGUGUGACCAAAAAAAAAAUUUAAGAUUGAAGUUAUUAAAUCACGAUGACUCAAUGAGUUAAAAAGAAGAAUCUUGGGAAGAAUCAAAUUUCUUGAAUUGAGAGUGAUGGAAAAUUGAAUUUGUUCUCUGAUAGCUUUAGCUUUCAUUGUCACUCCACUAAAAUUUUGUUUUAGUAAAAUGAAAAUCUCGUCCCAUUUUUUUUUUUUGAAAUCAGACACCAUCCAUUUGAAUCAAAAUUGAGUUUCCUCCUUUAGCUCAAAAGCUUGGGAAGAAGAGAAAAUAUGUGGGAUCCUGUUGCCUAAUUCUUACUCAUUUUAAAGGAAAAGAAAGACUUCUCAUACAAAUGUGGACCUUAAUUAUCGAUACAUUUUUUCCUUUACCCUAGAAUAUGCAUAGAAUCAUGGGCCAGUUUUGCUGCAAAAUUGGUCAGUAAGGAUGCUUCCUUGCAGCAUCAUUGCGGCUUGUCAACUGUGAAAAAAUAUUACGUUUCUUAAUGUGGAAAAUCACUAGACUAUGUGGUGCAGAAAUUUUGGGAUGAGAAUCUACUUUUGCCCCAAAAUAAUUCAUUCAAAGUCAAGUCAACAAAAGCAGACACCGAACUUCCAAAACAAGUUCGUUUCCCCCAUCCUAAUUAAGGUGAACUCCGGUCGGUCCAAUUUAAUGGGCUGAUCAGGCCCAGGCCCGGAAUAACUCUGAAGCAUAAAGCCUAGUGGAAUUAUUGGGCUUGAUCUUGUCAAAGCACUCCCCAAUGAUCAAUUGAAUUAAGAAAAGAUUACAUUUUAUUUCGGAGGUGACCCAUCCUUCGCAUUUAACCUGUUGUUAGUGUCAAAAAUUGCUUGUCACAAAACGUUGUAGUUGAACAUUAAAUCCAUGCAUUGUGCUGAUUAUUAUACAAAACAUUACUAAAAUAGAGUCCACAAAACCAAUGUGUAAGCACAGUCUUGUGUCGUAUUAAAACUUUGAGCCACCAACAAGUGUGGUAAAUAAGCUCACGAACAUGAUGUGACCUAUUAGAUCUCAUUUGGAAUUUAACUCAAUUAGCAUUUCCACAUUCACAAUUGAACUUGAAAGCCUCUAUGAUGACUGGGAAAAGUUUAGCGAAGCCUCUCUAAUGACUAUAAUGACUAAAAAAAAAUAUUGACUCCCCCUGAAUUCAAGUAUGAAAGUUUUCUAUUUCAGAUAAUGUUUUUGGAGGUGUGGCUCUUUGCUCUCUCAGUUAAUGCUUGUGGAUUAUCUAUUACAAAAGGGGGAAAAAGAGGCAAAAAUAAAAGAACUUAUGGACAACGCGAGAUUAUUCCAUGUUAAAAUUUGAGAAUUGGAAAAAAAAAAAUUCGCCACACUUCUAUUAAUUUGAAAUUAAACGAUUUGGGUUGCUAUUUCAGAUUUACCUCGACAUUAGAUGAUGAUGUCAAACCAAGUCCAUUUGCAGCUAGAAACAUUUUUUAGUAUAAUUAAGCUUGAAUCUGAAAAUAUUUGACUGGAGAAGUUUGCCAUCAUAAUGAAGUAAUUGCAAUUUCAUAUACCUCCACUAAUAUAAAUAAACAAAUGAAUUAUAUCAAUUUUAAUUUGAGUGUAUAGUAACCAACUAAUUGAACGGUAGAGCACCCAUUUGUCCAACAGAAUGUCUCAUUCUCUUUGGCUAAAAUACAACAGAAGGCGUCCCCACGCAAUCUUUCUAAAUGUUCCGAUUUUAGCAAAACUUACUUCACGACGUAAAUCACCGAAUGUGACAUUGAAAAUGCCCACCGACAAAAUAAGAUCCCAAGGGCAAAUUAGGAAAGAUCAUAAAGAAUCUGGAACGAAAUAGAUCGCGUUUGAGGCUGAUGGUUGUUCUGACAUGCUUGAUUGCUGCAAAGUGAGGCGAUACUCAAGCUUUUCAAGUUCAAGAGAUUGGAAAUGCUAUCAUCAGCUCGUCGCUCGGUAUGAAUAUGUAGACAAAGAAGAAUUUCUAGGAGUCUUGGCACUUGGGGUAUCUCAACACAUGUCGGUUUCAAAAUCUUCCAAGGUGAACAUCUCCAGAUAUCAUAGGAAUUUCUGAUUAGCAAAUUUUCACUAAGCUCUGCAUCUAUUCUUCUAGCUAUUCCUGAUUCCAUACUGCACUAGUUAUUGUUCUCAUGAUAGAGAACCUCAUCUUCAAUACUUUCAAAUACUUCAUGUUCCCGACCAACCAGGCAGCUUCUCUAUGUCCAUGUUCAAUUUAUCGAACUUAGCAAAUGAUUCCAAAUUCCAGAUUGAGUCUAGUAGUGUCUUUAUUGACUUGCAGUUCCUAGAAGACUAGUGUUCGAGGCUUACAAGGGAUCCACUUGAGUUGGGAAGCUCCACGAUCCUAGCUCCUCACAGAGAAAGCCUCGAUAGGGAAGUUAGGUGACAGAUUGAAAGUUUUAUAGUCAAUGAGGAACAAUGGGAAGCACAGAGGACCUGCAAGCUCUUCAAUUCUUGACAGUCAGGCAUAUGCUUUAUUGAUGUUAUACAGCAAUCCCUUUUUAAGGCAGUUAAGUCCAUGUCAGACUUUCCCCUUCCGUCUUGGUAAUUCCUAGAUGUAUAUUCCCUUUUAAGAUAGAGAUUAUCGAUGUUUGUCCGUUAAAACCAGCAUGCGAAAUUGCGAAUUGAACAAAGUCAACAUCUAGCAAGCUAGUCGCAUAUCUUUCUCCCAAAUAUCAUGUACUUUUAUUCGUGUGAAGUCCACCAUCAGGUUAGUACCGAGUUAUCCAGAGUUAGAUUCAUCUACUAGUAAGAAUACUUUGAGAGACCUUGUUUAGCUUUCUUAUACUUGUUUCAUCGUUUGAUUCCAUCAUUUCUCGGUUCACGCUGCUCCAUGGUUUAUAGCAGCAUCAUUAUUUGGUUUGCCCUCUCCAGUAAUCUUACUUGCUGCUCUUAAUCUUCUCUGCUCCAAUGGUCUAUAGUCGCAACUGUCGCCACACACAAUGCAACCUCAAGUGGUGAAACAACAAUUGUUGAGCUGCACAGAAAUUGGGGGUGGUCUGACUUGGCCUCGCCUCCCGAGUCGCAAUGGGUCCGAAUUUUAUUUUAUUUUGAUAAAUUAAAAAGUGUGGGAAGAGAUGACCAAUACGGUUAUCCAUUCUUGUUGUUACAUAAAGUGUUGUGCAUGUUACAAAAUAUCUCCAUUGAGCCAUAACCACUCGAUCCACCGACAAGUGUGCUAGUCUAUCACCAUAACUAAUAUGCCAAAAGCUUGACAAUAUAUCCACAUAACGUUGUAAAUACCUAAAAUACUAACCGGUGAAAAGUUCACUCAUGACAUGAUUCGAACUCAUGAAUUAAUAGAAGAUGGCAUGAUCCCUUCAUCAUUGGGUUAUCAUGCUUGGGGUUGGAUUGUGAUUCCGACUUUAUAUAUAUAUAUAUAUAUUCACUUUCAAGGUGAAUGAGUGGCGCAUGAGCCUAAUCCAAAAAGGAAUGAUCUAUAAAUCUGUUCUGUGCUUAAAAAAUUUGACUUAAGUCAAAUGAGGUGUUUAUGUGUUUAUGUUACCAAUAAAAGAAGAGGUUUGGUGACUGGUUUCUAUAAAAUUGAUUAAUUUACUCUUCAUAAUUUUCUAUAAAAUUGAUUAAUUUACUCUUCAUAAUUUUCUCUUGGAAAUUUUGUCCAGGAGCACGCCUCAUUUUAGCAAAACUUCCUUCAUCGCCCUCACGGAAACGACGAAAUCACCGGACGUGACACCGAAUAUGCCCGCCGACCGAGCAAGAGCCCGAGGUCGAAUCAGGAAAAUUCGCAAAUCCGUCGUCCUCUCCUUCCCUUCCCCCCCACCCAAAAACAAAAGCUCGCUGUAGCUUUCGAUCGCCAUCCGCCGCGAAAAUCGCUACGGAGUCCACGAACGCUGCGAAGACCAGGAUUCGAGGGUUGAAUUCGAGCAAUACGGAUGAAGACCGCAAUCGAUCUCUCCACCUCGCCGGGCGAUCGCGCCAUUUUGAUUGCGUGAGAUUGGAAUGAUGUCGUCGCUCGGCAGAAUGGGGAGUUGAGGGUGAUGGUUGUUCUGAAGUGCUUCAUUGCCGCGGGUGGGGGGCGAGAGGUAAUUGCAAUUUGUGUUCAUGUCAUCAAUUACUGCUCUGAUCCUCCCACUUGAUUGAGAUUGGGAGUCUAGUAUCGAGCAUGUCGGUUUUGAGGUUGGACAGUGAGGUUUGUAGUGUGAAUUUGGCGGAUUAUACUAUUGCAGAAAUUAUUUGGUUGGAUUAGCUAAGCUCUUGGAUUACCGAAUUUGGAUCAAUGCUACAACUGGAAUAUGGUCAGAUUGAUCGAAUUUCCUUAUAUUUGUUGGAUACAAAUAUUUCUUCCCGCUGUUUCUACUUUGGGGGUAAAAUUUGUUGAGUGUCUCACAGUGAUUGACUAUCGGCUAUUUGGCCUUUCUCCAGUCGAGUAAUGGACUGUAGCUUGUAGGUUUCAGUGGACUAGCUUUAUGGGAAAGAGGAGCCUUAUGCUUUUCACUUAUUCGCCUUUCGUUGCAUUUGAACAUAUAGUUCUUUAAGUUCACGAACGAGGAUGGCAGAAAUAUACUGAAAUAUUAUUUUGAGUUGACGUUUCCUUGAAGUGUUCCUCUUACUUGAUUGUUGAUAUACCUUGCUAGAGACAUAAGAAACUUGCUCCAUUGCUUGUAAUUAAAUGAGCUUUUGACCACAUUUUCAAAGUGAAAUUUUCUCAACUGGUAAAUGCAGAACUCAGACUAAGGUCCAAGGCUUGUAAAGCUGCUUACAAUCGCACUCUUGCCAUGACAUUUAUGGAGUAUUCAUCUGCUGUGAGUGUUCUUUAUAAAGAUUUUCACAUUUACCUAGAGCUUGUUGUUGUUAUUACUCUUCAGGUUUCACCAUUUAAAUACAAUAACUUUUGCAGGUUUGAUGCCAGAUUUGACAAAACUUAGUAGUUGGACUUGUCCUAGAUGUGAUGGAAAGACCCAGGUAAUUUAAUAUGGUUUAAUAUGACAUUGUUGCUGAGGUUGCCUGAAGAAUGGAUCCUCAGUACAGUAUUAAAUGGCCAAUUCUUCUAAUGAGAUUUUGUGGGCAUAUGCUGCCUCCUCUUAUUAGAUUCUGAACUGGUAGUUAAUGCCUUUUGAUAUGAAAGCAGGGGUUUGAAUUCAUUGAAUUGAUAGUGGGCAUUCAACACUGCUUACGCGCAGAUUAUUUGGUUGCAGUGGCUUACCAAUCUGCAAUGCUUGCGAUGCCUAUAUGUUUAAAUUGCAUCUAAUUGUUUAUAUCUAUUUCUAAACGUACAUAUAUGUUACCUGUAGGCAUACGUUGGGGUGGCCAAGGAUCUUAAUGCUGUGAUUAUAGCUUUUAGAGGUGCACAAGAACAUAGGUAUGCAUGUUAACUUUAGCAACUCUUCUCCUUACAAAUGACUUGCAAAAGGUUUUGAUGAAAAUUUAAGCUAAGAAGAGCAGCCUCCUGUGAGUGCAUACGCAAGACCCAUGGGUCGACUGUCCGUAAGAAGGGAAAAGGGUGAAUCAUUUCCACCAAGAUGCGAAAGUUACCUUCUUGUAAUUUUAGAUUGGUUCAUGAGAAGAUCACAUACUUCACUAAUUUUGUUCUGUGAAAAAUUCUAUCACCUCUCUUUGUCAUUUGAGCUUUUCAGUUAGUGAUUACUUCUUUUUAUGUCUAUAGCAUACAUAAUUGGGUUGAAGAUCUCUAGUGGAUAGUGGAAACAGCUUGACGUACUACCUUGGCAUGCAUGGUGCCCUGGAUAGCUCUAAAGAUGAUUAUGCCUCUUGCAAGCUGUGGAUUCUUCUUGUUUGGAUUGAGUUACAGUCUUACUCUAUUUGUGACAUCCCGAUUUUUCCAAAUCCUAUUUUCAAUAAAUUGAGACGGGCAUUUCGUUGGCACGCAUAUAGUUCUUUUCCUUGAGUCGGCCACUCAUGUGAAAACUAGUCUAUCGGGUGAAACUGUUAAGAAUUUCUAAUGCAUCAGACUCGAGAAUUUGACCAGGAAGCAACCUUUCGACCGAGCUAGUCUGCAAGGGUCAUUACGGCACAAUUAAAAUCGAUUAAAGAUCGGAGAUAGGUCGACUCGACAGAGGCAUGUGAUCAGGUGUGGGUGAUUCUACUAGAUCGCACAAUUCAUGUCGAUCGGCACUGGACCGACUUUUCUAUCGAUUGGGUACCCUGUGUUCGUAUUUGAAACCUUGAGAUUACCCCGACAAUCGAAAGUCGCAAAUGUUUCAAAGAUGUACAUUGUGGCUUGAGAUGAUCAACCACAGGUCAAAUGCAUGAAAGUUUCUAAAGGCUACCCGGUAGGUUGGGCCGCGCUAGUAUCGUGCCAAAGUGAAAUUAACCGUGCAAUUGAGAUCGAAUUCAGAAAUUGGAAGUCUGGGUGUGUCACAAAUCAUUUCAAGAUCAUUGAAUCAUCUUUGGAAGAUUUUUCAUGUAAGCCGAGUUUUUCAGCAAUUAAAUCAGAAAAUGGUUAAUUUGACCCGAGAAAUCAAUAGGCCCGCAUUUGGUAUUGCUAUUAGGACUUAAGUUGGUUCUAUGGACAAGUGAAGAUGUAAAUUGAAGUGUGGUGACAUUGGAUUAAUUUUAUGAACUUCAAUUGGAAGAGAAUUGAAUGGAAUUGGAGAAAUUAGUGUACAAGAAUUGGACCCCGGCGGAAAAUGAAAUUUGCAACCAUUGGAAAAGGUUGUGGGGGAUUGGGUGAGUGGAGUGUGAUGUCACCCAUGAGGUCAUGUGGUGGGCCAAUUUGUUGGAUUAAAGAAAAGGGAAAAAGGAAAAGAAAUUGGCCUCCCUUCUUCUCUCUCCUCCCUCUCCUUGCCGUGGGAGCGUUUCCUCCUCUCUCCAUCUUCAUCUUCUUCUUCGAAAACCCAACAGACCAGCGAACCAGAGCAGCUCCGCCCGUCGCCGUUCGUCCUAGCCGGAGGCCGUUGCUCGUCCAGCCGCACGCAGCUCCGCCUCUCUCUCCCCCUUCUGCUGGUGUCGGCUUCUUCUCCUUCUUCCUUGUGUUUUUCGAAACCCAGCAUAUCUGGGAAGACAACAGAGCAGCCAUCUAGCUACUGGAUCGUCGUUUCGCGCCUCCGCCCUCCGCCGUUCGCCGCCGGAUCAGCUGAUUCGCCCGUCGUGCUCAGUGGCCAGCCCCGCGAGCUUCCUGCUCGUCUCGCGCCCGUCUUGAGUUCAGCAACGUCUCGAGCUUCCCUGGCCGCUGUUCCUAGUCGUCCUCCAGUCGUGAGCUGUCGUCUCGCCGCCGUGCAGCAGCCGGAACCAUCGCCUGGACCGCCGAAGCCCGCUUUGCCCGUUUCCAGCAAGCGGAGUCGCUGGUUCUUCUUCUCUGUUCCAGCGGCCAUUUCAGAUCUGGUGGAGCUCCGCCGGAGCCGUCCAGCCCACCUCCGGCCACCGUGAAGCCCCGCCUAGGUCCGAUUUGGUCUCCUCUGUCCAUCUUGGCCCUUGUGCGCCUCAAUCGGUGUCGGAUCCGCCCUCAACCAGCAACGAGCAGAAGGUUGCAGAAAUGGGUGUGGCAGCCCAUGUUUGGCCCGUUUUGGCCGCCUUCCCAAGCCCGGAUGCUCGGCCCGCUUUGAGGAAAGUCGAUCCUCGCGUCGUCCCUGUUGUUUUGGUUCGCUCGGCUCACUAAUCCGGUGAGUUUAGCUCACUAAACCUCGCUUAGAGGGUUAAUUAUGCUUUAGGUGUGCUUAGCGUAAGUUGAUUAAGCUUAGGUGGUUAAUUUAGUUGAUUUAAUUAUGAUUUAGAUUAAGAUGUUUGUUUAAUCUAAAGUAUGUUUAAUUAAAUGCUAAGAGAGUUUAUUUAAAGUUAAGUGGGUGUUUAUAUCAAUAUAAACAUUGAUGUGACAUAAAGGAAUUUACCUUUGAUUUAUUUAAAUAUCUCGAAAUUAUUUAAUAAUUUAAUAAUAUAUUAUUAUUCGAAAUUAUUAAAAUAUUAUUAUUUAAUUAUUUUCGGAAUAAAUUUAAUUAUUUAUUAAAUUCCGAAAAUUUUCAUUGGGACCUUAUUUGCUCAGAAUUUCGUGCCGAUCAUUGCUGUGCUAGUAGAAUUUGAAAUUGAUGAUUGGUUGUGAUGAAUUGAGUGUGAUUGUGAUUUAUAGGGAUUCUUUAUGAAAUCCCAAGUGUAGAAAUUGAUGGGAGAUUGGCUGUGAAAUACCACCUAUUAGAGGUCGUGCCCAGUGAGGCCGUGAAAUACCACCUUGGAAAGGUCGUGCCCAAUGAGGCCGUGAAAAACCACCUACAAGAGGUCAUGCCGAUGAGGCCGUGAAAUACCACCUAUUAGAGGUCGUGCCCAGAGAGGCCGUGAUAAACCACCUAUGAAAGGUCGUGCCCAGAGAGGCCGUGAUAAACCACCUAUGAAAGGUCGUGCCCAGAGAGGCCGUGAUAAACCACCUCUGAGAGGUCGUGCCCAGAGAGGCCGUGAUAAACCACCUAUGAAAGGUCGUGCCUAGAGAGGCCGUGAUGAACCACCUUGGAAAGGUCGUGCCCGAUGAGGCCGUGAAAAACCACCUACAAGAGGUCGUGCCCAGUGGGGCCGUGAAUUGCCACCUGUUAAAGGUCGCGCCGAGUGGGGCCGUGAUGCCACUGAUUUAAAUUUGCCGAGUAGGGCCGUAGUUGAGAGCAAUGAUUGAUUUGCUAGAAUGACAUGAAAUCGGCCGAGUCGAUUGAUCGCUGAGACGAUCCAAGUGGUUGAAUGGUUUGAUGAUGUGAUUGUGACAUGGUUGUUUGGUUAUCAUAAUUGUACGUGGUUGGAUUAUAUAAAUUGUGCUAACCUGUAGAUGAAGGCUGAGGCGAGGUAAGUCCUCUGUGUGAUGUGGCUAGGCCACCCGGGGCGUAUUUUCUUUCUAAUAGGGAUUUAGGGGGUUGAACUUGCUGAGACAUCGUCUCAUCCCGGUUGUGGGAUUAAAAUUUCAGGUCCCUGGUGGACGGAGCGGCCAGAUCGCUUUGGUUGGCCUUGAGAAGUUGCAGAGGUGAAGUCAUAAGGGUUGGAGAGCGUGUCCUGCUAGUUGGUUGUAGGAUAGUCCCCCUUUUGUCGAGCUGGUCUAUUUUGUAGAAAGUCCAGUGUUGUAUUUAAACCCCCCUUUGUGUUUGUAAAUGAGUGUUUGGUAUUGUGAUUGAUUGCCUGCUUUUCUAUCCCAAGUUAAAUGUUGUCAGGGGAUUUGUUUCGCUUCCGCAUGCGUAAAGAAAUGAAUGGGUCGGCGACAUAUCCUGGGAUGUCACAUUUUUUAUCGACCGCAGUGGGAUGUGCGCGCGCUCGGGGUUCGGGGCGUGACACUAUUGAUUUCUGCUUGGGUUAAUCAUGGAUUUUACUAUUCUUAUUGAUAUGACAAUUCAACCUGGUAUUUUGGAUCUUGUUAUAAGAACCAAGGAUUUAUAAGGGGACAUCAAUGUCAUGGUGACAGAGCAUUCUAUGGGAGGGGCUAUGGCAUCCUUUUGCGGAAUUGAUCUUGUGGUAAGAUAGUUAAAAACUGCUAUGGUCUGGAAUUGUGAAUUUUAUUGUUUUUUUUUUCCUAUUGCGUUCUUCCAAUAUUCAUAUGGUAAUAUGUUAAGAGUCAACUGGAAUUCUCUGCCAAAUCUGUGCUGAAGAGUCUAGGCUAUUUAUACGGAUCUUGAACUUUCUAUUGCUCUCAUAUUUAUAUUCACAAUUCGUCACAGACAGCAUCUUGUUUUCUUUCGGUUUUGGUAAGUCAAACCAUAGACAAAACACAAGCAGAAUGGGGUGCAAAUAGCCAUUUAUGCUAACCACCGAUUGUUUAAGUAUCUGGCAAUGUAAAUUGAGUCUUACCCAUAAAGCUAUGGAGCUUCAAGUUGGUCGAAUACCUAAAUAUAGUGGAUAAGGUCACUUCCAACUAAUCAUUACAAGGUUUACUUACUUGCUGGAAAAUUUAUGGAAUUGUCGAUAUGUUUAUGGUAUGGACAUAUAACUUUUUAAAGCACUUGAAGCUCAAGUUUUAUGUCAUGUAAUCUUGAAGUGCUAAUGCAUUUUAAGAUAGAUUAUAUAUCAAUCCUAAAUUUGUGUUUGGUGUACUGUUUCUAUCUAAGCCUCUCUCUAAUCAAAAGAAGCAGCUCCUCUUCAGUAGGACUACAAGGCCAGAUAUGUUGUAGGCUGGAGCCAAUGCUAAGAUGUCUAAAUUAUGCCUUUUCUCUCAGCUUUAUUGGACAGAGUGUUCCAGGGUACAUUUGGAGGCACCUGUUGCUCAACUGCUACCAGAAAUGGUGCCCAAUCCAAAAUCAUGUCCCAUUGAUUCUCUUCUCCAUGGCAAGUGGUGAUUUUUUAGAGUUAAACUUUAUCUUGAAGUCUGAUUACACUCAUGUUCAUGUGGCCUAUGAUAGGAUCAUAGGUUGCAUGGACUUUAGACUAUACCCUUUCUCAAAAUAUUAGUAGCAAGUAUAACACUUGUCCUAAAACUUUUAAAUGAUUUAAAGUUUUAUUUUUGUUUACUGGUUUCUUGCUGAAAAUUUUGUCGAGCCAAUUGUGACGUCAUGCCCAUUCGUUGCAAUCCUUUUUAAGAUUGAGUUUCUCCUUCGCUACUUGUGUCAGUAAAUUUUGUAGUUCAAGGGGCCUUUUCAUCAGGAACCGGGAAUUUUUUGUUUAUGUCAUUAGCAGGAUGUGACUAACCCCACCAACAUCCAAGUGCUUCUUGUGGAAGCAAUUAAAUGCGCUUCAGUUGUAAGUUUGCGCCCAAUCCCACUAUUCCAUAUCAUUAACACCUUUUUGUGGUGCUGACUGCUGAGGGUGGGUUUGGUUUUGUUGUGUGUGGGGUUUGGUGUUGGGAAACUUAUGGAUGGGAUCUUGACAGAGUUAACGCUAGACCUUCAACCCUUAUGGAGACAAAGGGCUGUUCUAUUGUUCACCUUUGUAUAUGAAAUGCAAUAUAUGGUUAUUGAUGCAUAGUGUUUUUUUUCCCAUCUUGGAAGGGCUAUUGAUGUAUUGACAUUAAAUUUAUUUGGCUGUCUAAUUAUGUGUGCUGAAACUGUCUUUUCCAGACCAGCAUUUGCCUUAUUUACUAAACAGAAGCACUUUAUUUCCUGGUUAAUCAUGAAGUACAGAAUAUUCAGGUUUAAACAUUUGGACAACUCUGUAUUGGCAAUGCAGUGUUUGCAUCUUACUACAGUGACUGCAUACCAAAAACAUUACGUAUUCCUCCUGGACAAGAUUUUGUCUUAUUUGCCUCCGUACUAUUUUUGGUUCCCACAGAAGACGUACCAUCAAUUCCCUAGAGAGGUAUGAUGUUGAUCAUGACAGAAUAUCAAAUAAAUUAUGGGGAAUUGUUGAUGACUGAAUUUGAGGUUUGCUUUGCAUCUCAUUUGACCUGUCUAACAAGUGAAGUAUCAUAUAUUCCGGCAUUGUAUGUACUCUCUUUUUUCAGCUUAUAAAUUAUGACUGUCUUGUUUGUUUUUCUUCUUAACAAAGCAGGGUAGUUUGUAGGACUCAUUACGUUUUAAACUUUUUUUGAGUAACUCUCAUUCUUGCAAAAGCCAUCAUGAGUUUUUCA